AAUAUUUUCAAGGGACUUUAACUUGACUCAGUUAGGGUUUUUGCAUUUGGACAAUAAUCAGUUCAGGGGAACACUGUCAAAUGUAAUCUCCAGAAUCUCUAGGUUGUGGGUGUUAGAUGUGAGUAACAACAACAUGUUAGGUGAAAUUCCAAGCUGGAUAGGUAACAUGACCGAUUUGACUACACUGGUGUUGGGCAACAAUAGUUUUAAAGGCAAAUUACCACCUGAGAUUUCUCAAUUGUCGGGGAUGAUAUUUCUUGACGUUUCUCAAAACGCUUAAGAGCAUGAAGUAUUUAGAGCAUUUACAUUUGCAAGGGAACAUGUUUACAAGAUUGAUACCCAAAGAUUUUCUCAAUUCCUCAUAUCUAUUGACUUUGGAUAUCAGAGACAACAGGUUAUUUGGAAGUAUUUCCAAUUCAAUCUCUAGACUUUUAGAGCUAAGAGGAAACCUUUUAAGUGGUUUCAUUCCAUAUCAGCUUUGUCAUUUGACUAAAAUAAGUUUCAUGGAUCUUUCAAACAAUUUUUCUGGGUCAAUUUCCGGAUGCUUUGGUCAUAUCGGAUUUGGAGAUUUCAAAACUGAGCACAAUGUGUAUAUACCGACGUUGGAUUCGUAUUCAGAAAGCAAUCCUUCUAUAUAUACGGGUUACUUAAUAAAAUAUUUAUUUUUCUCUAGUGAACUCCCUGAUGAAGUAGAUGAAGUUGAGUUUGUUACCAAGAAUAGGUAUAGCUCCCACAGAGUAGAUAAAAAUAUUUGUUGGGAAUUUAGAUAUUUUUAUAGGAAAGUAGGCAAGUAUUCUAAUUUAUAAAAACAAUGCAUUUCUUUAGUUUGGUAUAAAAAAAAAAUGAAACGAUAGGUAUUGGUAAUUUUUUUUAAAGUAACAAACGUUUUAUUUUAUUUGUAUUUAAGAAAGAUGUCUUUUCUUAUACUAGUUAUUUUAAUUUUCUUUUGACAGUUUUUGCAAGCUUAAGCAAUUUGGAGAUACUAGAUUUGAGUUCUAAUUCCUUAAGUGGGAUUAUUCCAUCAUCUAUAAGAUUGAUGCCUCAUCUCAAGUCUUUAUCCCCGGCCGGAAAUUAUCUCAAUGGUUCUUUACAAAAUCAAGGUACAUAUGUUAUGAUUUGUUUGUUUCAUAUAGAUUAGAGAAGAUAAAUAUUGUAAAAAAAAAAAAGUUGUAGUUAAUGUAAGCUAGAAAUAAGUAUCUUGCCUUAUAAAUUAUAUAAGCAUGUGUUUGUUCUUAAUGAAUCUUUACAACAUUUAGAGUUACCAAUGUUUAUAAUUCAUAAAGACCUCAUUAACAGUGAAUAACAACUAAUUGUAAGUAAUUGUGGAAAAAGUAAGGAAAACAAAAUGAGGGAAAAGCAAGGAAUUAGGAAAUUAUUUUGUUCCCAUUAAAAAAUGUUAAGGAAGAAAAAGGUAAAAGAAAGUUUAAAAAAAGUAUAUUUUUCAAAAAUUUAUUUCUCUUUCCUUUAAUUUUGCUAUGGACAACCAAACAAGAAAAUUAUUUUAUAAUUCCUUUUUUAUUUUUUUCAUUCUCUCUCUCUUUUUUUCCCUACUCUAUUUCUUUUCCCUCAAACUUUCUUGGUAGUAAACACAACCUAAGAUAAAUGGGGAAGAAAAUUUUCAGUUUUAUUUUUUUAUUUUUUUAGAAUGUUUUCUUACUUUUUAGUAUUUUAUGCAAAUAUAGGAAAAUUAUUUUUUUUUUCUUGCUCCUUUUCAUACAUGAAUCACACUUUAAAAGAAAAUUAAUUUUUAAUUAGGAGUUAAGAUAAAUUUAAGGAGAAACAAUGAAUCACGAAUAACAAAAAAUUAAGGAAAUUGAAUUUUUGAAAGUAAGUAUAAUCAAAUUGCUUCAUUUGAUACAAAAUUUGAAUAAAAAUUCUUUCAAUGAAAAUUCAAGGAAAGGAAUAAACAUUUUUGUCUCUAGAUUAUAAUACUAAAUCAUGUAAAAAAUCUCUUAACAUCAUUUAUAUUCAUAUUUCUUUUUAUAGAUUUGAAAAAUUCAACAAUUUGGAAUAAACUUAUUCAAUGAAGAAUAAUUUUUAGAUUUAAAGAUUAUUAUUUAAGAUCAUAAAUAUUACCAUCAUUGUUGAUGUCUAAGAAGAUCAUAUUCAACAAUUUUUUUAAUAUGUUGUUUUUUAUGGUAAUUAAUUGAUGUCUUGUAAUUUUUAAUAUUUAAUGAAAAACAUUAAUUUAAUUCAUCUAGAGCUCUUAAUUCAUGAAGACCUCAUUAAUGUAAUGGUGAGUAAUAGUUGGCUGUAAGUUUGGAGUCAAAGACAAGUUAAGGAGAUGAUUAGUUACAUGUCUUAUUCUCUUUUGUAGGUUUCUGCCAAUUGAAUAAGCUUCAAGAGUUAGAUCUUUCUUACAACUUAUUCCAAGGGAUCCUUCCUCCAUGUUUGAAUAAUUUCACAUCUCUGAGGUUAUUGGAUAUCUCUGCCAACCUAUUCUCCGGAAAUCUUUCUUCCCCUUUAUUACCUAAUCUCACAUCCCUGGAGUACAUCGAUCUCAGUUAUAAUCAGUUUGAGGGUUCAUUCUCUUUCAGCUCUUUUGCUAAUCACUCCAAGCUUCAAGUGGUCAUACUUGGAAGGGAUAACAUCAAAUUUAAGGAAUUUGGAAGGGAUAACAAAAAAUUUGAGGUAGAAACUGAAUAUCCAGUUGGUUGGGUUCCCCUGUUUCAGUUGAAGGUUCUCUCUCUAUCCAGCUGUAAGCUCACCGGUGACCUUCCUGGUUUUCUUCAAUACCAAUUCAGGUUAGUGGGGGUUGAUCUCUCCCAUAAUAACUUGACAGGAAGUUUCCCCAAUUGGCUGCUUGAAAACAAUACGAGACUGGAAAUUCUACUCCUGAGGAAUAACUCUUUAAUGGGUCAACUACUUCCCUUGGGACCUAAUACCCGUAUCAAUUCAUUGGAUAUCUCACACAAUCAGUUGGAUGGACAACUUCAAGAAAAUGUGGCCCAUAUGAUUCCAAAUAUUACGUCUCUAAAUUUAUCCAACAAUGGUUUUGAAGGUAUUAUCCCAUCCUCAAUAGCUGAACUAAGAGCCUUACAGAUUUUGGAUUUGUCUACCAAUAAUUUCUCUGGAGAAGUACCAAAGCAAUUGCUUGCAGCAAAAGAUUUGGAGAUUCUGAAAUUAUCAAAUAAUAAAUUUCAUGGUGAAAUAUUUUCAAGGGACUUUAACUUGACUGGGUUAUUGUGUUUGUAUUUGGGCAAUAAUCAGUUCACGGGAACUCUGUCAAAUGUAAUCUCCAGAAUCUCUUGGUUGUGGGUGUUGGAUGUGAGCAACAACUACAUGUCAGGUGAAAUUCCAAGCUGGAUAGGUAACAUGACAUUAUUGAGAACAUUGGUCAUGGGCAACAAUAAUUUUAAAGGCAAAUUACCACCUGAGAUUUCUCAAUUGCAACGGAUGGAGUUUCUUGACGUUUCUCAAAAUGCUCUUUCAGGAUCUCUUCCUUCUUUGAAGAGCAUGGAGUAUUUAGAGCAUCUACAUUUGCAAGGGAACAUGUUUACAGGAUUAAUACCCAGAGAUUUUCUCAAUUCCUCAAAUCUAUUGACUUUGGAUAUUAGAGAAAACAGGUUAUUUGGAAGUAUUCCCAAUUCAAUCUCUGCACUUUUGAAGCUAAGGAUUCUUUUGCUGAGAGGGAACCUUUUAAGUGGUUUUAUUCCAAAUCAUCUUUGUCAUUUGACUGAAAUAAGCUUGAUGGAUCUUUCAAACAACUCUUUUUCAGGGCCAAUUCCUAGAUGCUUUGGCCAUAUCCGAUUUGGGGAGACGAAAAAGGAGGACAACGUGUUUGGACAGUUCAUGUAUUGGUAUGAACUGAAUUCUGAUCUUGUAUAUGCAGGUUACUUGGUGAAACAUUGGGAGUUCUUAAGUCCAACAUAUAAUGAAAAAGAUGAAGUUGAGUUUGUCACCAAGAACAGGCAUGACUUCUACAGAGGUGGCAUCCUUGAAUUCAUGUCUGGAUUGGACUUAUCAUGUAACAACUUGACAGGUGAAAUUCCUCAUGAACUUGGAAUGCUAAGUUGGAUUCGUGCAUUGAACUUGUCUCACAAUCAAUUGAAUGGCUCCAUUCCAAAGAGUUUCUCCAAUCUUUCUCAAAUAGAGAGCUUAGACCUUUCUUAUAAUAAACUGGGUGGAGAAAUUCCUCUAGAGCUAGUUGAACUCAAUUUUUUAGAGGUGUUUAGUGUGGCUUACAACAACUUCUCUGGUAGAGUUCCAGAUACCAAAGCACAAUUUGGGACAUUUGAUGAAAGAAGCUAUGAAGGUAAUCCUUUCCUUUGUGGGGAACUAUUAAAGAGGAAAUGCAACACAAGUAUUGAGUCACCAUGCGCACCAUCACAGUCUUUUGAAAGUGAGGCAAAAUGGUAUGAUAUCAAUCAUGUUGUUUUCUUUGCAAGUUUUACUACUUCAUAUAUCAUGAUCUUGUUAGGAUUUGUUAUCAUCCUUUACAUCAAUCCUUAUUGGCGUCAUAGAUGGUUCAAUUUUAUCGAGGAAUGUAUAUAUUCCUGCUAUUAUUUUGUUUUUGAUAGUCUUUCCAAGUUAUCGGCAUAUUUGUAUAAUUAGAUACUUUUAAUUGGAUGAUAUUUGCAUAAUUAACUACUAUUUGUUUCCCUGGGAUAGAAAGAAAUGGGAUGUAUAAUGCUAUGAGCUGAAACUUACAUACUUUGCUCAAAUUCUAACAUCUUUUGAUUUUAUUUUCAAGUUCCGUUAUUUAUUAUGUAUUGUUAAAUUCAAGAUUUAACCAUAUUACGUUACUCUUAUAAAAGAAAAUUCAAAUUUUUAGGAACUUUUAGCAUUAAAAUAAUUUCAUAGUCAGAUUUUAAAAAAUAAAGAAGAAAGAAAAUAAUAAAUAAUUGGAAAAACAAUUCAAGGAAGUAUUAAAUUAUUAUCUUAGAAUUGUUUGGCGUAGUAUGGGAAUUCAAAAAUAAUCUUUCAAUUUGUUAGAAAUGUUUAUUUAUUUAUUAUAGCAAUGAUUGAAAUAUCAAUCACAAAGUAAUGUUUUCUUUUCUUUUGUAGGGCACUAACACUUUUUCUUUGAUUGUAAUAAUUGAUAAAUAUAUUACACAAUUAUUUGUUUUAAAAAGGGGAGGGAUGACAAACAUAAUAACAUGUAAAAUAUUUCUAAAACUGUGAUGGGAAAUAAACCAUCUAAUUAGGGUGCAAUAUUAUUCAUUUUAAUUUAUAUGAAUUUACUUAUUUUUAUUUGCAUCAUAUUCUGAACUAUUUUAUGAAAUUAAGAGAGAUUAAAACAUCAUGAAUUUCUUAGUUUAAUUUAUAUUUUUAAUAAUAAAGCAUGAAAUAUUUAAAAAAAGAAAAACAAAAUCAUGAAUUUCUUUAAUUCAUUAGGAAACCAAUAUAUAAAAAAAGUUGAAUAUAUUAUUAUUUUAUGUUCUAAAUUUCUAAAUUUGUUCAUCACGUAUUUAUUUUUAUAUUAAAUUUAUUAUCAAUAAUUAUUUAUUAUAUAUUAUUAUUUUAUGUUUAAAAAUGUUCAUAAAUAAUUAAAAUUAAUAAAUAUAAAAAAUGAAAUAUUAAAAAAAUAAAUUAAAAAGAUUUCAUCAAGCUAACAAAUUUUUAUAAAAAAAAAAAAGAGUAAAAAAGAAGAUGGGGAUAUUAUAGAGGUGGGGAAAAAGAUAAAAGAAAAAUCAUGUGGUAUAAUAAUUGCCACGUGUUAAAGUUAUUUUCUUUAAAAAUUAAUUAUAGUAAUGAUGAACUCAUUUGUCUUAUCAAAGUAAAUAAAAAUAAAUAAAUAAAAGAAAAAAAGAAAAAGAAAAAAGGUGGUAGUUGGCUGGAGGUUAGAGAGGAGGGUUUGAAGGUAAAUUUGGAAUAUUGAUUAUUUUCACUAAGUAGAUAUUUUGAAAGUUAUUUUGCCUGAAACCCAUAUUGUUUGAAAAUAAAAAAUCAAAGUUUAAAAAAAAUACAAUUUUUUUGAAAUGAUGCAUGAUUACAUCAUUCCCCUGAUAGAUUAUUUAUUCCUUUAAACUUUACUUCAAAUAAAAUAAUUUUAAUUAUUUUCUUUUUGGAAUUAUAUUUAACAUAUUAUUAAAAAUAUAAAAAAACAUUUUAAUAAUAUUGUUAAUGAGUUUUUUUUAUAUAUAUUUUGUAAAAUAAUUAAAUUUAAAAAUAUUUAAAUUUAGUUAUGGGCUGCCCAUUUCAAAAUAAUAAGAAUCUAGUAACCUAAUUUUUCCAAAUUCCAGGUAAAUAUGCUAAUCUAAAAAUAAAUAAAAAAAUAAAAAUUAGUUUUUAUGUGCUGAUUGGGUUUUUUUUCCUUUAAUUAAAAAAAAAGGAAAAAAACAAAAGUGUGUGAUCCUCUUUCUCGAGUCUUCACAUUUAGAGACACUGAACCCAAAUCAAAAUUAAUCCUUCAAAUUAAUUUUCACCUCCAAACAUAGCUAUCCGAAAAACCCUAACCUCUGCCUCCUCUUCCUCUUAUCCCGGAAACCUAAAUUCCGUGACCCUAACCCCUUCUCUUUCCGAAAACCCUCCGGAAUCGGAAAAUUCAUAAUUCUUCAGAAUUAAUUUUCACCUCGAAGCCAAACCCUAACUGCCUCAUCUUCCUCUCAUUCAUAUCCCAAAAGUAGCUUCAACAGUCAGGCCUGUAGCCAUGAAAGCCGUAGUGAUCACUACUUCCGGUGAUCCCCAAGUUCUCCAAGUGCAAGAAGUCGAAAACCCUGAAAUUGGAGAUGAUGAAGUUCUAAGUAGAGUGGACGCCGCUGCCAUUAACCGAACAGAUACGCUUCAGAGGAAGGGCUUGCACCCUUCCUCAAAGGCGGCAGUCCCUACCCGGGUCUCGAAUGUUCUGGAAUCAUCGAAGCUGUUGGAAAAGCCGUCGUUCGAUGGAAGGUUGGCGAUCAGGUAUUUCAAUUGCCUAAUAUUUUGAUUUCGUUUCUGUUCCUCUGUUUUUCUCGGCUAUCAAACACUAGGAACGUGUAAAUAAGGAGGUUAGUUGAUUGCGAAAACGGGAAUUUUUUGUUCGUGUCUGUGUUAAGGAGUCUUUGUUGAGAAUUUUGGGGAAAUUUAUGAUAAGUUUGUGAUUUUAUGAUUAAUUUUGUGUAUCAAUAUAGGUUAAAUUAUUGAGCUUAUUGGUUUUCAAAUUUAUGGUUGUAAGAAAAUUGGUCAGUGUAAGGUUAUGGGAUCAUUACCAAUUUGCUUACUGAAAAUUUUUCCAGAUAUUGUGGACCGGUUUGGUAGCAGAAAUAAGAACUGUGUUUUGUUUUUCAAAACGGAAAUGGAUGCAGAAAACAUGUUUUUCUUUCAGAACUUGUUUCCGAAAAUAUUUCCUGAAAAUGAAUUAUUUCAGAACUUGUUUUAAAAAAAUUCAAACACUUUAUCAAUUUAAAAGGUUCUGAAAUGGACAUGUUCAUGGUCUUCAUUUUUUAAAAUUAAAGCUUUUAUGAAAAAACCAUUUUCCCUUCUACUAAACAAACAGGCUCUAUAUUGUAACAGAUCGAUUGGCCAUUUCCUUUGUCAUGUUUUGUGAAUCAUGGCAACACUGGAAUCCACUCCAUUACCAUCUGUUAGUGAUUAGAAGACAAAGCACCAAUUUUAAUGAUAUCCUUUAUGUGAUUUUGCUUCCUCCUGAGUACAAGUUCAUAGUAUACAUGGUACAUGGUGAAUCUGUAUGACAGUUCAUGGUAUACAGGUGUGUGCUCUUCUUUCUGGUGGAGGGCAUGCUGAAAAAGUGGCUGUUCCAGCUGGGCAAGUUCUCCCUGUCCUAUCUGGUGUUUCUCUGAAGGAUGCUGCUGGAAUUCCUGAGGUUGCAUGUACUGUUUGGUCAACUGUUUUAAUGAUGAGCCGACUGUCUGCAGGAGAAACAUUCCUGGUGAAUUUUUUGUCUUUUUUAUUUUCUGAUGCCUGAUAUAUUUACCAGCACAAAUUUACCCUGUUGCUGUUUAAUGUGUGUGCAUCAAUAUUGGAUUAGGGAGGUAGAAGAGCCAUGGUUCUAAUUAAAUCAUUACAUCAUCAUAUUCUUAUUUAGAUACAUUGUAUCCCACAAUUUCAUUGCAUCCAAGGCUAUGUUGUUUUUUAUUGCACGGUUUGUGUCAUGGUAAUUUCUCAACCCUUCUCUGGAAAAUUAUGUUGGAUGGCUGCUAUUAAUUACCCCAAAAGAAGAAAUUUUAUGUUGAAGUAAGAUGAGUAGCACAAAGAGUUACUUGUGGUUGAUCCUAUCAUCAAAUGGGCGAUUGAUGCACAAUCCAAAUGGUAAAUUUUUUUCCCCCUUUAUCCAGAUGGAAUUUUUAUGCAUGGUUGAAUAGUGAAAUGAGGACUGAUAAUAUUUCAGGUUCAUGGGGGUUCAAUUGGAAUUGGUACCAUCUAUUCAAAUAGUGAAAUACUGAGGAGCAAGGGUAUUUGUUACAGCAGGUUUGCCAUCACUGUUCUACCUCAUCUCACAGAAUGCUUAUCUCAUGGCACCAAUUCCUUUUCUUCACAUGUUUUCAACCAUUUUUUCCACCCAGGAACGAGGAAAAAUUAGCUGUUUGUAAGGAUCAUUGAGCAGAUGUGUGCAUCAAUUACAAGACUGAAAACUUUGUUGCAUGGGUGAAGGAGGAAACAGGAGGGAAAGGUAUAAUCUAUUGUAUCUUAACGAUAAUUUCAAUUGAAGGUGGAAUUGCUUUUUAAUUUUUAGUGCACCAAAUCCACUAGUCUGGAAUGUUUGAAAAGAUAAAUAGUCAUCUUCCACUUGAUACCGAUUGUGAAGAUCUAACCCCAAAAAUGUUGAAUGACAGGUGUUGAUGUUAUACUGGAUAAUAUUGGAGGGGCCUACUUUUGGGGAGACAUCAAUGGUUUAAAUGUUGAUGGAAGGCUUUUUAUUAUUGGUUUUCAGGGUGGAACAGUGGUACAAGUAAAUCUUUCAGGUUUACUUGCAAGGCGCCUUACAGUGCAAGGUACCGCUUUCUCUGUAGUUUUGGAGUUGAAUCAAUUUGAUUAAUCUCAUCCAAGUUCAGAACUGAGGUGGAUUCUGGCAAGCCAAGGAAAAACCAAAUUACCAUAAAUUCUUUUUUUCUUGGAAAUCCUGUUUCUCAAUCUGGUCAGUAUAUGGAAAUUCCAAGGAAAAUAUGUUUUACAUUUUCCAUAAGGCUCAAUGGGUUUUAACUCCACUCAGCUACUUUAUGUCUUGUAUUUAAUAUUGCAAACCAAAAUAAUAAUACGUAGAGAUUGAGCUUGGAGGCCAAUCUAGCAAAUGUGGAGAUUAGAAAUAGUUUACCAUCUAGAUAGUCAAGCAUAGCAAUUUACCAAACCCUUACCAACCAUCCAUACUAACCAAUUGUGGUUAAAUGUUUACAAAAAUGUACAUUAAAUCAAAGAGAAAAAAGAUUAAAAACGAACAAGAGAGAAGAAGUACGUCACCUAAUUUUGGUAAUAAAUGAAAUUAAAAUAAAUUCAUAAAUUUUUUAAAUUAAAAUGAAUUUGAACUCUAGAGAUUUGUGUAGAUAUCUUAUUAAAAAACCAAAAAGUUUGUUGCAUAUAUAAUUUCAACAAUGCAUAAAUAAUUACAACAUACGCAAUACAAUAAUAUUACACAACUAUAUUUUCAAAUAUAGUAUAAGAUCAUUAAAGUGAUAAAUUGUAGUUGUAUAAAAUAUUUAUACAAGUAAAGAAGAAAUUAUGAGAUUGAAAUGCUUGUUGGAUUCUAAGUAAAAAGGAAAUGAGAUAUAGAGAUUGUCCCAUCAGACAUAGAAUUUCAUAUACAUAAUUUUCCCUUCAAGAAAAUUUAGGGUCAAAUUGAAAAAUUUUCAUUCAUAGAUUUUGGUAAAACCUCUAUCUAGUCCUCCAAAUCUUGUAUACAAAAGGAAAUAACAUUGGUAUGAGGGGUUUGAAUGCUUAAUUUUAGAUUGAAAAUGCUUGAGAUAAUUUUUGAUCGACUUCACAUGUGUUUUUGAUAAACUUGGAACAUUCAAACUUGUAUUUGAAGAAUCUUCAAAUCUUCAAUUUGAUCUUAAAUAAUGUUGAAACCUUCGAAAUUUGAAUAGAAGAAUCUUUAAGCAUUUGAAUUUUGGUUUAAAGAAUUUUGAAAUUUGAGAUUGAAGAAUCUUCAAAUUUGGGCCUGAAGAUCAAAGGCUAAGCUUGAAGAGUUCUUGAAGCUUGAGUGGUAUCUCCGAUUUUGUUUUGUAUUUCAUAAAAACUUUUAAGUAUACUAUAUUUAUAGGUUUGAAGAGACAUUGAGAUUUUGUAUACAUGUUUGGAGUUUUAAACCUUGAAAUAUUACUCUUUUAUGAAAUUAACAUUUAUAAAAUUUGGAAGAACAUAAUUAGAUAAUAUUCUAAGUUAUUUUUAAUGAAAAUUGAUAAUUACCUUUUAAUUAUCAAAUUCACUAUUUCUAUUUAUUUUUGUAAUAUAUAUUAAUUACUAAAAUCAUUUAUUUCCUUUAUUUAGUUUGAAAGCAAUUAUAUAUCUUUUGUUUGUGUAGAGCUCAUGUGACACGACAAAUUUUAUUUUGUAACUUGCUCUGGAUGAAUGGCCAUUAUAAACUUCAUUUUAUCCUCAUCUGAUUUUGAGGUGGGAAUAGGAGAGAUGAGGAUUUGACAUUUGGACCUAAGCCUCAGAGGGUUUUAACUCCACUCAACUACUUUAUGCCUUGUAUUUAAUAUUGCAAACCAAAAUAAUAACAGACAUGAUCCUUUUCAAAAUUUUUAUAAUAAUAGAAGUGUAAAUAAUAUAAGUAAAAAUAAUAUAAUAUUUUUUAAAAUGAUAAAAUAAUAGGUUAUAUAAAUUUUAAUAUAUAGGUAAAAUUAAUUAAAUUUUAACAAAUACCUUCACACUUAAACAUUACAUAUCUUUUAUUUAAUAAAAUGUUAAAAUAUUAAUAUAUUUAAAAUUGUAUAAUUAUUUUUUAUUUUAAUACUAUAUAAAUUAUAUAUUUAUGAUAUUACUGGUUCAACUAUAAUUCAAUCACUGAUCCAACCAUUGAACCAUGAAUUAGUAAAUUUUUUUAUUCAAUGAUAGGUUUGAUUCUAAAAAUAUUAUGACUAUGUUUGGUUCCAGAAAUUUUUUUUUGAUGGAUUACAUCAAUCUAGAUAAUGACAAAGAUAUUACCAAUUUGAUAUCACCAAUUGAUAACACAAUUAAAAAAUAAUAUGCAUUUUAACAUAUUUGAAUUCAUUGUACUCAUAUCCAUGACCUAAUUUUACACAUCCUUAAAUCAUGGUUGAUUUAUGAAACAAAUCUAUACCAUCAAUAGAAAAUAAAUAAAUAAAAUAAUACAAAAAAAUAUAUAGAUAGUCAAGCAUAGCAAUUUACCAAACCCUUAGCCACCAUCCAUACUAACCAAUUGUUGUUAAAUGUUUACAAAAAUAUACAUUAAAUCAAAGAGUAAAAAGAUUAAAAACGAACAAGAGAGAAGAAAUACAUCACCUAAUUUUUGUAAUAAAUGAAAUUAUAAUAAAUUCAUAAUUUUUUUAAAUUAAAAUAGAAAUUCAAAUACAUGUAACUAUUGUUUUUGUCUUGUAAAUCAUCCAAUUUUUCAAUGAAUUUAAACUCCACAUAUUUGUGUAGAUAUCUUAUUAAAAAAAACAAAAAGUUUUCACUAAAAUCAUAAAAUUUAGAUUAGAAAUGAUUUACUAUAUUAGUUCAAAAUUCAUCUCCACAAAAAUUGAAAUAAAUUAAUUAUCUUGAUCAAUUCAAAUAAAAUUUCUCCAAUUAAAUUUCCAAAUAUGUGCCUUAAUACCUAUAAUGGAAUUAGUAAUUUUAAUUAAAAAAUAAAUAAAAAUAAGGAUUUGAUCUUUUUCUUACCAUUUGAUGAAAAUUAUAAAAUAUACUAAAAUGACAAGUGAUCAGACAUUUGAAAUUUGCAUCAUUUCUACCAUUGCAAACACCACCAACUCCAUAUUUCCCAUUUUUCUACCUACUGCCAAUUCACUCAUCUCUCUGGGAAGAUUUUUGAGGUUAUCGCCAUGCUUGAGAUAAUCCAGAAAGUUGAGCGGCAUCACUCUCUGAAAGGUGCCUUACAGCAUGGGUAAUGUAUGGGAUACAUCUGAUAGCUUGCCAUAUCCAUAAACCACUAUAUUAAACCAUGGUUCAUAUCCCCAACGCCACACGAGAAUCUGUACUCAUCCCAAGCAGCUUGGAGAUCAUAAAAUUAGGUUUUGAGGGCCUCCCGAGACAUGCACAGCUUCACCUUUGUGCAUUCCUUUGAUUUGGAAAAUUUCUUCUGUAAAAUCCCCCAUUAUCAUGCCCUGAACCAAGACAAUUUCACAAUAUCCAAUAGCAUAUCAUUUACUUCCAUUUUGUCAAUGGGAAUUACCAUUUUGCAUGGGAAGCACCAACGGAGAUAGGGGUUUUCAAAUUGGAUCACUAGCAAAGAAACCCACCGCAACGAUCUGAAUAAUUGAGCACAACAUCCACUUUAGAGAACCCCUCCUGAAGGCGAAAUCGUCAUCUUGGCUAAACGUAGUCAUAGUUGGGUUGUGAGAAAUGGAGAUGAAUCACAGAAGGCUUUCAGUUUGAUAGCAACGAAAAGGUAAAUGUACUCUAGAGAAGUUUUGACCUUGGGAGAAGCGCUUUUGAAUCCAAGUCAAGGUCUGUUCUGGAUCCCUUUUCGACUCUCUCUAUUAAAGGAAGAUAAUCUGCCCAGGAUUUGGAUGCAAGCCUACAAGGCCAUGUUUAGGAGACUUAUGCAAAAUAUUUAUCCAUAGCUCCCCGCCUGAAACAUCUACAUAAAGCGUCUUCCAAGUGUGAACCAUCGUCUUGGGUCCUUGAGAUGAACAAAAACUGAGACAUGUCGUGAGUUAGAUGCAUUGCCUGAAAAUGCCGAGCAGUAGUAUGGCCUUCUUUCUGAUCAACUGUUUUGUCAAAUUCUAGAGCUCUCAUUCCAAAUCCAUCAGUUUUCUCAAAUGAUUGGCCAGUGGAGAUCCAUGGAUAUAACAUAUGAAAUGUGCACAAUAAAAGUAAUCAAACGGUUGGUUGGUUUGGCUGAAUCCCACAAUCGCAAAGACUUAUCAUAUGAAACUGUUACCAACUGAGUUGAAUUUGGCCUAAAAAGGAUAUCCGUUACUACAAACUAGCGUUCUUUCGUGGUGCUCUCUCUUUGCAGGCUAUCCAUGUUCCAAAGAAAAACUCUCUUGUCAUGUCUGGCACUGGGCACUGAUUAGAGUGUGGGACGUUCAUUCUCCAUUAUCACCAAACACAUGCAGGAUAUAUAUAUAUCAAUUCAUUCAAAAUAUGCCUUUAUUUUAUGGAACAUACCCGAAUCCAUUUUGUUUGUGUUGAAGAGGUAUAGAUCUUCUAAGGCUAUGGAGGGCACCACCUUUUCUCAGAAUUCUCUCUGACGAUGGGAAGCCGAAGAGAACGGGUUUUGUUUUUAUUUUGAAAACGUUGUUAUCCUUAAAGAACAAACACUAUUCUUUGGAUUUAUACCCUCCUACCUUAGGGACCAUACCGUUUGGCUACUGGGCCUCACGAGUCUUAGGCCCAUCAUCUAAGGCCCGUGAUGGCACUGGGCUCUACACAUAAGGUGGCCCAUACUCUAGAACGAAUAGAAAUCAUAUGUAUAUAUAUGGAUAGCUAAAUCCUGAAUAAUGGUUAAUAUGAUGUCGGUCCACAUUUAUUCUAUCAAUCUCCCACUUGGACCACAUAUAUUACAAAACAAUGUUCAUGAUAGUACUUUAUUGAGCUCAUCUUUGCUAUCCUAUCUUAAUAUCCUUAAACAAUCUGGUCUACUAGUUAUGCUAACAUAGGAUCAAAGUGGCCUUCAUUAAUCAUAAUUAUAACUAGACCCAUCAAUGAUCACAACAUUAACAAAAUUAGCAACAUAGAUCAAGUAUGGAUGUGUAGCAUGAAAAUUACAUAAAAUGUGAUCUUUAUUAUGUCUAUUUCCAAUUGGUCCUACUUUAUGACUAAAAAAUAGUCAAAUUCCACUUUCAACACUUGAUGCUAAACUGCUUCUGAAAGUCAUCAUUUCAAUUCAGAGAAUUCAAAUACAAUAGUCUUUAAAAUCAAGGUUUGUUGCGUACAUUAUUGGAAUGUUCAGCAAAUAUUUGAGUAACCCAAGUAUGGAUUACUGGAAAAAGGCAAAAUAGGUUAUGCGGUAUUUACAAAGAACUAAAGAUUAUAUGCUCACAUACCGUAGAUCCAGUCAUUUAGAGAUCAUGGGAUAUUCGGACUCCGAUUUCGCGGGAUGUCUUGACAACAAGAGAUCCACUUCAAGCUUCAUCUUCAUGUUGGCUAGAUGAACAGUUUCAUGGAAAAGUGUUAAACAAAUACUUAUUGCUUCUUUCACCAUGGAGGCAGAAUUCAUAGCCUACUACAAAGCAUCAAACCAUGGGAUAUGACUGCGGAAUUUUGUCACUCAGUUGCGAAUCGUUGAUGAGAUUGAGAAAUCAUUAAGAAUAAAUUGUGAUAAUAAAGCCAUAGAAUUGUAAUUCUAAGAACAACCGAAGUUCGUCAAAGUCCAAACACAUUGACAUCAAGUUCUUGGUUGUGAAAGAAAGAGUUUAGAGUCUUCAAGUAUCAAUUGAACAUACAAGCACAAACUCCAUGAUUGCGGAUCCGCUCACUAAGGGUUUGCCACCCAAAGUAUAUCAUGAGCAUGUCACACAUAUGGGUGUUGUACAUAUUGAUGAUGUUCCAGUAUAGUGGGAGUUUGUAUUUAGAUUUUGUGUUUGUUUUCUUGAUAUGAUGUUAUAUUGUGUUAUCGUGUACAAACUUGUGCAUACAUGAGACUUCCUAUUGUUGAGGCAUAGGGAAACCUCUUCAUAUCCUUCUUUUUAAGUUCAUUUUUCGGACAUUGGUGCAAACUAAAUUUAUCGCCUUUUGCUACAGGCAUGUCUCCUGGUGUACAAUUGCUCAUGCCAAAUCUACUCAACACCUUAUCGAUGUAGGCCUUUUGUGAUAACCCAAGUAUACCUCUUAAACGAUCCCUAUAGAUCUGUAUACCUAGCAAAAAAGAUGCAUUACCAAGAUCCUUCAUGUCAAAUUUACUAGACAAAAAUAGCUUAGUUUCAUGCAAAAGUCCCACAUCACUACUUGCAAGUAGAAUAUCAUCAACAUAUAGCACCAAGAUAAUGAAUUUGCUCCCACUAAACUUGAGAUAUAUGCAUUGAUCAAUGGUGUUUUCCUUAAAACCAAAUGAAGUAAUCACCUGAUUAAACUUUUGGUACCAUUGUCAAGAUGCUUGCUUUAAACCAUAUAUGGACCUUUUUAAUCUGCAUACAAGUUGCUUUAAAUCAUUAGACUCAAAGUUCUCCGGUUGCAUCAUGAAUAUUGUUUCAUCAAUGUUACCAUUAAGAAACGCAGUUUUAACGUCCAUUUGAUGCAACUCUAAAUCAUAAUGAGCCACAAGUGCCAUGAUGAUUCUAAAGGAGUCAUUUGACAAAACCGAUGAAAAAAUCUCCUUAUAAUCAAUGUCUUCCUUUUGAGUGAAACCUUUUGCGACUAGACGUGCCUUAUACCUAACAAUGUUGCCUUUUGAAUCCCACUUGGUCUUAAAAAUCCAUUUACAACCAAUCGAUUUUACACUUUCAGGCAACUUUACUAGGUCCCAAACACCAUUAUCUUUCAUUGAUUUCAUCUCAUCUUUUAUGGCUUCUAUCCACUUUUCAGAGUCAGAACUUUGUUUGACUUGACUAACUGAAAUUGGAUCAUCUUCCAAACCCAUGUCAAACUCUUGUUCCUGGAGAUGUACAACAUAAUCAUCUGAAAUUGUACUUCUCAUUUCUCUAGUGGAUCUCCUUAGUGGCACUUGUAUUUGAGGUUCUUGAGGCUGUUGAGUUACCUCUUCAUAAACUUGAACCGGUUCCAUAACUUGAGCAGGAGGAAUCUCAAGUGUGUUUUGAAUCUCUGUUAUUGAUUGUACAAUCUGGAUAGUGUCAUCAAACAUAAUAUGACCAUGUCCAGUCGUAAUAAUAGGAAUACUAACAGAUUCCUCUUCAAAUACCACAUUUCUUAACGGUUCUCUCCCAUUUAACUCAACAUCCUCAAUAAAUUUAGCUUUGCCCGUUUCAAAAAAGGAUCUAGUUGAGGGGUCAUAAAACUUGAAACCUCUCAACCUUUUAGAAUAUCCUACAAAGUAGCAGCUCACUAUUCUAGAGUCCAAUUUCUUUUCAUUUGGUUUUUAAGGCCUAUCUUCAGCUGGACAACCCUAGACAUGCAAGUGCCUAAUACUAGGUUUCUUGCUAGUUCAUAACUCAUAUGAGGUUUUGGCUACUGCUUUGCUUGAGACUCUAUUCAAAAUAUAAAUUGUUGUUUUGAUGGCUUCGCCCUAAAGUGAUUCUGGUAAGGUGGAAUGACUGAUCAUACUUCUUACCAUAUCCUUAAGAGUACGAUUUCGCCUAUCUGCUACACCAUUUUGGAUUGGAGUCCCCAGCAUGGUGUAUUGAGGAACGAUACCACACUCCAUCAAAUAUUUGGCGAACAGCCCUGGACGUUGUUCACUAGAUCCGUCAUAUCUACCAUAAUAUUCACCUCCACGGUCAGAUCUGACGACCUUUAUUUUCUUGCUUAGUUGGUUCUCAACUUUAGCUUUGAAAUUCUUGAACACAUCUAAUGAUUGAGACUUCUCAUGAAUCAAAUAAAGAUAGCCAUAGCGCGAGUAAUCGUCAAUGAAAGUGAUAAAAUAUUAUUGUCCAUUCCAAGAAGGGGUAGGAGAUGGACCACAAAUGUCCGUAUGUAUCAAUUCAAAGACGUCACUGCACUUGUUAACAUCAUUUUUUUUCUCAUAUUUGUUUGUUUACCCUUAAUAUACUCUAUACAGACUCGAAAGUAUAAGAAAUUAAGUGGAUCAAGAAUUCAUUCUGACACAAGCCUUUGAAUACGUUGAUUUGAAAUAUGACCCAAAUGCCUGUGCCAUAACAUCGAUGAAUUCUCAUUUGUUAAUUUCCGUUUAAUGUCAUAAUUACUUGAAUUCAAGGUUUCAUUUUCAUUAGUGGUCUUUAUGUUUAAUUUGUAUAAUUUGUCUGUUAGAUUACCUGUACCAAUAACAUUUGAAUUUAGAUAAAGACUAACCAUUCCAUUUCUAAAUGAACAAUAAUAUCCAAAGUACAUCCAGAGUCUAACUGUAAUCUAAAAAGACCAAUAGUCUUGACUGCAACCUUGUUGCCAUUUCCCGCAUAGAUGUAUCUUUCACCAUCAAUUGGCAUUCGGCUCCUUAGGCAACCCUACAUCGUGACACUUAUGUGAGUAGUUGCACCCGUAUCUAUCCACCAAGUGUCAGUAGGCACUACGACUAAAUUAAUUUAUGAACAAACAAAGUUGAGAAGUGUACCUUUCUUUUCACGCCAAGCAGCGUAUUUGGUACAUGUCUCUUCAUAUGACCAACCUUCUUGCAAAAGAAACAAGUCAUCUCCUUAUCUUGUUUCUUCUACACCUUUUGCAUUGAUGUCCCAAAAAUUGCAGUUUGUUUUUCUUUAUUGUCCCUUUUUCUUUUCUUGUUGGUACCAAAUCCCUGAGAUGUGGAAGCCAAGUGAGCACUUUCUAUCUUUUCUUGUUUCAAUCUCUCAUCCUUUUGUGCACAUUGAGCAAUAAGCUCAUUCAAAGUCCAUUUUUCUUUUUGUGUGUUGUAACUGAUUUGGAAUGGACUGAAUUGUGUAGGCAGAGAGAUCAAGACCAAGUGCACGAGUAUGUCUUCUGAAAACUCUAAUUUUAGUACCUUUAGUCUAGUCACAAGAUUAGACAUUUCCAUAAUAUACUCCCUUAUAUUCUCUUUCCCUUUGUACCGCAUAGAGACAAGCUUACUAAGAAUAGUGCUUGUCUCAACCUUUUCAUUUGUAGUGAAUCGGUUUGCUAUCUGGUCUAAGAAUGCCUUGGCUCGAGUUUUCUCAGGUAUUGCACUUCUUACAGCUUUUGGAAUUGAGUGCUUUGUUAUCAUUAGAGUCAUGCGAUUGGAUCGCUCCCAUUUUUCCAUAGUAGAACUUUGCUCAGCAGUGCUGGCACUAGUAAGAUCUGGAGGGCGAUCCUCUCUUAAUGCAUAGUCUAAAUCCAUGCACCCGAGCACAAUUAUAGCGUGUUUCUUCCAUUUCUUGAAGUUUGUGCCAUUAAGUGCAGGAAUGUUAUUAACAUUUGCAGAUAUAGAAUAUGUUGAAUUCAUAAUAAUAAAGCUCACAAUCAGUCACAUAAAUAUCAUACAUACAUGAAAAAUAACAUCAUACAAGAUACUUAGCACAAACAUUAAUAUUCUGUCUUUGGACAAUAAAUAUUAACUUGUAAUUGGUAUCCUUAUUCAAAAUUAUUCAUAAAUAUUGACAAUAAAACCAAAAACAAUAUGCUUGUCUUUAGACUAACAUAUCGAAUGCAAGAUAAACUUUAUAUGUCACAUAUUUAUGACUACUUUAUUUAUUAUUAUAUUAAAAUAAUCUUCCUUUGGGCCAAUUAUUUUAAAUAAUAAUAAUAACAUGUUUAGAUAUUAUAAAAUAAAUAAAUUAUAUAAUAUAAGUUACUUUGACAACUAACAUACAUAAUUCAUUUAUUUUAAAAUAUUAAACACAAACAUAACAAGAAAUAAUAAAUUCAAUUAAAAUUAUUUAUUUAUUUAUGCAUAAACCCAUGUAUAUAUAUAUAUAUAUAUAUUAAUUGAAGCAUAAAAAACCAUCUACAUGUGUAUAUAUAUCAAUUGAAGCAUAUAUACAAGCUUUAGUCUAAUGGUUUAAGCAAAAAAUAGGCCAUGGUAAAGGGUUUAAGCCAACCCGCCCCUUUAGUUUGGUUUUUGUUUUUUUUUUUUUGUUUUAAUUUCUUUUGGGCUACUGACCAUGCAUUCUCUCAUGGCCCAACGACCACUUAUGGUCACUUACAAGCCAAGCCCCUUCCAUAUAUAUAUAUAUAUAUAUAUGUUUUUAUUUAUUUAUUUAAAUUUUGUCCAUUGCAGCCCAAAGCGACCAUCCCUUGUAAUGGCAUCAUCAACGGUGCCAGAGCUGUCCUCGAACGACACCGAUAGUGAAACGCUGCCACCAUCACCGGAACGGUGAUUUCCCAUCGCCAAACGACGGUGUCACUACCGGAAUGAUGCUGUAACAGCAUCGCUGGGAAGCAACCUAACUUGUGGCGUGACACCAUGACAAGCAAUGCCACUAGCAGUGAAACGCUGUCGCCAUCACCGAAACGGUGAUUUUCCAUUGCCAAACAAUGGCGCCACCACCGGAACAACGUUGAAACAACAUCACUGGGAAGCAGCCCUACCCGUGGCACCAAAAUGGCGCUUGGAUGGCAUUUGGAACACUUGCAACAACGUUCAAAUCAGCGCUUCUCACUGGCAAAUGACGCUUGAACGACAUCUGGAAAUAAUGCCUACAACGCCUAAAAAUUGUGCUAUUUUGAACUCUUAAAACAACGUUGAAAUGACGUCUACCAAAGUCUGGAAUUGCACCGCUGUCUAGAACGAUGCCAUGAUGGUGUCUCACUCGCCUUAAAUGGCACCAACCACCAUGACUUGCAACCUAAAAAAUGGCACUUGAACAGCGCCUGAAGCGUGCCUGGAACGACGCUACAAACGAUGCCUGAAAUGGUGCCUUUUGUAUGCCUGAAAACGACAUAGGAAUGACGCUUAAACUACGUCCAUUUUGAACGCCUGAACGGUGUCCUAACGGCGCCUGAAACGAUGCCUGAAUGACGCCUGGAAUUGGCCCAGAUUUAUUUUAUGUUGUUUCCUUCCUCUUGGAUCUUUUGUUUGUGUUUUAAAAAAAAAAAUGUUUUGGUGAAAAUGGGAAAUGCAACCAGGCUCUGAUACCAUUUUGUGGGACGUUCAUUCUCCAUUAUCAUCGAACACAUGCAAGAUAUAUUUAUAUAUAUCUAUCAAUUCAUUCAAAAUAUGCCUUCAUUUUAUGGAACAUACCCGAAUCCAUUUUGUUUGUGUUGAAGAGGUACAGAUCUUCUAAGGCUAUGGGGGGUACCACCUUUUCUUAGAAUUCUCUAUGACGAUGGGAAGCCAGAGAGAACAAGUUCUAUUUUUAUUUUGAAAACGUUGUUAUCCUUAAAGAACAAACACUAUUAUUUGGAUUUAUACUCUCCUACCUUAGGGACCAUACCCUUUGGCUAUUGGGCCUCACGAGUCUUAGGCCCAUCAUCUAAGGCUCGUUAUAGCACUAGGCUCUACACAUAAGGUGGCCCAUACUCUGGAAAGAAUAGAAAUCAUAUGUAUAUAUAUGGAUAGCUAAAUCAUGAACAAUGGUUAAUAUGAUGUCGGUUCACAUUUAUUAUAUCAUAGAGACUUCCCAUAUGAAGAAAAUCGACAGCAGGUAGCUUUGCCAUUCUUAGUCUGUAUACAACCAACCUUAGCAAGGAUUGAACCCUUUUAUGCUUAGUUGUGCCAUAAAGAUCCUUACCACUGCCUAUAACAUGUAAUCAAAAUGAUUCGAUAAUAUCAUCUAGUGAACCAAUACCUCCAAAUGAGAGACCAUUGCCUUGGUAACUAGGGCUCAUGACUGAGAAUUGCUUGAACCCCUUUGCUUGGGUUGGAGCUUGACUGAUGCACAAAAUAUUCAUAGGCCUCUUCCCAUAACUGGCACCUUGUGUUUGCAACAUAAUUGAACAUGUAUUGAAGUGAGUUUUUUUGCAUCUUUUUGUAAGAAAAUUCUAAACAACAGAGAUUGCUUAGUGUGCCCGGCUCCUCGGGGAAUCAAGGUUCAUUCCUGUAGGGCCAAUUUUUUCACAGUCGAACUAGAUAACAUGGAGAGUAUGUUGCAAUGCUUCAACGGGGUAUUUCUUAGGAAAAUCCACCUGAAGCUAGUACAAUUCGUUGGCGUACUGAGUUCCUGGAGCUCUAUUGACUUCAAUCACCCAUCUUUGUAGAUUAUCGGUGACUUAUGCUCGGAUCCUGUAGGAGGAUUGACCUGACAUUCCACUAGCUCUUUCUGGAAGGCGAUCUUGUUUAACACCUUGUGAGAAGAGGCAAGGGAACUGGUCAUUGUUUCUUCGAGAAGAUCAGUGGCCGAGGAUGGGUUUGGAUCAGAAUUGCUAUAUGGGUUUUCUUUGGGUGAACCAAUUAGUGAAGUGGGUGGCUAUAUAGCAACUGAAGGGUAGUCAUACUAACGAGGAACUAUUAUUUCAUGCAUGUGGAGAGGAAAUGAGUAGAUUCUUCAGGGAUAUAUGAUUAUUCAUCUCUAGCUUACGUUGAAUAUCUCCUAACAAAUUUAUGCUUUGAAGCUCCCUUAGUUUCAUUACAGCUAACUUGGCCAACUUGGUUUCAUCAUGUUUCCUACAACCUCUAAGCAAAGCACGCCAGAUCACCAAAUCAGGUUCUAUUCGCAUUUUGUCCAUAAACUCCUUUGCCUAUUGACAAUAGACUGCCCCUCAAAAUUUGAUGAGAUAACAUCAACGCUGACAGGUUGGCCAUCCCCAUAAGCAUCUUUAUAGAGAUUGAUUCUAUGUUUAGAUAUUUCUCUCUCCUCAAGUGAGUUCAAUUUUUUUGUAACAUCCUUCUCCUUCUCUACUAAUAGUCUUAGCUGAACAUCCAACCUAUGUUCCUAAAGUGCCAGCAUCUCAUAUCUGAUGACAAGCCAACAACCUUGCCCUUGCUGAGACCAAUGUUUUUAAGGCGUUUGUGGGGCGCGCCUUGAGGCGAGGCGCAGCGAAAACGUGUUGAGGCGUUAAAAAUAAAAUGAAACACCUGAAAGGCGUACGCUUUUCCGAUGAGGCGUGAUUGAGGCGUGCUUUGAUCGCGCCUUUCACACUCCAAGAAGAAGGUGUAUGCUUCCUCGGAUCUGAUGUGGCAAUGAACAGAGAUUUAAAAAAAAACCCUAAGUAAUCCCUAAAACCCUAGUCCCGACUGAAAACAAACCCAAAACGAAACCCUACCUCCAACGACUCAAGUGGCGACGGAGUGCUCACCCUCGGCUGCGACCAAUCGCAAUGCAUCUUCUCCGGCGACGAUCCCUCUCAUUCAUCUCCAGGUAUGUUGCGAACUCCUUCUUCCAUGGUUUCUCCCUCUUCGUUUCUCUUUCUGCAAUCCACACGGGCUUCGUCGACUCUUCAUCCAAAUUUUUUUUUUAUCAAAUCAGUUAUGUAUAUCUAUUUAAAUUUUAAACCCUUUUUUCUCUCUCUUACAGUAUAUCUAUUUAAAUUCUUUCUCGGCAAUCCACAGCCCACACUUCCAGUCCACACUUUUCUCUCUCUCCCAAUAGGCUUUUCAUUUUCCUUUUUUUUUUUUUUUUUUUUUUAAAUUAUCAAAUCAAAUGUGCCUUUUGUUAAUAAGAUUUUUUUUGAAGUUUUUUAUAUGUUUGCUUAUAGUAUCAACAAAAAAAUAUAAUUAAAAUUAUAUAAAAGACAAUUAUUUGUGAAUUUUGAAUUUUUUAUUUCUGGUUUAAUUUUAAUUUUCACCUCAAUUUUCUUUAUUUCAUUAUUAAAUUCCAAUUAAAAUUUAUGUGUAUAAUUUUUAAACUCUUUUAAAAAAAAUUGGUUUUUUUUUAAUUUAAACCAAUUAAAUUUUGUAUUUCAUUUUUAAAUUUCUUUCAAUUGUGCUUUGUUAUUAUUUUUUUAGUCAAUUAUAUUGUUAUAUGGAAAUUUGAAUAUUAUUAUUGGUGAUUUUUUUUAGAAUGAGUUCCUCUGAUUCAAAAAAUUCAAGAAAGGAUUUUGUGUGGAAGUAUGUGAUGGAAGUUUCUAGAGAGCAAUAUUUAAUAUGUAAAUUUUGCAAUCAAAGAUGUACGGGAAGGGUGAAUAGACUAAAACAUCACUUAGCCGGAACUCAUCAUGGUAUGAAACCAUGCAACAAAGUUAGUGAAGAUGCUAGAUUGGAAUGUAAAGAGGUAUUGGCUAAUUUUAAGGAUCAAAAAACGAAGAGAAAUGAAUUGCUCCAAGAAAUUGGUAUGGGUCCAACUUCAAUGCAUGAAAGUGCCUUGUCUAAAAUAAUAGGGACAUUAGGGAGUGGGAGUGGGAGUGUAAGUGGGAGUGGGGAACCUAUUCCUAGGGGACCCAUGGAUAAAUUUACCACUUCACAACCUAGACAAAGUACUUUGAAUUCAUAGUGGAAGCAAGAAGAAAGGAAGGAAGUGUGUAGAAAAAUUGGUAGGUUUAUGUAUUCAAAAGGUCUCCCAUUCAACACUGUGAAUGAUCCUUAUUGGUUUCCUAUGAUAGAUGUUGUUGCAAACUUUGGGCCCGGGUUUAAGCCUCCAUCUAUGCAUGAAUUGAGGACAUGGAUUCUUAAAGAAGAGGUGAAUGACCUAAGUAUCAUUAUGGAAGAUCACAAAAAAGCUUGGAAACAAUAUGGAUGUUUAAUUAUGUCAGAUGGUUGGACAGAUGGAAAAAGUAGGUGUCUUAUCAAUUUUUUGGUGAAUAGUCCUGCUGGAACUUGGUUUAUGAAAUCAAUUGAUGCUUCUGAUACAAUAAAAAAUGGGGAAUUGAUGUUCAAAUAUCUUGAUGAGGUGGUUGAAGAAAUUGGAGAGGAGAAUGUUGUGCAAGUCAUCACUGAUAAUGCCUCUAAUUAUGUGAAUGCUGGAAUGAGGCUUAUGGAAAAAAAGAGUAGAUUGUGGUGGACUCCUUGUGCUGCUCAUUGCAUUGAUUUGAUGUUAGAGGAUAUUGGAAAGCUAAAUGUUCAUGCUACUACACUUUCUCGAGCUAGGCAAGUUGUGAAGUUUAUAUAUGGGCAUACUUGGGUUCUUAGCUUGAUGAGAACAUUUACAAAAAAUCAUGAACUUAUUCGUCCAGCAAUUACACGGUUUGCUACUGCAUUUCUUACUCUCCAAAGUCUUUAUAAGCAAAAGCAAGCUCUUAUAGCAAUGUUCUCCUCAGAAAAAUGGUGUUCAAGCACAUGGGCUAAAAAGGUAGAAGGUGUGAAAACUCGAAGUACAGUGUUGUUUGAUCCAAAUUUUUGGCUUCAUGUUGCUUUUUGCAUAAAGACCACUGUUCCAUUAGUUAGUGUCUUGAGAGAGGUUGAUUCAGAGGAAAGACCAGCCAUGUGUUAUAUUUAUGAGUUGAUGGAUUUAGUUAAGAAGAAGAUUGCAUUUAAUUGUCGGGGCAUGGAGAGAAAAUAUGACCCAAUUUGGAGAAAAAUUGAUGCAAGAUGGACUCCGCAACUUCAUCGACCUUUACAUGCAGCAGACUAUUAUCUUAAUCCUCAAUUGCGGUAUGGAGAUAAGUUCUCUAAUGUUGAUGAGGUGAGGAAGGGAUUAUUUGAAUGCAUGGAUAGAAUGUUGGAUUAUCAAGAACGUUUAAAAGCUGACAUUCAGUUGGACUCAUAUGACCAAGCAAUGGGUGAAUUUGGGAGUCGUAUUGCAAUUGAUUCUCGAACAUUAAGAAGUCCUACAAGUUGGUGGAUGCGUUUUGGGGGUUCAACACCGGAGUUGCAAAAGUUUGCUAUUCGAGUCCUUAGCCUUACUUGUAGUGCUUCGGGAUGUGAAAGAAAUUGGAGCACAUUUGAAUCGGUAAUACUUCUAUUUUUGUAAAUUUUUAUACAUAUAUUUCUAUUUCAAUGUUAGAGAACUUUAUUUCAUUUUAACACAUAAAAUUGUUUCUUUUAUUAUUUGUAGAUCCAUACAAAAAAAAGAAAUAGACUUGAACAUCAAAAGUUGAAUGCUCUAGUGUAUGUAAGGUACAACACUAGAUUGAGAGAGUGAAGUCUACAAAGGAAACAAAAUGUUGAUCCAACCUUGGUAGAGGAGAUUGAUUCUGAUGAUGAAUGGAUUGCGGAGAAAGAAGAUCUCCUCCUCCCCCUUGAUCUUUGUUGGCUUCAAGAUAAUGAAUUAUUCAAUGUUGAUGCCAUUAGAGUUGUGUCAUCCAACUCCCAAGAGACGCAAGCAUCAUCGGAUCAUAUGGUUUCUUCACAUUCCUACAAAAGGAAACAUAAUGAAGUACCAAGUAAGUACUCAAAAAUUGAAAUCAUAAAUUUGAUUAAAUUUAAUAAAAAAAACUUUUAAUAUUUAAACAUAAUUAAUACUUUAUGCUAGGUACAAGUGGAGGCAAAGGCAAAGAGAAGGAAUUGAAUUUGACACCAAUUGAUGAAGAUGAAGAUUUAGAUGAAAUGGGGAUACAUGAUAGUGGACAUUUUCCUACUAUUGAUACAUUGGAUGAGGAUGAUGAUGACCUUGGAGAGGAGGAUUUAAGUUGAAACAAUUUACUCUAGUUGUUAUUUCAUGACUUAGUUAUGGAUUUUUUGUAAAAGUUUAGAACUAUUAUUAUGGUUGACUCUAUUUUCUAUUUCAUGACUUAGUUAUGGCUUUUUGUUAAAGUUUGAAACUAUUAGUAUAGUUGAAUCUAUAAUCUAUUUUAUGAAUUUGUUAUGGUUUUUUGUGAAAGUAAGGAACUAGUAUGUUUUUUUUUAUGAUUCUAAUGAAUUGUUUUCAUGUUUUUAUUUAUGCUAUUUUAUUUUAUAUAUUUUAAAAUAUUAAUUAAUUAUAUAAUGUGAGGCUCAAAAAGCUUACGCCUCAAUGCCUCGAGGCUUACGCCUCGCCUCACGAACACAAAAACGCCUCGCCUUACGCUUUCGCCUUUAAAAACUUUGGCUGAGACCCAAAUAAGUAUCCAGAACCAUCAUCAUCAACCCUUUCACAAGCCUUUGUAUUUGAAGGUCAGAUUGGGAUUGCUUUGAAUGCACUGACACUGACACUGCAAUACACAAUUGUUUCUUCUCCAAUAAAAACACCACAAAGAGGUGAGGGGACUGGUAUUAGCAAAGAAGUGUUGUUAUCUAUAUUGUUCUGAGCCCGAGUACCAAAAACAAAAUCCUCAUCCUCAUCUAUACUCUUCCAUUACAUCCCUAGGCUUUUCAAUGUGAUCCACAUGGCUUACAGGAAUCCAGAAAUAUCGGUCUGUAUAAAAGUUGCUCUUAUGUGGCUCUCCUAGAAAACAUCCCAAUCAAGAUGAUCAACCUAGCUUAGAUGCUCAACACCCCAAACUUACGAGAAAUAGAGGAAUAAAAAGCAAGGAUAGGAGCCAAAGUAAAAACUGAGGGAAGAGCAAAUAGGAAAUCAAGCAAAACAUGAAUGUACAGAGCCUCAUUUCAGGUGACAUCUUUGGGCUAAUAAUAGGUGGAAUUAACAAAGUAGAUAAGCAUGAUUGUUAUAAAUAUCAAGUUCAAGGAUGAAGUCGUGCAUCAGCUACUUAUAGGGGGAGUCAAGGAAACCAAGAUAAGAUCAAAGAGAGCAUGUAUGCAAAUAAACAGAUUUGACAAAAUAGACCAAACAGCUUGUGAAUAUCCUCCUACAAAAAACUACUACACGUGGCAAAAAGUGAUGAAGCAAAAAGAGUCGGGUCCGCAUAUACAUAUCCUAUGCUAUCCUAUUCCUUCAAAUCCAAAGCAACCUGUAUUUUCAAUGGGAUUUGUUGUGAUGAAUUUUACUGGAUUGUAACAUGUAAAUAUGUUAAAAAAGGCUUGGGACAUUCCUAUAUAGUAACGCAUAAAGGUACUUCCAUUGUGAAGUUGUCAAAAUUGCAAAUUUAAAUUACAAAAUUUGAAAACAUAGAGAUGAAAGAUGAUGAAACCUUCUUUGAAAUUUUAUAUUGAACUCAUUAAUAUUAUUAAUUUUCAUUUCAGUCUAAGGGAAAGAAUUCUUUACUCUAAAGUGGUCACAAAAAUAUUAAAAUUCCUUGUCGAGAGAUUUAGAUCUAAAGUGAUCAAUAUAGAAGAAAGUAAAAAUAUUCUAAGUGUAGGUAAACUUGUAGACUCAAAUGACUCUACCUUCUCAUAAAAAAUCCUCAAUUUUAUAAAUUAUAUAGAUUUCUUCAUUUGAUACAAAAUUUGAAUAAAGAUUUUUCAAAUGACAACACAAGGAAAGGGAAAAAAAAAAUCUAUCCAGAUCAUAUUAUUUAAUCACUUAAAUUAUUUAAAAAUAAAAAUGUUUACUGCUAACAUUAUUUAGGUUCAUCUUUCUUUUGAUGGAGGUUAAAAUUCAUAAUUUUGAGGAAAAAGAUGAGGAUUCUCAUUUUUUUUUUCCAUGUAUGAAUGGGAUUCUCAUUGUGUAUAUGUGGGUUACUAAAUGGCAAAUUUGGGGGCCAAUAUGAGGGAAAAAAUGAAGUUGAGUUUGUCACCAAGAAUAGACAUGGUUCCUACAAAGGUGGCAUCUUUAAUUUCAUGUUUGGAUUGGACUUGUCAUGUAACAACUUAACAAGUGAAAUCCCUCAUGAACUUGGAAUGUUAAGUUUGAUUCAUGCAUUGAACUUGUCUCGUAAUCAACUAAAAGGCUCCAUUUCAAAGAGUUUUUGCAAUCUUUCUCAAAUAGAGAGCUUAGACCUUUUUAAUAAUAAACUAAGUGGAAAAAUUCCUCCAAAAUUGGUUAGACUAAACUUUUUAGCAGUGUUCAAUGUUAGCAUAUUCGGAAGAGUUUUAGAUAUGAAUGCAUAAUUUGCAAAAUUUGAUGAAAGUAACUAUGAAGCUAAUCCUUUCCUUUGUGGACCACCAUUAAACAGAAAAUGUAGCAUAAAUGUUGUUGAACCACCUUACCAACCAUUAGAGUCUUCAGAAGAAAGUGAUGCAAAAUGGUAUAAUAUCAAUCUUGUUAUUUUCUUUGCAAAUUUUACUACAUCAUAUAUCAUGAUAUUAUUAGGAAUUUCAACCAUUCUUUACAUUAACCCUUAUUGGUGUCAAAUAUGGUUCAAUUUUAUCGAGAAAUAUAUAUACUUUUGCUAUUAUUUUGUUUCCUAUACUCUUUCCAAGUUAUUAACAUAUUUUGAAUAAUUAGAGAUUUUUGUUUUCAAUAAUAUUUACAUAAUUAACUACUAUUGGUUUCCAUGACAUGGAAAGAAAUGCGGUGAAGGCAACAACCACUUUUUUUUCUCCUCUACUAGUGCAUGAUUGAUAUGAGUUAAAACUUGCACCCUUAUCUUUACUUAAAUUUUCUCAGCUUUUGUUUCAAUUCUUAAUUAUCAUUUCUUUUAUGUAUUGUUUAAUACAAUAUCCUAAACACAUUGCUUUGAAGGUUACUUAUUUAUUAAGCAUGAUAUUUAUUUUCAUAAAGACAAAUUCAAGUUUUUUAGGAAUUUUUAGAAUUAUUAUAAUUUGGAGUUCACAUUAGAGGAAAAAAAGGAAAGAAAAGAAUAGAUAAUUAAAAAAACAAUUUUAGUAAGUAUAAUUUGUCAUCUUCGGUAUAACAAAUGGGAAUUCCAAAAUAAUAUUUCAAUUUGUUAGUCUAUUCCUUAUAAUAUUAAUUGAAAUAUCAAAUAAGGAGUCACGUUUUGAUUUUUUUAUUAGCUUGAAUUGCAUGUCACAUAUAUUUUAAAAUCAAGCAUACCUCAGCAGGGAAGUUCUUGUAACAUGCAUGAACAUGAUAUGAUGAAUUAAAUAAUUUUCUUAAUUGUGUGAGACACAAACCCUCUUUGUUUAAUAAUAAUAAUAAUAAUAAUAAUAUACUACACAUUAUUAAAUCAUAUAUGUAUAUUUAUAGUCGUAUAAUAUAUUUAUAUAAGUAACAAUAAAUUAUAUUGUAUAAGGUAUCGGUAGGAGUUUUCAAUUCCCUCAUAUAAUAAUAUCUAUCAAUAAUUGGAUUGGACACCUUGCUGGCCAUGAGAAUGGACUUGACAUUAACACAUAGCCUUGAGUGGUGUUGAUAUUAUUACUUUGAACCAGAACUGCAGUCAUCUCAAAAACUAUAUUAUAUAGAAAAGCAAAAUAAAAACAUUAGUUAAAAAAAAUGUCAAGAUCCUUGAAAUCACGUUUCAAUAUGUUAAAUUACCAUUUUUUUAAAUAAAUUUUUGAUAGGUUGUGUGAAUAAAUAUAAUUGCUAUGAAGGGUUUCAAUUUAAUUUUACUAGCAAAUCCAUAAUAGGUGAAAAGACAAAACUACCAUUUUUGUUUUUUUUCUUUAUUUACCUUUUUUCUCUCGUAACCUUACUCCUUUCUCCUUUUUGUUUUUUCCUUUUUUAUUAUUAAUUUGUCUUUUUCCUUUUUCUCAACUAACUAUUUUUUUUCUUGUAAUUGUUAUUAUCAUUCUUAUUAUAAAUAUUAUAACCUUAUAUUAUAAAUUUUUAGUUUAGAUUAUAUUUAAACUAACUAAUGUUGUGGUUUUAAUUGACAUGGAAAAGAAUGUGGUUAUACAUGUGAUUGUCGCCUUUUUUUUUUUCAAUUAGUUAACUAUUGAUACAAGUUAAAAGUAAAAAUUGCAAUAUUAUCUUUACGUCAAUUUCACCGAUCUUUUGUUUUUAUUUUCAUGUAUCAUUCCUUUUUUGGUUAUUUAAUUAAAAGGAUUAAAAAAAAAUCACAUAUUCACAAUAAUAACCUUCAUAUUUUAAAAACAUAAAAUAAACAUUUUUUUUUUUUUAUAAAAAUACCCUCCAACUAUAUUUUUUAUAUCCCUAUUUCAAAUCCAAACACUUCUUUUAAAAAUAAUAAUAAUAAAUAAGGGCAAAAAUGUCAAACUGGGAUUAUAUUUAUAAUUUUCAAUAAUUAGAGGUUGUUUUUCCAAUGUAAAAAUUAUUUUGUUCCUUUGGCACAAAUAUUUCUUUCUUUUAUGUAUUUUUUUUAUUCAAAAUAUUAAACACAUUACCCUCAAGGUUACUAUUUAUUAUGAAUGGUGUUUACUUUACAUAACGAGAUAUUCAAAUUUUUUAGAAUUUUUUAAUGUUAAAAUAAUUUGGAGCUUAAUAGGGAAAAAAAAGAAGAAAGAAUAGAUAAUUAGAAAAGCAAUUCAAAAAAAUAAAAUUUAUCCUCUUAAAUUGGUUUUGUGUAAUACUAUAGAAGCCAUUUCUUGAGUUUGAUAUGGUAGAAUUUGGAUUCAUAUUUAUUUUAAAAUCAAGAAAUUCAAGUGUUGGUAGCAUCAAUAGAAUCUUAACAAAUUUGAAAAAAAAUAUUUAGGUAGAUCACAUUUAAAUAUAGCUAAUAGAAUAAAAAAUUAGUAUUAUUAGAAAGACAUGAUCAAUUAAAUCUUUUUUCUUAUCUAUGACACCGACUUUAUUUUUUUACAUAGUCAAUACAAUUUAUUACAACUUAUAUGUCAUUAAAUUAUAUACGUUUAUAUUAAAUAUAAUAUAAGACCAUUAAUGGAAUAAUUAUGCAAGUAAUAUAAAUUGUAUAUAAUAUAAAAAAUUUAAACUCCAUCAAACUAAUGGAAUCUAUUAUAAUAAGUAGACUAGACACCAUGUUGGCCCGAGUUGCAGGCCUGGGCCAGAUUUUAAAGGCUGGGCUUUGAGUUGCCCGUGGGCCUGAGCCAAGGCCUUCUCUUGGUAUCAUCAUUUUGAAGAAAUAAAUUGCUGAUACAGAGAAAAAAACUAUACUAAAUAGAAAAAUAAAUAAAAGCAUUGACUAAAAUGAAGGUCAAGGUCCUUGAAAAAUAAUCUUUAAAUUGUUGCAUAUAUAAUUUCAAUAAUGCAUAAAUAAUUGCAAUAUAUAUGAUAUGAUAAAGAAUUUGGAAUUAAAAGAAGAUUGAUCUAUUUUAAAUGUGGUUGGAAUAUUUCUAAAUUUGUGAUGGGAAGUUAGACAGCCAAUUAGGGAUCCAUAUUAUUUAUUUUCAAUGAUAUGAAUUUAUUUACUUUUAUUAAUAUUCUUAAUGCAACAAUAUAAAAUAUGUCAAUUUUCUAAAAUUUAAAAAGUAAUUGUAAAAGAAUUUUUUUUAAUUAUUUUUCUGAAAUUGAGUUUAUUAUAACAUUUUUCUUUACAUAAAUUUCUUUUUUAUUUUUAUUUUUUUUAAAAUGAGAUAUGAAAAAAAGAGAUCAAUAUUAGUACAAGUAAAACCCAAUAUAUAUAUAAAAAAAAUGAAUAAAUGUUUAUGAAAUAUUUUUUCUCUUUUAAUUCCUAUUCAAUUCAUUACACAAAAUAUUUUUGGUUUUUAUGCUAAAAUUUAUUGUUUAUUCAAAAAUUCUAGUAUACCUAGCUAUCAUAGAAGAGCCCCAAAAUUUUAUUGUUUAAGAGAAUAUGUGUUGCCACUUUAAAAGAUUUAUAUGCAAAAGGGAUUGAUAUUUUUUUCCUUUGGAUAUAUUUAGUUCCCGGAAAAUUUGAGGGAAAAUGUGAGGGAAGAAAAAUAGAGAAGAAAAGUAUAACGAAAUAAAAAGUGAAGGAAAAUGAAAAAUAGAUUUAAAGUUAAUAAAUUAUUUUCAUUGGUUUUUUCAAACUUAUUUUACUUAUUUUAUUCUAUUAAAUAAAGAUUAGCUAAUUUUAAUUAUAUUUGGUUUGAUUUUUAUUAUUUUUCAAAGCAAAACCAAAUAUGAAAAAAAAAACAUUUUUUUUGUUCAUUUUUUCUUUCCUUAUUACUUUUCAAAACUCAAACAUAGCUUUUAGAUUUGGAGCAUGGAAAGAUAAGAGUAUUGAAUAAAGGUUCUAUAUAUGCCCAUGCCCAUGAUACCAUUGAAAAAAAUGGAGAAAGGGUGAAACUUUUUCUCUUCAAUGGAAAUCAAAUAUAAUUAUUUUUAUCUUGUAGUAAUUGAAUGUUAUACUCCAUAAACUCAAAAUUAAAAUAAAUAAAAAAUUUAAAAACUAGGACAAUCCCAUUUUUUUUUUCAAUUUCUUAAAAAGAAAUUAAAUUACAUUUAUUUAUAUCUAUUUUCAUCCCUACCCAAAAAAAUAAAAAAAAAAUUAACAAGGUGGGACAUGUAUGAGAAAUUCUCACACUAACUCUCUCUAGUUUAUUUUUUAUUUUUUAAAAAAAAUCAAUUUCUUUUAAAAAAAUUAAACUAUAUAAAAAAUAAAUAUAAUUUAAAAUAAAAUAAUUUAACAAUUUUUUUUUUAAGAAAAGUAAAUUUCUUAUUUUAUAUAUGUUAAAAAUAAAUAUAAUCUUUUAUUUUUUUAUAUAUAUAAUCGGGUAAGGUAGAGUGGGACAAAGAAAUAAUCCCCUUCGAUUCCAAUAUGAAUUUUUAAAAUAUAAAAUAAAAAUCUUAAACUCAUCCCUAAUCCAUUUAUUUUUAAUCCUAAACUCGUCUUAUUAAGAAUAAGGCAAAGUGAGUACAUGAAAACACUUCUUUUAUCAUCAUCUCUACAAGUUCUAAUGUUUAGACUGCAAUCCAUAUCAAAGAUUUAUAAAGAAAGGACAACGAUGAAUUUCAUAAACAUUUGAAAGCAUAUACGUACAAAGUUUUAAAUAAUAUUGCUUGAGGUGCAAAUAUUAUUUGGCGCACAUAUUGAGGGACUUCAACUUGUUUUUUACAUUAGUAAGUAAUCUUGAAUAUCUAGAGUAACUUGACCAAAAUCUCUUUAAUUUUAUUUUCUUUGAUGGUUGUAUGAUGAAUUAGAAUGCUUAUAUAACAUGAUUAAAAAUUUUAAGAAAAAAAAAACUAAGAAGAAAGAAAGAAGCACCGAUCUUCCAAAUAUUGCUUCCACUUUAAUAUCUAGAAGGCUCUAAGAAAAGAACUUUUUUCAUGAAUCAUAACCCAAGUCGAAAAUAAAUUGAACCCAUUUUCUAAGUUAAAUUUUGAAUUUUUUACUAGUGAAUGCAAAUUGGGAAAAUGUAUAUAAAUAUAAUUAAACUAGAAUAGUAGGUUAGGUUUGUAGGUGGAGUUUGUUUGAAUUGUUGGAACUUCCAAGUCGUUGUGGGUCUAGUGGUCCCAUAGCUCUCUAUUAAUUUCCACCAUCAAUUUUCUGCAAUAAAGUCAAGUCAUUCCUAACCCCUAUAUUAAGUUGGCCUUAAAAGUCAAGUCAUUGAUCAUAGUUACAUUCAUGAAUCACAACCUAAGUCGAAAAUAAAUUGAACCCAUUUUUCAAGUUCAACUUUGAAUUUUUUACUAGUGAAUGCAAAUUGGGAAAACAUAUAUAAAUAUAAUUAAACUAAAAUAGUAGAUUAGGUUUGUAGGUGGAGUCUGCUUAAAUUGUUGAAACUUCCAAGUCAUCGUGGGCCCAGUGGUCCCAUAGCUCUCUAUUAAUUUCCACCAUCAAUUUUUUGCAAUAAAGUCAAGUCAUUCCUAACCCCUAUAUUAAUUUGGCCUUAAAAGUUCAGUCAUUGAUAGCUAAAUCCCAACCCAAGUCAAAAAUAAAUUGAACCCAUUUUCUACGUUCAACUUUGAAUUUUUUUUAAUUGGAAAAAUGUAUAUAAAUACAAUUAAACUAGAAUAGUAGAUUAGGUUUGUAGGUGGAGUCUGCUUGAAUUUGUGAAACUUCCAAGUCAUCGUGGGUCUAGUGGUCCUAUAGCUCUCUAUUAAUUUCCACCAUCAAUUUUCUACAAUAAAGUCAAGUCAUUCCUAACCCCUAUAUUAAUUUGGCCUUAAAAGUCUAGUCAUUGAUAGCUACGUUCAUGAAUCCCAACCCAAGUCAAAAAUAAAUUGAACCCAUUUUCUAAGUUCAACUUUGAAUUCUUUUAAUUGGGAAAAUGUAUAUAAAUACAAUUAAACUAGAAUAGUAUAUUAGGUUUGUAGGUGGAGUCUGCUUGAAUUUGUGAAACUUUCAAGUCGUCAUGGGUCUAGUGGUCCCAUAGCUCUUUAUUAAUUUUCACCAUCAAUUUUUUGCAAUAAAGUCAAGCCAUUCCUAAACCAUAUAUUAAUUUGGCCUUAAAAGUCAAGUCAUUGAUAGUUACGUUCAUGAAUCACAACCCAAGUCUAAAAUAAAUUGAACCCAUUUUCCAAGUUCAACUUUGAUUUUUUUACUAGUGAAUGCAAAUUGGGAAAACGUAUAUAAAUAUAAUUAAACUAGAAUAGUAUAUUAGGUUUGUAGGUGGAGUAAGCUUGAAUUGUUGAAACUUCCAAGUCAUCACGGGUCUAAGGGUUCCAUAGCUCUCUAUUAAUUUUCAUGGUCAAUUUUUAUGAAUUAAGAUUUAAAAGUGAGAAGGGAAUAAAUUUUUUCUUUUUCAAUUCAUUACAAAAAAUAUUUUUGGUUUUUAUGCUAAAAUUUAUUGUUUAUUCAAAAAAUUAAAGUAUAAAUAUAUAUAUAUAUAUCUUGCUAUUAUAGAAGAGCUCCAAAAUUUUUGUGUUUAAGAGAAUAUGUGUUGCCACUUUAGAAGAUUUAUAUACAAAAAGGAUUGAUGUUUCUCCUUUGACUAUGUUUGGUUCCCAAAAUUUGAGGGAAAUAAAAAAAAAAUAGUAAAAAAGAAAAAAUGAAAGAAAAUAAAAAAUAGUUUUAAAGUUAAUAAUUAUUUUUAUAUGUUUUUUCAAACUUAUUUUACUUUUUUUUUCAUUAUAUAAAGAUUAAAUAAUUUUAAAAUGCAUAAAUUUCUAACUAAUUUUAAUUAUAUUUAAUUUUUCUUUUAUAUUUUUUAGAUAGGAUCCGACACAUGAAAAAUCCUUUUUUUUAGCAUUUUUUUUUCUUUUCUUAUUACUUUCCAAUAACCAAAUAUAACCUUUAGAUUUAGCCUUUAAACUUGGAGUAUGGAACGAUACUGAGUAUUGAAAGAAGGUUUUGUAUAUGGCCAUGAUACCAUAGAAAAAAUGGGCGAGAGAGAAAAAACCUUUAUUAAAUGAUAAAUUAUUUUUUUCAAUGGAAAUCAAAUAUAAUUAUUUUUAUAAUAAUUACUUUAUUUUUUUUAAAAAUAAUAAUUUGUUGUUGCAUUAAGUAUUCUUGCAUUUGGAGAAGCAUGUUACUACUUACUACAUAAAUAGAUAUUCAUGGAGUGCAUUCUCUAAAAAGCUCCAGUCUCAUGAAAAUGGAAAGAUGGACCGGCCGGUGAACCGGUUCGAGUUUGGAUUUAUUGGCUGCCUCAGCCUUACACGCAUGAUAGGCUGUUGCAGGUGAAGAACUAAUUAAUUUAAAGCCUUCUUCUAUCCUCUCCUAUUCCUCUAUCACUCCAAAUGUUCCACAUGAUAAUGACAAUUCUUUUGUUAAAUGGUAAAAAAAAAAUUUAAAUAUUAUUUAAAAUUUUUUUUAAUUCUAAAUCCAAUGGAAAUUCGACUCUAAGGUGUGUAGAAGGCCCUAGUGCCCAUGUUGCUAAUUUGAUGAUAGUUAAAUUGUCAUUUUGGGAGAUUCCACACACUAGUAUUCUCAUUUAUAAAAUCAUGAACUUUGGCAUCCUAAUUAAUGCAAUUUAAACUUUUUUUGUUUACAAAUGAAAUAAGAGGCAACAUAUAAACCCAAAAGUUAAUUUUCCUACCAUCUCUAUGCACCAUUUUAGCUUUACUCCAAUAUAUUUUCUAUGAUUAAUUAUUUUCAUUCAAACAAUAAUAUCAAAAUAUUUUAAAAUUAGACAUAUCAUAAUCAAAUACCAUUAUAUUAUUACCGAAUAAUAUUUAAUGUAAUUUAAUUAUCAACGUAUACUUAUAAAAUUUAUAUUUUUUAUUAAUGCAUAUAAUAUUAUUAUCAAAUAUGAUAAAUUAUAUAUAUAUAUAUAUAUAUAUAUAUAUAUUUCUUCAACAAAACAACUUUAAAAUAUCUAUUAUAUUUCUAAUUUCAUUUCUAAGAAGUUUUUUUUUUUUUUUUACAUUUUUAUAAGUUUUGAUCAAUUGUAGGCUAACUGAUAUUUUUUAUAUCAAAAUAUCCACCAAUAUAUCUCUGAUAUAUUAGAUAUAUCCGUAAAAUCGAAAUACCAAUAUAUCCGUGAUUAUCGAUAUUUUUAUCCUUGAGGGAUAAUAACUAAUCUAGUUUUUGCACUUAUUGAUAUUUCUCAACAUUUAGAUUGAUUUGACCAAAAUCUUUUUAAUUUUAUUUUCUUUGAUGGUUAUAUGAUGAAUUAGAAUAGUCAUAUAAACAAAUUUAAGAAAAAACGAUAAAAAAGCUCACAUUUUUCAAAUAUUGGUUUCAACUUUGAAUAUUUUUAUUGGUAAAUGAAAAUUGUGAAAAACCUACUAAUGCUAAUACUUUUCACCACAUAAUUAAAUAUAAUAAACUAGAAUAGUGAUUCAUUGAUGUCUUAUAAAGCUACAUGCCUACUUUGACUUGUUAGUUGAUUUUUGUAGGCAGAGUCCAUUUCCAUAUGAAUUGUUGAAACUUCCAAGUCCUUGUGGGUCUAGUGGUCUCUCUAAUAAUUCCCACCAUUAAUUUUUUGUGAUGAAGUGACGUCAUUGAUAGCUACUAUAUCAAUUUGCUAUUAAAAGUCAAGUCAUUGAUAAUUACUAUUCAAUCUUUUUCAAUAUGGAAAUUGGAAUCUCUACUCUUCUCAUUGUUCAUUUUUAGGUAAUGUGAGAAUGUGAGAAUGUGUGAACAUAAAUGUCUUCUAAUCAACCAAUUUUUUUUGAAAAAAACAUGUACAAAAUUGCAAACUUGCAAAAUCAAACUUUCUUGUUGAAUAACCAUAGCUUGAUGGUUUUGAAGAAUCAAAGGAUGAAUCAUAAAAGGGUAUUUGAUAAAAAAUAAAAAUUAAAAAAAUUAAAAGACAACUACUCCCUUAGGUGUAAUAAGUGUAUUUGGUAGCACAAAUUUCCUACCACUUAUUAUUUUUUCCUUUCUUAAAAAAUUAUUUACUCUAUUAAAUAAACUAACCUUGGCUUAUCACUUAUAGCAAAAUAGGUUAAGUACUUUUUAAAAUUUUAUAAUAUUAGAUUUACAUUUUUAUCCUUCAAAAUUUCAUUAAUGUUAGAUUCUUCUAUAUGCUUAACUAAUAAAUAAUUUUUAGCAUUUUUCUUUUCUUAUAAACAUAAAAAAAUAAAAAUAUUAUUAACUUAUUGGUAUAUUUUAAAAUUUUAAUUAGAUUUAAGCUUUUAUUUAUUUGGAUUACCAAUUAUACAUAUAAAUCCUUUAUUAUUAUUGUUAUUAUUGAAAGAAAGGGGUUGAAUAGGUAGUCCCUCAAUCCCCAAAUUAAAUUCUUUAUUGCCUACUUUUGGUUUAUUCCUUUACAUGAAUUCCUUGGUGAGAGUAAACAUUUCAUUAAUAGAUAAAUAAAAUUGAUUCCAUAUCAUAGGGUAUAAUGUGGAAAAAUCACCAGUCUCAUGUGUUCCUUAGUGGAUCCUUUGGAGCCCUUAUCAAAGUUUCAUGAUGAAACCAUUGACUUUUGUUUAACCCAAAUGUGCUUUCAAGACAAAUCUUGAAAUAUUUGAGAGAUGGAGGUUCAAGUCUUUUAUGAACGACCAUGUUCUCUUAGGGUUCAUGAAAAUUCACACCUUUUGAUAAAUAAAACUUAUCUAUUUAUACGUCUAAAACCCAGUAUUUAUUUAUUUAAUUAUAGAAAGUUUCUUAGUUUUAAAAACAUUUCAAAAAUCAUUUUUAGAAUCAAAUAAUAAUUUUAGAGAUAAACACAAUAUUAAAAUUUAACAAAAACAAAAUUUCGAAUUAAAAACACAAUAUAAACUAAAUUACAAAAUAUAAAGGAAUUUUUAUCCUAAUUUCUUGUUUCAAAACCAAAUGGAACACCUAGAAGGGGAGUGAAUGGGUGAUUUUAAAAUUUUUCAAUAAUGAUUUAUAAGUUAUACCCAAUUCUUUUACCCUGCGAGUUGUUAGGGACUAUCAAUUCUUUCCUUUUGGCAAUUCAAACAAUAUAUCAAAUAAUAAAAAGAUAUAAAUAAUGAGACAUAAAGAUUUUUACAUGGAAAACCCCCCACACUAACCAUGGAGAUAAAAAGCCAUGGAGUCUAAGACCUAUUAAUCUAAAUUCACUGUACGAAAUCAAGUUACACAAAUUUAUUUGAUAGCUUUAACUUAAAGACUUACUCUCCGGUACUGACAACUUGAUUCACAUCCACAACGUAGCAACCCUCAAUUACUCCAAUGGAUCACUUCAAGCUUACUAAAAGGAUGAAGGCCUUCAAACCAAGAUUCAAAAAUCAAUUCCUUGAAUGAAAGAUCAGGGAUGGUGUGCCACUUUAGGCUUUCUCUCUAAGAACUCUAAAAUGAUCUCCUCAAUGAAAACCUCUUAAACAAAAUGAGAUAUUUCCCCACAAUCUCUAAUCCUCAAGGGGUUAUAAUGAGAUAUUUAUAAGCAACUAAGUUGAAGAGUUUCAGUUUUGGAACAUGACCGCUCGAGCCAACACACUUCCUACUUGAGCGUUUCGGGCACUUGAGCGGUAAGGCUCGCUUGAGUUGUCCUAAGCGCUUGAGCAUUCCAAGCUACUUGAGCAAUCUUGCUCUAUUUCAAAAGUUAAUUUUAAAUCAUUUUAAGUUCAAAACAAAAUUGAUUCCCUUUAUACCUCAAAGUAGCCUAACUUACAAACCAAACUUUUUUAGAUAUACUUGUGACUUCCUGGUUGGACGAACAACUCUUAAUCUUCAAUGGAAAGCAAGUCAUUAUCUAAAAAGAUUUAUAUGGUCAAACAUAAAAAAACAAAAACAAAAAAAUUGCCAACAUAACAACAAGACUCAAUGUCCUAACAAUCUCCCCCUUUGGCAAUUUUAUGACAAAAACAACAUUACAUAUACCCACUUGAACUCUCAUAAUGGAGUUUAAUAAUACACAUUAAUGUUCAAUUAAAAAUAAACUAAGGGAAUACUUUGUAUCACUUUGUAGUAUUUGUCUUCCAACUUUGUAACCUACACACAUAUAGAAAACUAUACCAAAGGUAAAGCAAUGUGUAGGAUAAGAUAUGAUCAAGAAAGCAAAAUAGGAUAAUUGAAAAUUUUGCUUGAUGCCUUGUGAAAGCAUGAAAAGGGAACAAAUUCAUAUAGUAAUACCAAGGGACAAAGCAAAACUAGAGAAGAAUAUAUAUGUAUGCAAAUCAACCAAACAUAAUAAAAGCUACAUAAGAUGCAAUAGAUCAAUAAUAAUGCCUAGGGGUCUAUCUCCAACCAGAAAAUAGGGAGUGAAAAUCAUAGGAAGAACCUUCUGUGACUUAGAAAGGUUCUAGAGAGAUAGUCAAUUCAAACAUAAAUAUCUUGCUAGAAACAUCUAUGUUAUGUAUCUCUCUAAACCUUCUAAGUUAUGCUUUCAUUAGUUGAUUUGGUUUUUCUCCAAUGUCUCAGGUUUAAUUUCCUCUAAUAUUUCAAUUAGAGAGAAAUUGGUAGUCGAUUGACUUAGUGGGUGUUUGGUAAAACUUAAUACUUAUUAUUUAAUGAUUAACUUUAAGUUAAAUUGUUCUUAAGUUAUUAAUUUAAAAUUUAUUACUUAUUUUGUAUUUAAGUACUAGGGUUAUUUGAAAAAAUCGACUUAAAAUUUAUUCUAAAUCAUCAAAAUGACACAUUUACCCUUAUUAAUUUUAACUUAUAUUUAUUUUCAUUAAUUUUAAACAAUAAAUUUAUUCAUAAAACAUCUAUAUUUUUGUAGAUACAUAACCAUAAAAUAUUUACUAUAAAAAAUGAGUCAUGGAUGUAGAAUUAUAAUUCUAAAAUAUACACUUAUGAGUGUGGGUAAAUAAGGCAAAAAUGAUUUGAGAUUAAGAGUAAAGUUAAUUAUUUUGACUUAAGACUUCAAGUUAAAAAUAACUUUAAGUUGCAAUAUUAAGUUAUUUUAUCAAACAUGCUUAAUUUACUUAACAACUUAAAUUAAGUUAUUAAGUUGAAUUAUCAAACACCCCACUAGUAGUAUGUUGAAAAUUCACACCUUUUGAUAAAUAAAACUUAUCUAUUUAUACGUCUAAAACCCAGUAUUUAUUUAUUUAAUUAGAGAAAGUUUCUUAGUUUUAAAAACAUUUCAAAAAUCAUUUUUAGAAUCAAAUAACAAUUUUAGAGAUAAACACAAUAUUAAAAUUUAACAAAAACAAAAUUUCGAAUUAAAAACACAAUAUAAACUAAAUUACAAAAUAUAAAGUAAUUUUUAUCCUAAUUUCUUGUUUCAAAACCAAAUGGAACACUUAGAAGGGGAGUGAAUGGGUGAUUUUAAAUUUUUUCAAUAAUGAUUUAUAAGUUAUACCCAAUUCUUUUACCCUACGAGUUGUUAGGGACUAUCAAUUCUUUCCUUUUGGCAAUUCAAACAAUAUAUCAAAUAAUAAAAAGAUAUAAAUAAUGAGACAUAAAUAUUUUUACGUGGAAAACCCCCCACACUAACCAUGGAGAUAAAAAGCUAUGGAGUGUAAGACCUAUUAAUCUAAAUUCACUGUACGAAAUCAAGUUACACAAAUUUAUUUGACAGCUUUACCUUAAAGACUUACUCUCCGGUACUGACAACUUGAUUCACAUCCACGACGUAGCAACCCUUGAUUACUCCAAUGGAUCACUUCAAGCUUACUAAAAGGAUGAAGGCCUUCACACCAAGAUUCAAAAAUCAAUUCCUUGAAUGAAAUAUCAGGGAUGGUGUGCCACUUUAGGCUUUCUCUCUAAGAACUCUAAAAUGAUCUCCUCAAUGAAAACCUCUUAAACAAAAUGAGAUAUUUUCCCACAAUCUCUAAUCCUCAAGGGGUUAUAAUGAGAUAUUUAUAAGCAACUAAGUUGAAGAGUUUCGGUUUUGGAAGGUUUCUUAAUUGAAUUUGUGUGAAAAACUCAACAGAAUCAACAUGACCGCUCGAGCCAGCACACUUCCCACUUGAGCAUUUCGGGCACUUGAGCGGUAAGGCUCGCUUGAGUUGUCCUAAGCGCUUGAGCAUUCCAGGCUACUUGAGCAAUCUUGCUCUAUUUCAAAAGUUAAUUUUAAAUCAUUUUAAGUUCAAAACAAAAUUGAUUCCUUUUAUACCUCAAAGGAACCUAACUUGCCACAAACCAAACCUUUUUAGAUAUACUUGUGACUUCUUGGUUGGACGAACAACAACUCUUAAUCUUCAAUGGAGAGCAAGUCACUAUCUAAAAAGAUUUAUAUGAUCAAACAUAAAAAAACAAAAAAAUUGCCAACAUCACAACAAGACUCAAUGUCCAUGCAUGGUCACCUGAAAGUUGACUCCAACCACAAUAUAAUGCAUGUUCUCAUAGAACAUGUGAACAAGAUGGAGAUAGAAAGUCCCUUAGAGAGAAAACAGAGUCUUCUAACCCUACUCUUGAAUGAUGAUAGGGAAGACAGUGUCCUGAAAAGCUUAGAGGUUAAUGGCAUGUUGAGGCUCGACACACCGAUAUGUGAAAGAAGCGUAAUAAUGGUCCCAUGCCACCUGGCAGUGAAAGCGCUCAAUCGAAAGUGCAUCUAGGUUAAAAAGACCCUAGAGUGGGAUGCCCUAGACGGUUUUCAGUGACCUAGGAAAGGUCACCUCCCUCUGAAAUCUAUGACUAGCCAUAUCUAAGGUAUAUAAUAUGAAAAAAAAAAAGCUAAAGAAAAACUAAAGAAAAUCCAAAGAAAAGCUAAACCACUAAAAAUGUUAAACUCAAUGCGUCGAACAAUACUAUACAAAUGGAAAUGAAAAAUAUGAAGCGAACUGACCUCAGAAGACAAAAGGACAGUUACCCAGAGGGCUCGAAGAGGAAUAGGAAAGUUUGAAAUGAAUAUUGUGUGAUGGAUGACCUUUAUAUAGCUUAUAGGAGUGCUUGAUGCAGAUUAGCACUUGAGCGUCAUGACUAACUUAAAUCAAAUUAUUUAUUAAUAUGGAAAUAUUUUAUAAGUUUCAAAGGAAGUAUUCAAUUUAGAACCUUUUUAGAAUUUUUUUGAAAGAAACAAAAAUAAAGCGUGAAAUAUUAUGUGUUAAAGGUGUUAGAAGACAAUAUUGUCUAAUCAAAAGCCUUACACAUUCCCAAAAAAAAAAAAAAAAAAGGAAAAAAAAAGAUACUAUAUAAGAUUUUGAUCACAUCUAAUAGAAACUAAUAUUUAGCAACAUAUCACCAAGCACUAUCUUAUCAGAAAGCUCUAACAUGUUGGAAAUUUAUGUAAGGUUCCAUAACAACUAACAACUUUUUAUGACGACUCGGUAAUGGACCAUUUGCACUUCAACUACAUUAUUAAAUUUAAAUCAUAUUAGAAUAUAAUUGACUUCUCUUUUGUGAGGUUACAUAUCUUGUAGGAUGGGAUAGGUGAUUCAUUUCAUAUAUGAAAUUUUCUUAAUUUAGUAAUGCUUCCAAGUUCAUUAUGAAUCUAAUGGUAUCACAACUCCUUGAAUAUUUGUAAUCUGUAAUCUUUGCUUCAACUUCUCAAGUCUAGUCAUUUUAUCGGCAUAACUAGUUUGCUUCAAUUAUCUCUCAACUUUAUUAUAAAACUAAGGGAAAGGAUUGUCACUCAUUUUAUAUUAACUUAACCAAACAUCUUUAUAUAUAUAUAUAUAUAUAUAUAUUGUAAAUUUAGGAAAAAUUCAUCCAUUAGCCAUAGUAAGUAAGAAUCAAAUAAGGGAUAUGUAAGCCAAUGGUGAUAUUGAUGGCGUUAAAUCAAUGACAUAGUAGAAAAGUGGAUUGUCUAUUUUCAAACCUUUAUAUUUUCAUGCAAUAGUAAAAAGGUUAAGGCAUCACUUGAAAAGUAGUUCGUUUUUUACCUUGGACUAUGAUUUAUGAAUAAAGUUCUUCUGUUGUAUACCUUUUGUGAUGCCCCAACCUAAUUUAGGGGUAAAAAAAUAAUUUAGAAAAAAAUAAAUAAAAAGUUAAAUAAAUUUAAUUAAGGUAAAAAUGUAUUUUUGUAUUUAAAAUUCCUAGGUAUCAAUUAUAUAUUUCUUGUCUUCUCUAUUCAAAAAACCAUAUUACACAAAAAUCAAAUAUCAGAGAACAUAGGACAACGCAGGGUUGAAGAUUUGGAGGUUUAGGGUUGAAGAUUAGUUUUCCAGGUAAGAUUCUAACCCUUAAAUUAGUAUUUUAGAUUCGUUAAUUAGUUUGAACACUUUAGAUAUUCUUUGAAAAAUCUGAAUAUACAUUAGGGUUUGUUAAUUUAAUUUUUAAAUAAAAAAGAUUGAAAAUUUAUGAACAUAAGUAGAGUUAUUAUUAAAGAUUGAAAAUUUUUGAAUAUUUGAAUUAAAAAUCUAGAAAAAAAAGAAGAAAAUAAAUUAUAGCUUUGGACGUGGAAAAAAAUUAAUAUUAAUUAAUAAAUAAAACCUAUGAGUAUGGAAGUAGAAAAAUAUGAGAGUUGAAAGCAAAGAAAAAAAAAGAGAAUAAGGUUUUGUGGUUGUACAUGCCUCCUUAGUGGAAAAAAAAAAUACAAGGUUGCUUGCAAUAGGAUAUGACAAAGAGAGAGAGAUAAAUGCUUAGAUGUUGAUUUUUGUGGGGAAAAAAAGAUUGGGUAAUGUAGGAGAGAAAUAGGUAGCACUUUUAGAGUCGGUGGAGUUGUUGUAAAAGCUCGUAGGGGUAAUUGUUAGGUAGUAGUAGGGUAUGAGAUUAAUUGUUAGGAAACAUUAGGACUUGAAAUAAUAAUAAUUGCUUCUAGUAAAAGUUUUAAUUUAGUUUAAGUAUAUAAAAGAAAUAGAUGAUUAGAAUAAGAUUUGGAAGGAAUAUGAAUUCAUAAAAAUUUCAAAAUUUACUAAUUUAGAUUAUUAUUGUUUUGGAAGUUGAAUAUAAUAUAGGUGAUAAUAUUAUUAAUAUAGGAAAUGAUUAAGAUUCUCAAACCUACAAUUUUAGAUAAAUAGUUAAUAGUAAUAGUUGAUUUUUUAUUUUUUUUUUAUUUUUUAUUUUUUAUGUUAUGUUAAGUGAAUAAUGGAUUCUUUGAUUAAUUCUCUAAGGUUUCUAAGUGCUUCUUUAAGGUAAGGGAUAUUAAUACUGAUUUUGUAAAUGAAAAUAUUUCUUUUUAUAAGUUAUUUUAAAUUAUGAAAAUUUUUAUUUUUAUUUAUGCAUGGAUCAAAUAUAUAUUUUUUCAUGAGAAACAUGUUUGGGCAAUUUCUUUGUUUAUAAAUAAAUAAAUGAAAACUUUGGAAAUAUAAUGUUUUGUUUUGUAAGUUUAAAAUAAUGAAAUAAAGUUUUUGACUCUGGUUUAUAUGACCUUAGUUAAUAGGUUAUAAUUGUUGACAUUUUCAGCUCCAGUCAACGAUUAUAAUUGUUGACAUUUUCGGCUCUCCAAUCAAUGAUUAUAAUUGUUGAGAUUUUCAACCCUAGCCAACGGGUUAUAAUAGUUGACCUUAUAGCCCUAGUCAACAGAUAUAAUUGUUAACCUUUGGCUUUUCCCAUCUUAAAAAGAACAAAUUUAAGGCUAGCCAUUUAUUUGUAAAGUCCCACCUAACUAAGUACCAUUUGUUAUUUAAUAACCAGAGUAAAGAUAUUUUGAAUGUAUUUGAUGUGAAAUUGUUGUGAUAUUAAUAUGAAAAUGUUUGGUUGAAAAGUUCAAAUGUUUAAUGCAUGUUGAAUUCAAAAGUUUUUAUGAAAAUGAUUAUAUGUUAUAUCUCUUAUUUGUAAGUUUGAUCCAUGAAACUGUAUUAAUAUUCCUUAUUGGACUUUGAGCUCAUUCCCCUUUAUUGAGAAUUUUUUUUCGUAUUCUCAGUUUGGGCAAGGAGUGAUGACUGGGUUGGGGAAUUUUCUUUACUAUGGUUUUGCUUCAAUCUUAUUUUGGACAUUGUUUAGAUGUUAAAAUUUAAUUCCCAUUUAAAUUAUUUGGGUUUGGAGUUAUUUGGACGAUAAAACUUUGAUUGAUGUGUUAGUUUUAAAGUUGAGAAUUGAAAAUUAUAGAAUUUAUUUAUCUUACUACUUUGAACAGAAAUUUAGUAAUUGGAGAUCAUCCAGUUACAAGAUGAAUAUUUGAGUCGUUUCAAGUCGUUUCCACUUUGAGUGUUCAGGCUUAGGGUGUGAAAUGAUCGUUAUGCCCUUGGAGUGGGUAUAUUGUUUAUUUGAAUUUAAUGGUCCCCGAACUCCUUAAUUACUCAUAACUUUAUAUCAGCUUCUCAAAGUUAAGUUGUUUUACAACUACUAUCUAGCUACUUUUCUCUACUAUGACAACUUUAUUACAUAGUGAUUAAUUGAAAGAAUCUACAUGUCUUAUUUCAUAGGAUAGUUGAUUUUUUUACUCAAUGAAUUUUGCUUUUAUUAUUGAAAAUUUCAAAUCAUUGUAGUCCAACAAUUUCCUAUCCAUUGGUAAUUUCAUAUUACAUUUCCAAAGUCUAAUCAUUUAAAAACACUUGUAGUUAAUAUAUUGGCAAUUGCAUUGUGGGAAGUUGUUCACUUGAUUUUAAUGUUGAAACUUUCAAAUUUUUGUAGUCCAACAAUUCCCUAUCCAUUGGUAAUUUCAUAUCACAUUUUCAAAGUAUAAUACUUGUAUAUAGUAUAUUUGGUGAUUGUAGAGUGGAAAGUUGAUCAUUUUCAUGAAGACCUCUAAAAUAGAAUUUUUUUUCAUUCCAUUUAUUAAAGAAUUUCAUUAAUUGAACAUAUAUGUUUUUUUAACCGAAAAGUAGAGGCCACAUUAUACGAGGCCUUAGGUGACAAUACUAGGUGAGGGCUUUUUUUUUUAAUUUAUUUAUUACGAAAUAUAAAUAAUAUUAUUUAUUGUAUAAUAAAGAUUAUUAUAAUAUAUUUUUUAUAGAUGAAAAAAAAUAUUAAUUGAGUUUUAUUUUUUUAAAUAAUUGUUUUCAAUAAAUAACGUAUUUGUAAAAAGAAAACUAUAAAAUAUAUGCAUUUGAAAAAUAUUUAAUUUUUAUUUGAUUUAGUAUCAAUUAAUAUUUGUAAUAUUUUUUAAUAUUAUAGAAGUUAACAUACUCAAUUAAGAUAUUCAAGAUCAAGAGAAUAUUUGAGAUUGAAUUAAUUUCUUUAUUGUUUAUGUUUUAGUAAAUUUUUAUAUCCAUUAAAAUUUUUUUAUUGUUUAUUUUUCAUUCAAUGUUUGCAUUUUGUAAUAGAUAUUAAAACAAAUUUUUUUCUUGUAUGUUAAAAAAAUAUUUCAAUGUCUUUAAAAAUAAAAUAUUGUAGUAAAAUCAAAAUUACAUUGUGAAACUUUAAGCGAAUGUUUUAUACUAAAGAAGUGCCAAUUAAAGUAAGCAUGCAUCUACAAUUGUAAUUUAGAUGUCAUAUUGAAACAAUAGUUCUCUUUGACUAUAUCAUAAAAUUUGGUUCGAAUUACUUUAAGUCAUCUUGUAGAUUUUCAAGUUCCAAUGAUAUGCAUCAAGUAUGUGCAACAUACUUGAUAUGACUAAUAUUUUCUUAAGUAAUUGGACACUUUUUUCUAUAAAUUUACUUGAUUAUCAAUGAAUACUUUUAUGUAAGGUAUUGAUAUAAUUCGAUAAAUAUUUUAAAAUAGUAUUAGAAUAGCUUUGCUCUUUCCUAAUUAACAAAUUUACUAAAUUAACUUAUAUAUAUUUGUUUAUUUUAAUUUACUGGUAUUUGACUCAAUUUGUUAUUAUUUUUAAAAUUAUAGGAAAACCAUUAUUUAUAGAGUUUAAUUAUAUUUGGUAAAUUAUCUUUUUAAGUUUGACUAGGAUUAGGAAACUAUUAAUUUAAGAUUAAUCCAUAAGGCUCUAUAAAUUUGCAGUUUUAUAUAACAUUUAAAAAAAGAAAGAAAAAGUAAGAAAAAGUGAAGAGAGAUAGGCAAAGAGUGCAUUGGGUUUUAGAUAGAGAAAGGUCGAGAGAGUUUUGAUUACUACUCAAAAAGAACAUAUUUUAGAUAGUAAUUCUCAUGGGUUUCACAUCUUUUGAGUAUUAAUUAUGCCUAAAAAUGCUCAAUUAACAUGUUGUUGCCCUUGCAAGAGUUACUAAUAAGUUUUAUAAAGUUUUGGAGUCAUUUCAAGUUAUGAUUUUAAUAAAUUGGUGAUGAAAGAGAUGAAUUGAUUUGAAGAAGGAAAAUAAUAUUGAUGAUGAUCCAAAUGCAUAAUGAAAGAAGCAAUAUAAUUAGUUUGAUCGGGAUUUGCUGCUAAUUUGGAGGUAGUUAAGGUGGAGUCAAAAGAAGAAAAUGGAAGAAAUGACAAAGAGGAACUUAAAAACCAAAUGUUGCAGAUUUGUAUGAUCAUUCAAAAAUUACAUGACUAUGCCAAAUGGAUUAGAGAAGGAAAAUUGACUAUAGUAUAAGGAGGAUGCUUAAGUUGAUUUAGCAUGAACAUGAGAAAAUUUCGCAUGAACAUGCGAAAAUUUUGCACAAUCAUGCGAAAUGGUCCAGAAAGCUCUCUAAUGUUGUUGUUGCUCCACUAAUUUCGCACCACCAUGCGAAAUCGAUCUUUUCAUGCAAAAUGGCUGAAGCUCAUGUGAAAUCAUGAUUUUGAUGCUAAACUCCAGAUUUGUGAAUUUGGAAGGUUUUAGAAGACCAAUGAGAGGUUGCCAAGUGUCCACUUGACCUUGGUCUAUAAAUAGAAACUUGAAUUUCCCAUGUAAAGAGCUUUGUGAUACUUUUGAUUUUAGAUUUUUCUAGAAACUCUUUCUCUAAAUAGAAUUCUAUAUUUUCUUUAAUUUUCCCUCAUUUUCUCAUUAGCCAAACAUGCCUAGUGAGACCAAAUUUCCAAGUAUGAGUGACUAAAUCUCGUUUUUCUCAGAGGAAUGAGGAUCUAGAGGCAAGAUCUAUGGUGAAUUAUAGAAAUGAGUUUUAAUUGCAAAUGUAAUUUGAUUCAAUUGAUUGAUUAAUUGAAAUUCGAGGAUUUUUCUCUUCAAAUUGUCCUGAAUGACAAUUACAUUGCAAACUAGGCAGAUUAAUUAAAUUCUUAAAGUUAGAUUUAAUGAGACUGAAUAGUUGCAUUGUAUGAAUCAUUGGAAGAUGAUUUAAGAUGAAUUGAAUAUAUAAUUUAAAUUCAUAUCUUGGAUUAAAUAACCUAAUUUGAAGAGAAAUUAGGUUUAGACUUAAAGGGAAAUCUAAAAUCGGUUUAGAUAAGAAUUUAGGUUUUCAAUCUAACUUGAUGAAAAAUAAAUCUCAACAUUUAUUCACCAUGGAAAUUGUUUUCUAAAAAAUAUUAACUCUGAGAAUUCCUUUUCCUUAUCAGUUUUCUUAUAUUCUACAUUAUAUUAUUCUUUUCGAUUAGAAAUCAUUGUUAUUUUGAUUUUUCGUGAAUUGUCAAAUCAAUUUCACUUGACCAUAAUCAUUUCUUUUCCUCUCAUUUAAACCUUAAUUAUCGAGAAUAAUCCAUCCCAAUAGAAGACACCUAAGACCACUAUACUACUGUAGCUUUUGCUAAAAAACCUUUUUGAUCGGGCAAGAGUUACCUUAGCAUAGUUGAAUUAGGUUAUAAAUUUUUUAUCCAAUAAACAACAAAAAAAUCAAUUGAUCAAGUUUACAUUGUGUAUUCUUGAAUUUUAUUAAUAAAUUUGAUCCCCUUUUUUGAAGCGAUUACACCAAACCAAGUAAAUAUUUUAUCUACUUCAUUUGCUUUAUUUUUUCUAUUAAGUUUAGGUGUUGCAAUUUUUAAGAGUCAUGGUGAGAAGAUUGUGGGAAAAAUUAUUUUAAGGAUGGAGUCGAACAUAAAAUAUGAAAUUGAGUCCUUUGAUGGAAAUAAUAAUUUUAAUAUUUGAUAGAGUAUUAUUAAAGAUGUUUUGAUACAACAAAGACUUCUCAAAGCAUUACAAGGCAAAAAAAACUAGAGAGCAUGACAAAUAAAGAAAUGAAAGAAUUACAAGCAAGAGUUGUAAGUACUAUUUGUUUAAGUCUUAAAAAUGAAAUACAUUGUUUUGAAUGAAAAAAAUAUUCUUUUAGGGGUGUCAAUUGCUCUUUUAGAGACCAAAAAUAUUAAGCAAUCAAGUAGUUCAUCUCAUAUUGGACAAACUGUUAUGAUGAAUUCUAAACCAUAUCAUCAUAGGAGUAAAUCGAAAGAAAAGUAUCUGAUAGGAGGAUGAUCAUUCCAUUCACACUUAUAGAGGAAUAUGAAGUAUUAUUNNNNNNNNNNNNNNNNNNNNNNNNNNNNNNNNNNNNNNNNNNNNNNNNNNNNNNNNNNNNNNNNNNUAGUGAUUGUUUUAUGUUGAAGAAAGGCUAAUUAAAGUAAACAUGCAUCUAAAAUUAUAAUUUAGAUGUUGUACUCAAAUAGUUGCUCUCCUCGAUUAUAUCAUAAAAUUUGGUUUGAAGUCUAAGUCAUCUAAUAAUUUUCUAGUUCCAAUUACAUGCAUCAAACAUGUGUGUUAGGAAGUGUUGCAAAUUACUAAUUAGUAUAUAUUCUUUUUUUUUUAAGAAUAUUGUAUUAAAUAUUUCUAGGUUGAUAUAUUAUUGUAAUAUUAGACUUCUUUAUAGAAUAAGGAAGGUUGUUGAAAAUAUCCCUAUAAAUAUUCUAGUUCAUAAGGGGAAAAAGUUUUGAGAUGAAGAUGGACCCAUAAAGACUAUACAAGGUGGAUAGAGAUGUGAGGAAGAACGAGAGGUACCCGAUGGAGCGAGAGGGCUCGUGGUAGGGUAUAGGUACGAAGAGUGAGGAAACAUGGGAUGUUUUGGGAACUCAAUAUUUGUAUCUAGUUAUGUCCUCUAUAAGUUCUAGUUCUGUCAUCUGCAUUGUUCUCUAUUUUAUAGUGGAAUGAUUCUCUCUUAUCUGUGGACGUAGGCAUGGUUUUCGAACCACGUUAAAACCUUGUGUACCGUUUGUGUUGAUUUUUUUUAUCUUUAUUUUCUUGAUUAAUGAAGUUUGCAUCAAAGCUUCUGUCAACGUAACAAACUUGUAUCAAAGUUUGGGAUAAAGAUUUCUAGAAGAGUAAAAGAUCAUAGAGCACACAAGAUGAAAACAAAAGGAAUUUUUAGUGAAAAAGGAGUCAAUUGCUCUCUCGUGGUGAUAUGAUAUAAAAAGUUUAUGUCAUGGAAAGUUUGAAGAUUUACUUCAUGGAAUCUGGUCCAAAAUGGAGAUUGUUAAUAAGUGUCCCAAAUUCCUAAUUAGUAUAGAUUUUUUUUUUUGUAAAGAAUAUUGUAUAGAAUAUUUCUAGGUUGAUAUAUUAUUGUAAUAUUAGACUUCCUUAUAGAAUAAGGAAGGUUGUUGAAAAUAUCUUUAUAAAUAUUCUAGGUCAUGAGGGAAAAAAGUAUGAGAUGAAGAUGGGCCCUAUAAAAACUAUAUGAGGUGGAUAAAGAUGUGAGGAAGAAUGAGAGGUACUCAAUGGAAUGAGAGGGCUCGUGGUAGGGUAUGGAUACAAAGAGUGGGGAAAUAUGGGAUGUUUUGGGAACCUAUUAGUUGUAUCUAGUUCUGUCAUCUAUAAUGUUCUAGUUACGUCCUCUAUAAUGUUCUCUAUUGUAUAGUGGAAUGAUUCUCUUUCAUCCGUGGAUGUAGGCAUGGUUGUCGAACCACAUUAAAACCUCGUGUACUAUUUGUUUUAUUUUUAAAUUUUUUUUAAUCUUUGUUUCUUGAUUAAUGAUGUGUGCAUCAAAGCUUCCAUCUACGUAACAAACUGGUAUCAGAGCUUGGGUUGAAGAUUUUUGGAAUAGUAAAAGAUCACAAAGCACACAAGAUGAAAACAAAAGGAAUUUUUAGUGAAUGUGGAGUCAAUUGUUCUCUCGUGGUGAUAUGAUACAAAAAGUUUGUGUCAUGGAGGGUUUAAUGAUUGACUCCGUGGAAUUUGGUCCAAGGUAGAGAUUGUUAGGAAGUGUCCCAAAUUCCUAAUUAGUAUAGAUUUUUUUUUUUUAAAGAAUAUUGUAUAGAAUAUUUCUAGGUUGACAUAUUAUUGUAAUAUUAGACUUCCUUAUAGAAUAAGGAAUGUUGUUGGAAAUAUUUUUAUAAAUAUUUUAAGUCAUGAGGGGAAAAAUUUAUGAGAUGAAGAUGGGCCUAUAAAGACCAUAUGAGAUGGAUAGAGAUGUGAGGAAGAAUCGGAGGUACCCAGUGGAGCGAGAGAGUUCGUGGUAGGGUGUGAAUAUGAAGAGUGGGGAAACAUGGGAUGUUUUGGGAACCCAAUAGUUGUAUCUAGUUCUGACAUCUAUAAUGUUCUGGUUCUGUCAUCUAUAAUGUUCUGGUUUUGUCCUCUGUAAUGUUCUUUAUUGUAUAGUGGAAUUAUUCUCUCUCAUCUAUAUAGGCAAGUUGCUAAACCACGUUAAAACCUCGAAUACCUUUUGUGUUGAUUUUUUUUAUCUUUGUGUUCUUGAUUAACGAUGCUUGCAUCAAAGCUUCUACCAACGUAACAAUGUGCAACAUAUUUGAUAUAACUUAUAUUUUCUUAAGUAAUUGAACACUUUUUUCUAUAAAUUUACUUGAUGAUCAAUGAGUACCUACAUAUACGGUAUUGACAUAGUUUGAUAAACAUUUUAAAAUAGUAUUAGAAUGGCUUUUCUUUUUCCCAAUUAACAAAUUUAUCAAAUACACACACACACACACACACACAAAAUACUCAUUAGUAUGUCUUUUAUGAAAAAACUAUGUUUGUUUAUUUGAAUUUAGUAGCCAUUCAAUUCCUUAGUUACUCAUAAACUUUUUAUCACCUUCUUAAAGUCAAGUCAUUUACAAUUAUUUUCAAGUCAUUUACAAUUAUUUUAGCCUUCUCCAUUAUGACAACUUUAUAAGAUAGUGAUUGAUUGGAAGAAUCUACAUGCCUUUGUUGAUAGUAUAAUUGUUUUUCUUUUUUUUCGUAUUCAAAGAAUCUUGCUUCUGUUAUUGAAACUUUCAAAUCCUUUAUGUCUAGUGGUCUUAUAAUUCCCUAUUCAUUGGUCUUUCAUAUUACCAAUCAUUUUGCAAAUGAGUUAAUUUCAUUCACAUCCUCUGAGAUUUGAUGUAAAUUCGCUUAGUUACCAAUGAUUUCAAAUUUCAUUAAUUAGUACCCCUACAGAUAUAAUUCGUGUACAAAAUUUAUUUUUUAAAAGAGUUUAGGUAAAAAUAUUUUAGGUAUAUGUCUUUAACAAUUCUCUAAAAUAAAUUUUACUUGCUAAAAAAUAACUUAUAUAGAUAGAAUACAUCUACAGGAGUUCUAACUAACGAAAUUUAAAACUAAUGGUGGUUUAGUGUAUUUAAACUAAACAUUAGGAAGGGUGACUGAAAUUAACCCUCUAGGUAUAUAUGUUUAACAAAAUUUUUAUUGUUUAUUUUUCAUUUAAUGUUUGCAUUUUUCAAUAAACAUUGAAAAGGAAUUGUUUUUCCAUAUGUUAACAAAAAGAAAUUUGAAUACCUAUAAAAAUGAAAUCUUGUAGUAAAAUUGGAGUUACAUUAUCAGACUUUUAACGAGUGUUUAUGUUUAGAAAGGCCAAUUAAAGCAAGCAUGCAUCUAGAAAUUGUAACUUAGAUGCAUCAAACAUGAGCAACAUAUUUGAUAUAACUAAUAGUUUCUUAAGUAACUAAACACUUCUUUUUCUAUAAAUUUACUUGAUUGUCGAUGAAUACUUACAUACAUUUACAUAGUUUGAUAAAUAUUUUAAAAUAAUAUUAGAAUAACUUUGUUUUUUCUCAAUUAUAUUAGAAAAUAAUAUAAAGUUACUUAUAAACUUUAUAUCAUUUUCUCAAAGUCAAGUCAUUUACAAUUAUUUCUAUCUAGUCUUCUCCAUUAUGACAACUUUUAUAUGAUAGUCGUUGAUUGGAAGAAUCUACAUGUCUUUUUUGAUAAGAUAGUUGUUUUUAUUAUUUUUAUUUUUUUUAUUCCAAAAAUUUGCUUCUAUCAUUGAAACUUUCAAAUCUUUUAUGUAUAUUACCAAUCAUUUUACAAGUGAGUUAAUUUCACUUAGGGUAGAUAUACUUAGCCACACCCCUAUAGAUGUAAUUUGUGUUUAAAUUUUAUUUUUUAUUUAGGUAAAAAUAUCUUAGGUAUAUGUGUUCUACAAUUCUCUAAAAAAUAAAUUUUCUUAUCUAAAAGUUUAUAUAGACAAAAUACAUCUAUAGAAGUCCUAACUAAUGAAAUUUAAAAUCAAUGGUUGUUUAGUGUAUUUACAUUAAACCUUAUGGGGUAUGAUUGAAAUUAAGUCUUUUACAAGCACUUGUAGCUAAUAUGUUUGUAGUUGUAGUCUUGGAAAUUGAUCAUUUUCUUGAAGGCCUCUAGGAUAUUGAAAAUAUUGCCAUAGUUUUAGACUUUUUUUUUAUUACACCUAAUAAAAAAUAUUAUUAAUUUAACAUAUAUAUUCUUGACUUAAAAGUAAAGUCUCUCCAUAUUGUAUAAGCCCUUAGGUGGCAAUAUUAGGUGAAGUUUUUCUUUCGUUUAUUACAAAAUAUAAAUAAUUUAUUAUUGUAUGAUAAAAUUUUAUGUAAUAUAUUUUUAUAGAUGUAAAAUUAUUAAUUGGGUUUUGUUUUUUUUUACUAAAUUGUCAUUUCAAUAUAUAAAACUUAUUUGUAAAAAGACAAUUAUAAACUAUAUGAAAUUGAAAAACAUUUAGUUUUUUUAUUUAAUUUAGAAUUUUAUUUGGAUUAAUAAUUGAUAUUUGUAAGAUUUUUGAAUAUUAAAAAAAGUUAGCAUACUUAAGAAAGAUAUUCAAGAUCGGGAGUGUUUGAUAUCGGAUUAAUUUCCUUAUUUUCUCUAUUUUAAUAAAUUUUCACGUCCAUUACAAAAUUUUUGUUGUUUAUUUUUUACUUCAAUAUUUUUAUUUUGUAAUAGAAAUUUGAAAAGAUUUUUUCCUACAUGUUAAAAAAAAAAAAGAUUUGAACACUCCUAAAAAAGAAAUAUUGCAAUAAAAUUAAAGUUUACACUGUAGGACUAUUAGCAAAUGCUGCAUACUUAAAAUAGACCAAUUAAAGUAGAAAUACUUCUAAAAUUGUAAUUUAGGUAACAAUAAUAUAAAAAGACAAUAUUUUUGAAACAAUAGUUCUCUUGGAGUUUUGGGUACAAUGGACUAGACUUUAUGUAACAAUAGAUAUACAAACUUUCCAUUAACAUCUUGAGAGACAUGAUGAGGAGCAAAGUCAUCCAAGAAGGUACCAUAGAGGUACCUUAGCUCAAUUCAUCUAGACUACAUAAUGUUUAAAGAUCAAAUUCAAUGACUAGAUUUCAAAAAUCAAUAUAAGCUUUCUCAUAUUCUACUCUAUAUAAGACAAUGGUAUGAUACCUCUCUUGUGUCGUAGAAUGCACCAUGAAAACCUUAUCAUUUUAACAUCAGUUUGAAACUUAAAAGUCACUUAGCACAUUCUAGUUAUUAAUUUAAGAGCAUUAAAAGAAAUAUAUAAAAAAAAAGUUACUUUAUCCUUGUGAUUUUGAUCUAGGACUUUUAAUGAUAUUAAAAAAAAAAACAGAAAAAUAAAUGGAAAUAAAAUCAAUAAAUUAAACAAUUGAAUUAAGUUAGUUUAAUUUUUGAAUCGUUAAAUGGGUAAAUAAAGAUCUUAGAUUUGAUAUUAAUAUGAACAUCAUGACUUCAGUGAAUCUUACAAGAAAAUUUUAGUUUGAAAGACUUCAUUCAUUAAACGUGUGGCACAUAUUAAAGUAAAACUAAGUCUUCUCUAUAAUUUGUACCUAUCAUAGUUUCUUUCCUCAUAAAUAGCCUUUUUUGAAUAUAAUAUAGACUUCAACAUGCAUGGUGGGGCCAAUCAAACUACUAGUCAAGACAACUCAUGGGCAACAACGAUGUACCAACUACAUUUAAAUACUCUUCAUAUAUUUGCAUAUCAAGAGUAAUUUAGUAGUGUCUUUCUUAUGUACCUCAUAUCUAGACUUUCAAUGGAGAGUUCUUCAUCUAAAAAUUUGACUUGGGUUUUCAUACUAGUUUUGGUUUAGACAUGUGGAUGCAAAGGUUGCAUCAAAGAAGAGAAGUAGGCUAAAUCAUCUUACAAAUUUUCAAGUUCAAAUUAGAUGCACCAAACAUAUGCAACAUAUUUGAUAUAACUAAUAUUUUCUUAAGUAAUUGAAUACAAUUUUUUUUUAUAAAUUCACUUGAUUAUUAAUGGAUAACUAACUACAUGUAUGGUAUUGACACAACUUGAUAAAUUUUUUAAAAUAGUAUUAGAAUAACUUUGCUAAAAAAAAGUAAAAAUAAAAAUAAAAAUACAUCUAUAUAUAUAUAUAAUUAAAUAAAAUUAAAAAUUAAUAUAUAUAUAUAUAUAUAUAUAUUCUGUGUGUGUAUGUGUGCAUGGUCUCACAAGUCAUUAGCUACUCAUAAGCUUUAUAUCACUUUCUCAAAGUCAAGUCAUUUUGUAAUUAUUUCUAUCUAGCCUUCUCCAUUACGACAACUGUAUAGGAUAUUGAUUGAUUGUAAAAAUCUUCAUGUCUUUUUUUAUAAGAUAGUUUUUUAUUAUUAUUAUUAUUCAAAGAAUUUUCUUUUAUUAUUGAAACUUUCAAAUCCUUUAUGUCUAGUGGUCCUACAAUUCCCUAUUCAUUGGUAUUUCAUAUUACCAAUCAUUUUACAAAUAAGUUUAUUUCACCCGGUAAAUAUACUUAACUACCAAUGGUUUCAAAUUUAAUUGAUUAACACACUUAUAGAUGUAAUUUGUUUUUAAAUUUUAUUUCUUUUAGAAGAAUUGUAGGUAAAAAUGUUCUAGGAAUAUGUGUUCAAUAAUUCUCUAAAAACAAUUUAUAUAGAUGGAAUACAUUCAUGGAAGUUCCAACUAAUGAAAUUUAAAACCAAUGACGAUUUAAUGUAUUUGCACUAAAUCUUAGGGGAGGUGUACUAAAACUAGCCCUUUUACAAAUAUUUGUAGCUAGUAUAUUUGUAGUUAUGGUGUUGGAAGUUGAUCAUUUUCUUAAAGGCCUCUAAGAUAUUGGAAAUAUCGCCAAAGUUUUGAACUUUUUGUUUCACCUAAAUAAAAUAUCAUUAAUUUAAUAUAUAUACUCUUCGCUUGAAAGUAUAGUUUCUUCAUAUUGUAUGAAGUUGUAACUAGGUGACAAUAUUAGGUGAAAUUUUUUUUUGUUUACUACAAAAUAUAAAUAAUAUAUUUAUUAUAUGAUAAAAUUUUGUAAAAUAUAUUAUUAUAGAUGCAAAAUUAUUAAUGGAGUUUUAUUUUUUACUAAAUUAUCAUUUCAAUAAAUAAGAACUUAUUUGUUAAAAGAAAAUUAUAAAAUAUAUGCAAUUGAAAAAAAUUUAAUUUUUUUAUUUAAUUUGGUAUUUUAUUUGAAUUAAUAAUUGAUAUUUGUAAAAUCUUUUAAUAUUAAAAGAAGUUAACAUACUUAAAAAAGACAUUCAAAAUCAAGAGAGUAUUUGAUAUGAAAUUAAUUAAUUAUUUUUUUUCUAUUUAAAUAAAUUUUUACAUCCAUUAAAAAAAUUUUCUUGUUUAUUUUUCACUUCAAUAUUUUUAUUUUGUAAAAUAAAUAGAAAUAAAAUCAACAAAUUAAACAAUUGAAUUAAGUUAGUUUAAUUUUGCCACCGUUAAAUUGGUAAAUGAAGACUCUUAUAUUUGAUAUUAACAUGAACAUCAUGACUUCAUUGAAUAUUCUCACAAGAAAAUUUUAGUUUGAAAGAUUUUAUCCUUUAAACAUGUGGCACAUAUUAAAGUGAGACCAAGUCUUCCCUAUAAUUUGUAUCUAUCACAAUUUCUUUCCUAAUGAAUAACCUUUUUGAAUAGAAUAUAGACUUUAGCAUAUUACCAACCAUUUUACAAAUAAGUUAAUUUCACUCAGUAAAUAUACUUAACCACCAAUGGUUUCCAAUUUGUAGCACUCUUAUAGAUGUAGUUUUUUUUUUAAAUUUUAUUUUUUAGAAGAAUUGUAGGUAAAAAUAUUUUAGAUAUAUAUGUUCAACAAUUCUCUAAAAACAAUUUAUAUAGAUGGAAUACGUUCAUGGAAGUUCCAACUAAUGAAAUUUAAAACCAAUGAUGAUUUAAUGUAUUUGUACUAAAUCUUAGGGAGUGUGGACUAAAAUUAGCCCUUUUACAAAUAUUUAUAACUAGUAUAUUUGUAGUUGUGGUAUUGAAAGUUGAUCAUUUUCUUAAAAGGUUUACCAUUGAAGUUAGUUGAAUAUAAAGUUAGGUGAACUUUACCAUUGUUUAAUUGGUAAAUGAAGACUCUUAGAUUUGAUACUAACAUGUACAUCAUGACUUCAUUGAAUCUCUCACAAGGAAAUUUUAGUUUGAAAGACUUCAUCUUUUAAACAUGUGGCACAUAUUAAAGUGGACCAAGUCUUCCCUAUAAUUUGUAUCUAUCACAAUUUCUUUCCUCAUAAAUAGCCUUUUUUAAUAGAAUUAAUAUAGACUUUAGCAUGCAUGGUGGGCCCUGUCAAACUAUUAGUCAAGAUAAUUUGUAGGUAAGAACGAUGGACCAACUAUAUUAAAUAUUCUUCAUCUAUUUGCAUAUCAAGAGCAACUUAAUAUUGUCUUUCUUUUGUACUUCAUGUUUGAACUUUCAAUGGAGAGUGUGUCAUCUAAAUAUUUGAUGUGGGUUUUUAUACUAUUCUUGGUUCAAAUAUGUGGAUGCAAAGGUUGCAUCGAAGAAGAGAAGAUGGGUUUGCUUGAAUUCAAGGCUUUUCUUAAAUUGAAUAAUGAGCAUGCAGAUUUUCUUCUCCCUUCAUGGAUAGAUAACAACACUAGUGAAUGUUGUAAUUGGGAGCGGGUUAUUUGCAAUCCCACCACAGGUCGAGUUAAGAAGCUUUUCCUCAAUGAUAUUACGCAACAACAAAGUUUCUUGGAAGACAAUUGGUACCAAUAUGAAAAUGUCAAAUUCUGGUUACUAAAUGUCUCCCUAUUCCUUCCUUUUGAAGAACUUCACCAUCUAAACUUGUCUGCAAACUCAUUUGAUGGGUUUAUUGAGAAUGAAGGUAUGUUACCUCUCACCUUUAAAAUUUCAUUUCACUUAUACUCCAAACAUUCUAAAGGAACUACUAGCAUAUGUUCUUAAAAGUGUUCAGGUGGAGACCAAAUGGUCACUAGUAACUAUUGAAUUUAAUAUAAGAACAAUUACUAAUUAUUAAAAUUUAUAAUGUAAAUUAACAUUUAAACAGAACAAUAAAAAAAUUAUUAUUUUAGAAAACUAUAGAUUACAUUAGCCUUAUAUAUAUAAGCAUACUUGUUAUUUAUGCCAUCAUUUCACACUCAACCCAAUAAGUGGGAUUCAACUAAGAGUGAGCAAUUUCACAAUUAUUAAUUAACAGGAACACUUAGUCUCCCAUAUCCUUAUCCUUUUUGUUGAAUUGUCUUUCCUUAUCUUCCAUUCCUAAAAAGCUUGAUUUCUAUAUUCUAAAUUGAUAAAGAUUGGUUAAAGAAAGGUGAUCACAAAAUUUGACUAUUGCUGUCAAAUAAGGAAUCACCAUCUUCAAAGUUUCACAUUUACAAAAAAAAAAAAAAAAAAAAAAAAAAAAAAAAAAAACCCUAGCCUUGGGUAAGGUCCAAGCCUUAUUGUUUUAAGCUGAUGUCGGGUUGGUUUAAUAAUAAACAAAAAAAAUCCUAACCCAUGACCAUCUACGCAUUUCCAAAUUCCACCCAUCCACAACCCAUUAAUAUGACAUUUUCAAGGACAAAAUUUAAUCAAUUAAACCUAUUAGAUGGAUUCUCCAUACAAUGUUAAAAUGAAUAUAAAAACUUUAAUUCAAAAAAUAAUUUCCUUUAUUUAGUUAGGAUUCAAAUUAUAGGGGCACAAAACAUGAAAAUUUUCAUGUUUAAAAUUCACAAAGAUCACAAAAGCUCUUUGAAGCUCUAUGGACUUUUUUAUUUCUAACAUUUAAACACAAAAAUCACCAUAUUUAAUUAGAGAUUUGGAUACAUAUUCUUAUAUUAAAGACAUGUAAGCUUACAUAUUUAAAUAUGAAGAUCUCAACUUGUAAUUACAUGCUUCUAAUUAAAGUUAUAUUACUCUAUUUUAUAGGAUUUAAAGGGUUAUCAAGUUUAAAGAAAUUGGAGAUCUUAGACAUAAGUGGUAAUGAGUUUGAAAAAAGUGUCUUAAAAUCUUUGGACACAAUAACAUCACUCAAGACAUUGGCUAUUUGCAGCAUGGGACUGAAUGAAUCUUUUUCCAUUCGAGGCAUGUUAUAUGUCCACAUUGUUUCUUUGAAAUUAAGUAAAAUAUAUUUCUAACUUUUAAUGUUCCUUAGUUAAUCUCUCUUUUGAUUCAUGUUUGUUGCAGAAUUAGCUAGUUUGAGAAAUUUGGAAGUGUUGGAUCUAAGCUAUAAUGAUUUGGAAAGCUUUCAACUAUUGCAAGGUACUUCAUUAACUUGCUAAAAAAACUUAUGAUAUUUUGUUAUUAAAUUAAAGGUAAGAUUAACAAACAAUUUCUUCUCAUUAGUUACUUUUCUUUGUAAUAUCAUUAAAUUUGAUAUAAAGUAGUCUAAAUCAUCCUUUCAAUUUAUAAGUUUUAAUUAAAACGCAUCAAGCAUGCACAAGAUGUUUAAUAUAACUAAUAUUUUCAUAAGUAAUUGAAUUUUUUUAUAUGAAUUAAUUAACUUGAUUAUCAAUAAAUACUUACAUGUAUAAGAUUAAUAUAGUUUCAUAAGUAUUUUAAAAUUGUCUUACAACACACACACACACACACACAAGGAAAAUGAAAGGUAUGUGAUAUCUUUAUGCUAUGUUUGGUUCCCAAAAAAAUUGAGGGAAAAUGAAAGGAGAAAAAAGUAGAGACGAAAAGUAAAAGAAAAGAAAAAAAGUAAAGAAAAAUAUAAAAUUGAUUAAAGUAAAUACAUUAUUUUUAUAUGUUACUUUAACUUGUUUCACUUAUUUUAAUUCUUCAAUGUAAAGAUGAAAGAUUUGAAAAUGCAUAAGUUUCUAAUUAUUUUUUAUUUUAUUUUAUAGUUUUUACAAUACAACCAAACAUAAUAAAAUCAUUUUCUUUAAUUUUUUUUCUUUUCUUAAUACUUUUCACGAACCCUUUAAGUUAUGUUUGUUUGCAGAAAAUAUGAGGAAUAGAAAAUAGAAAAGAAAAUUAGAAGGAAAGAAAAAGUGAAGUAAAAUAAAAAUAAAUUUAAAUUUAAUAAAUUAUUUGUAUAUGCUACUUUAAACUUAUUUCACUUAUUUUAAAUUAUUUAAACUCAUUUCUAAUAAAUAAUAAUGGAAAUUGUAGAGAAGUUUGUGUUAUUCAAGCUUUGCAAUGACUUUACAAGGUGAAGGAAAAUAUUCUUGCUGAAAUUGAAAAAAGAAAUACCUUCUUAAAUAGCCUAUUGACCGAAAACACAUUACCCUAACAUAUACACACACCUUUAUUAUUUAUACAAUCAUUUAAUACUUAAUCCAGUUAGUGGGAUUCUAGUGGUUGUUUUUAUCUUGGUUUCCAAUAUUUCUGAUUGAUAGUGUUCGAUUAAUGAAAUAUCAUAAAUUUUGACCCUAAUAAGGACCAAUCCCUAUUAAAUGUAAUUGGGUUGACCUAAGACUAAAUGUUAGAUCCAACUAAUAAAAACCCAUCUAUUUGUUGGAGUGUAAAUAACCCGGCCUUAGGUAGGGCCCAUGCCUUAUUAUUUUAAGAUGUAGUCCAACUGGUUUGACACUAGAUUGAGUAAAGCCCAACUUAUGAGCAUCUAUGCAUUUCCAUCCAUCCACAACCUACUGGCAUGGACAAACUUUGGUCAAUUAAACCUAUUAUAACUGCAUACAAAAUUUUAAGUUCAAAAGAUAAUUUUCCUUAUUUAGUUAGGAUUCAUAUUAAAAAGGCACAAAGCACGAAUUUUCAUGUUUAAAUUCACAAAUAUCACAAAAGCUCCUUCAAGCUCUAUGGACCAUUUUAUUUGUAACAUUAUAUUACUCUUAAUUAUCAAAUUAACCAACAAAUUCUUCUCAUUAGUUAUUUUUCUUUAGUAAUGUCAUAAAAUUUGAUAUAAAGUAGUAUUGGUCAUCAUUUCAAAUUUUAGGUUCCAAUUAGAUGUAUCAAGCAUGUGUACCAUAUUUGAUAUAACUAAUAUUUUUAUAAGUAAUUGAAUUUUUUUUUCUAUAAAUCAAUUAAUUUGAUUAUCAAUGAAUACUUUCAUACAUGAUAUUGAUGUAGUUUCAUAAAUAUUUUAAAAUAGUCAUAGAAGUCUUUUAUCUGAUUCACUAGAAAGAAAAAUAAACUAUUCUAAUGAAAAGACUUGAUGAUUUGAAGUGAUUGCUUUUGAUUUUAUUUGAUUGCUACCAUUAUUAAUUGUUAGAAAUUGGCAACAAAUACCCAUUUUGCAUCACUUCUAUAUGCAUCGGGGGAAUGAAUUAUAUUUCAUAGAGCUAAUAGGGCAAAACUCAAACUUUUGGAAUUAUGGAAAAGGUUGCUAGAAAGCUAAUUAACCAUUUAUAUUAUGAUUAAGACUAGUUGGGUUAGAAAUAAUUCAUAUGGAGAUUAAAAAAAACUAUGUAAUUUAGUUUAGUAGCUUGGGUGCUAUUGUAAUGAUUAAUGAUCUGCAACUUGAACACAUCUACUAGUGCUUUCUACUUGUAUAGCUAAAUUUAUGUUACCACUUUGAACUACAGUACUUACAUGAGAAGAAAGUUUUUCCUUAGUGAUAAUGCAAAAGAAAUUAAGUAUCAAUUUUUGUUAAACUAACAAGUGAUAGUUUAGAUAUGGUUUGAAUACACUUCCUUUCUUCUAUAUUUUUAUUUUGAAAAAAAAAAACUCUUUAAUGAAAUAUAAGAAAUCUUAUAUGUAUAAAAAUUAAAGACUUAAACAAAAAAAUUCUUCAAAUUUGAAAAUUUUCGAGAAGUAUUUUUAAGAAUUUGUAUUUUCAAUAUAAUAAUUCAUAUAUUUUGUAUAAAAGUUUUUGUUUAAAAAAAUAGAAGUGUGUCCAAAUUACAAAUUAAUUGUUAAAUUAAGAAUGUUUCUCAGAUCAAGAGAUGAUGAAAGUUGUAGAGAGUUUGCAUUACUCAACCUUUGCAAUUACUUUUUGAAGGUAAAAGAAAAUACCUUCCUACAUAACAUACAAUGGCAGGUUCUGGUUUGUAAGAAACUAAUAAAUGAUUAAGAAUAUGAAUAAGACUUCCUUUAUAAUGGAUAUGUAGAGAAGAAUAGUGGAUGAUAGGAGGUGAAAAUCUUGUAAUAAAAUAUCAAUAUCAGUUAUAAGAUAAUCAACAUUUUCUCUAUUUCUUGUACCUAUGUGAUUAAGAAUCUUGUAGCUCCCUUAUUGAAAUAUAAUAUAAAAAUAUAAAUAAACUAUUUAGAAGUGCAUGUAGUUUUCAACAUGAGGAAGUUCAAAAGCAAGUUAAUUAUGAUAAUUUUCUAUAGUCUAUAUUGAACACAAAUUAUUUUUACUAAAGGUUCAAUCGUUCUAUGAAGGUUAAAAGUUUGAAUUGUUUACAUAUGCAAAUGGACAACCAAACAAGAAAAUGAUUUUGAAAUCCUUUUUGGACCUUUUUUUAUCAUUCAUUUUUUCCCCUACUCUAUUUCCUUUCCCUCAAACUCUCUAGGUAGUAAACAUUACCUAAGAUAAAUAGGGAAGAAAAUAUUUUAUCAUUUAUUUAUUUAGUAUUUUUCUUACAUUUUUUGUAUGUUAUCCAAAUAUAAGAAAACUAUUUUUCUUUAUUUUUUCUUUUCCUUGUUGCUUUUCAAGAAUCAAGCAUACUUUAAACUCUAAUUAAGAGUUACAUAGAUUUACGAAGAAACAAUGCAACUGGUAACAAAAAAUUAAGGAAAUUUAAUUUUUGAGAGUAGGUAUAAUGAGAUUGGUUUGUUUGAUACAAAAUUUGAAUAAAAAUUCUUUCAAUGAAAAUUCAAGGAAAGGAAAAAAAAAACAACUUUCUCUCUAGACUAUAAUACUAAAUCACUUAAAAAAUAUCCUAACAUCGUUUAUGUUCAUCUUUCUUUUUAUGGAUUUGAAAAACCCAAUAAUUUGGAGAAAACUGAUUCAAGGAAGAAUAAUUUUUAGAAUAAAAUAUUAUUAUUUAAGAAGAUCAUAAAUAUUAUAGUCAUUGUUGAAUAUGAUAAAUGAUUUAAAAAAAAUGGUAGUUGGAAAUUUAGAUACUUUUAUAAGACAAAUGAAUUUUUCUAGUAUGGUAUGAAAAAAGGUAAAAUGAUAGGCUUUGAUCAUUUUUUAAGGUAGUUUGUUUAAAUCAUUUUAAUUUAUUUUCAUUUAAGAACAAUAACUUUUAUUACACUAGUUAUUUUGAUUUUCUUUUGAUAGAUUUUGCAAGCUUAAGCAAUUUGGAGCUAUUGGAUUUGAGUAAUAAUUCAUUUAGUGGGAGCGUUCCAUCAUCUAUAAGAUUGAUGUCUUCUCUCAAGUCUUUAUCCCUGGCUGGAAAUUACCUCAAUGGUUCCUUACCAAAUCAAGGUAUAUAUAUAUUGUGAUUACAGGUUUUUCUGUUUUCUUUUUUAAUAUCUUGUUUGUUCUUUAUGCCAAUGAAGUCAUGCAUGUCUAUUAAUUUUUGGUAUUUAAUAAAAAACUUUAUUCUUAAUUCAUAAAGACCUCAUCAACGGUAAGUAACAGCUAGUUGUAAGUUUGGGGGCAUUGACAAGACGAGGAGAUGAUUGGUUACAUGUCUUAUUCUCUUUUGUAGGCUUUUGCCAAUUGAAUAAGCUUCAAGAAUUAGAUCUUUCUUACAACUUGUUCCAAGGAAUCCUUCCUCCAUGUUUGAAUAAUUUGACAUCUUUGAGGUUAUUGGAUCUCUCUUCCAACCUAUUCUCCGGAAAUCUUUCUUCCCCUCUGUUACCUAAUCUCACAUCCCUGGAGUACAUCGAUCUCAGUUACAAUCAUUUUGAGGGUUCAUUCUCUUUCAGCUCUUUUGCUAAUCACUCCAACCUUCAAGUGGUCAAACUUGGAAGGAAUAACAACAAAUUUGAGGUAGAAACUGAAUAUCCAGUUGGUUGGGUUCCCCUGUUUCAGUUGAAAGCUCUUGUGCUAUCCAACUGUAAGCUCAUCGGUGACCUUCCUAGUUUCCUUCGACACCAAUUAAGAUUAACCGUGGUUGAUCUCUCCCAUAAUAACUUGACUGGAAGUUUCUCCAUUUGGCUGCUUGAAAACAAUACAAGACUAGGAUCUCUAGUUCUGAGGAAUAACUCUUUAAUGGGUCAACUACUUCCCCUGAGACCUAAUAGUCGUAUCACUUUAUUGGAUAUCUCAGACAACCGACUUGAUGGGGAACUUCAACAAAAUGUGGCCAAUAUGAUUCCAAAUAUUGAGUUUCUAAAUUUAUCCAACAAUGGUUUUGAAGAUAUUCUCCUAUCCUCAAUAGCCGAAAUGAGUUCCUUACAGUCAUUGGAUUUGUCUGCUAAUAGUUUCUCAGGGGAAGUACCAAAACAAUUGCUUGUGGCAAAAUAUUUGUGGCUUCUGAAAUUAUCAAAUAAUAAAUUUCAUGGUGAAAUAUUUUCAAGGGAGUUUAACUUGACUCAGUUAGGGUUUUUACAUUUGGACAAUAAUCAGUUCAAGGGAACACUGUCAAAUGUAAUCUCCAGAAUCUCUAGGUUAUGGGUGUUGGAUAGGUAACAUGACCGAUUUGACUACCCUAGUGUUGGGCAACAAUAGUUUUAAAGGCAAAUUACCACCUGAGAUUUCUCAAUUGUUGGGGAUGAUAUUUCUUGACCUUUCUUAAAACGCUCUUUCAGGAUCUUUUCUUUCUUUGAAGAGCCUGGAGUAUUUAGAGCAUCUACAUUUGCAAGGGAACAUGUUUAUAGGAUUGAUACCUAGAGAUUUUCUCAAUUCCUCAUAUCUAUUGACUUUGGAUAUCAGAGACAACAGGUUAUUUGGAAGUAUUCCCAAUUCAAUCUCUAGACUUUUAGAGCUAAGAGGAAACCUUUUAAGUGGUUUCAUUCCAUAUCAGCUCUGUCAUUUGACUAAAAUAAGCUUCAUGGAUCUUUCAAACAACAAUUUUUCUAGGUCAAUUCCUGGAUGCUUUGGUCAUAUCAGAUUUGGAGAUUUCAAAACUGAGCACAAUGUGUAUAUACCGAUGUUGGAUUCGUAUUCAGAAAGCAAUCCUUCUAUAUAUGCGGGUUACUUAAUAAAAUUUUAUUUUUCUCUAGUGAACUCCCUAAUGAAGUAGAUGAAGUUGAGUUUGUUACCAAGAAUAGGUAUAGCUCCCACAGAGUAGAUAAAUAUAUUUGUUGGGAAUUUAGAUAUUUUUAUAGAAAAGUAGACAAGUAUUCUAAUUUAUAAAAAUAAUGCAUUUCUUUAGUUUGGUAUAAAAAAAAUGAAAUGAUAUGUAUUGGUAAUUUUUUUUAAAGUAACAAACGUUUUAUUUUAUUUGUAUUUAAGAACAAUUUUUUUUCUUAUACUAGUUAUUUUAAUUUUCUUUUGACAGAUUUUGCAAGCUUAAGCAAUUUGGAGAUGCUAGAUUUGAGUUAUAAUUCCUUAAGUGGGAUUAUUCCAUUAUCUAUAAGAUUGAUGCCUCAUCUCAAGUCUUUAUCCUUGGCCAGAAAUCACUUCAAUGGUUCUUUACAAAAUCAAGGUACAUAUGUUAUGAUUUGUUUGUUUCAUAUAGAUUAGAGAAGAUGAAUAUUGUUAAAAAAAAAAAGUUGUUGUUAAUGUAAGCUAGAAAUAAGUAUUUUGCCUUAUAAAUUAUAUAAGCAUGUGUUUGUUCUGAAUGAAUCUUUACAACAUUUAGAGUUACCAAUGUUUAUAAUUCAUAAAGACCUCAUUAACAGUGAGUAACAACUAAUUGUAAGUAAUUGUGGAAAAAGUAAGGAAAACAAAAUGAGGGAAAAGCAAGGAAUUAGGAAAUUAUUUUGUUCCCAUAAAAAAAUGCUAAGGAAGAAAAAGGUAAAAGAAAGUUUAAAAAAAGUGUAUUUUUCAAAAAUUUAUUUCUCUUUCCUUUAAUUUUGCUAUGGACAACCAAACAAGAAAAUAAUUUUAUAAUUCCUUUUUUUUUUCAUUCUCUCUCUCUCUCUCUCUUUUUCCCUACUCUAUUUCUUUUCCCUCAAACUUUCUUGAUAGUAAACACAACCUAAGGUAAAUGAGGAAGAAAAUUUUUAGUUUUUUUUAUUUUUUAUUUUUUUAGAAUGUUUUCUUACUUUUUAGUAUUUUAUGCAAAUAUAGGAAAAUUUUCAUCUUUCUUUUUAUGGAUUUGAAAAACCCAAUAAUUUGGAGAAAACUGAUUCAAGGAAGAAUAAUUUUUAGAAUAAAAUAUUAUUAUUUAAGAAGAUCAUAAAUAUUAUAGUCAUUGUUGAAUAUGAUAAAUGAUUUAAAAAAAUGGUAGUUGGAAAUUUAGAUACUUUUAUAAGACAAAUGAAUUUUUCUAGUAUGGUAUGAAAAAAGGUAAAAUGAUAGGCUUUGAUCAUUUUUUAAGGUAGUUUGUUUAAAUCAUUUUAAUUUAUUUUCAUUUAAGAACAAUAACUUUUAUUACACUAGUUAUUUUGAUUUUCUUUUGAUAGAUUUUGCAAGCUUAAGCAAUUUGGAGCUAUUGGAUUUGAGUAAUAAUUCAUUUAGUGGGAGCGUUCCAUCAUCUAUAAGAUUGAUGUCUUCUCUCAAGUCUUUAUCCCUGGCUGGAAAUUACCUCAAUGGUUCCUUACCAAAUCAAGGUAUAUAUAUAUUGUGAUUACAAGUUUUUAUGUUUUCUUUUUUAAUAUCUUGUUUGUUCUUUAUGCCAAUGAAGUCAUGCAUGUCUAUUAAUUUUUGGUAUUUAAUAAAAAACUUUAUUCUUAAUUCAUAAAGACCUCAUCAACUGUAAGUAACAGCUAGUUGUAAGUUUGGGGGCAUUGACAAGACGAGGAGAUGAUUGGUUACAUGUCUUAUUCUCUUUUGUAGGCUUUUGCCAAUUGAAUAAGCUUCAAGAAUUAGAUCUUUCUUACAACUUAUUCCAAGGAAUCCUUCCUCCAUGUUUGAAUAAUUUGACAUCUUUGAGGUUAUUGGAUCUCUCUUCCAACCUAUUCUCCGGAAAUCUUUCUUCCCCUCUGUUACCUAAUCUCACAUCCCUGGAGUACAUCGAUCUCAGUUACAAUCAUUUUGAGGGUUCAUUCUCUUUCAGCUCUUUUGCUAAUCACUCCAACCUUCAAGUGGUCAAACUUGGAAGGAAUAACAACAAAUUUGAGGUAGAAACUGAAUAUCCAGCUGGUUGGGUUCCCCUGUUUCAGUUGAAAGCUCUUGUGCUAUCCAACUGUAAGCUCAUCGGUGACCUUCCUGGUUUCCUUCGACACCAAUUAAGAUUAACUGUGGUUGAUCUCUCCCAUAAUAACUUGACUGGAAGUUUCCCCAUUUGGCUGCUUGAAAACAAUACAAGACUAGGAUCUCUAGUCGUAUCACUUUAUUGGAUAUCUCAAACAACCGACUUGUUGGGGAACUUCAACAAAAUGUGGCCAAUAUGAUUCCAAAUAUUGAGUUUUUAAAUUUAUCCAACAAUGGUUUUGAAGGUAUUCUCCCAUCCUCAAUAGCUUAAAUGAGUUCCUUACAGUCGUUAGAUUUGUCUGCUAAUAGUUUCUUAGGGGAAGUACCAAAACAAUUGCUUGCGGCAAAAUAUUUGUGGCUUCUGAAAUUAUCAAAUAAUAAAUUUCAUGGUGAAAUAUUUUCAAGGGACUUUAACUUGACUCAGUUAGGGUUUUUACAUUUGGACAAUAAUCAGUUUAGGGGAUAUUUCUCCAGAAUCUCUAGGUUAUGGGUGUUGGAUGGGAGAUAGUUUUAAAGGCAAAUUACCACCUGAGAUUUCUCAAUUGUCGGGGAUGAUAUUUCUUGACAUUUUUCAAAACGCUCUUUCAGGAUCUCUUCCUUCUUUGAAGAGCCUGGAGUAUUUAGAGCAUCUACAUUUGCAAGGGAACAUGUUUAUAGGAUUGAUACCCAGAGAUUUUCUCAAUUCCUCAUAUCUAUUGACUUUGGAUAUCAGAGACAACAGGUUAUUUGGAAGUAUUCCCAAUUCAAUCUCUAGACUUUUAGAGCUAAGAGGAAACCUUUUAAGUGGUUUCAUUCCAUAUCGGCUUUGUCAUUUGACUAAAACAAGCUUCAUGGAUCUUUCAAACAACAAUUUUUCUGGGUUAAUUCCCGGAUGCUUUGGUCAUAUCGGAUUUGGAGAUUUCAAAACUAAGCACAAUGUGUAUAUACCGAUGUUAGAUUCGUAUUCAGAAAGCAAUCCUUCUAUAUAUACGGGUUACUUAAUAAAAUAUUUAUUUUUCUCUACUGAACUCCUUGAUGAAGUAGAUGAAGUUGAGUUUGUUACCAAGAAUAGGUAUAGCUCCCACAGAGUAGAUAAAAAUAUUUGUUGGGAAUUUAGAUAUUUUAUAGGACAAUAUACAAGUAUUCUAAUUUAUAAAAACAAUGCAUUUCUUUAGUUUGGUAUAAAAAAAAUAAAAUGAUAGGUAUUGGUAAUUUUUUUUCAAAGUAACAAACGUUUUAUUGUAUUUGUAUUUAAGAACAAUGUCUUUUCUUAUACUAGUUAUUUUAAUUUUCUUUUGACAGAUUUUGCAAGCUUAAGCAAUUUGGAGAUACUAGAUUUGAGUUAUAAUUCCUUAAGUGGGAUUAUUCCAUCAUCUAUAAGAUUGAUGUCUUGUCUCAAGUCUUUAUCGUUGGCCGGAAAUCACCUCAAUGGUUCUUUACAAAAUCAAGGUACAUAUGUUAUGAUUUGUUUGUUUCAUAUAGAUUAGAGAAGAUAAAUAUUGUAAAAAAAAAAAAAGUUGUAGUUAAUGUAAGCUAGAAAUAAGUAUCUUGCCUUAUAAAUUAUAUAAGCAUGUGUUUGUUCUUAAUGAAUCUUUACAACAUUUAGAGUUACCAAUGUUUAUAAUUCAUAAAGACCUCAUUAACGGUGAAUAACAACUAAUUGUAAGUAAUUGUGGAAAAAGUAAGGAAAACAAAAUGAGGGAAAAGCAAGGAAUUAGGAAAUUAUUUUUUUCCCAUAAAAAAAUGCUAAGGAAGAAAAAGGUAAAAGAAAGUUUAAAAAAAGUGUAUUUUUAAAAAAAUUAUUUCUCUUUCCUUUAAUUUUGCUAUGGACAACCAAACAAGAAAAUCAUUUUAUAAUUCCUUUUUAUUUUUUUCAUUCUCUCUCUCUUUUUUUCCCUACUCUAUUUCUUUUCCCUCAAACUUCCUUGGUAGUAAACACAACCUAAGAUAAAUGGGGAAGAAAAUUUUCAGUUUUUAUUUUUAUUUUUUUAGAAUGUUUUCUUACUUUUUAGUAUUUUAUGCAAAUAUAGGAAAAUUAUUUUUUUUUCUUGCUCCUUUUCAGACAUGAAUCACACUUUAAAAGAAAAUUAAUUUUUAAUUAGGAGUUAAGAUAAAUUUAAGGAGAAACAAUGAAUCACGAAUAACAAAAAAUUAAGGAAAUUGAAUUUUUGAAAGUAAGUAUAAUCAAAUUGCUUCAUUUGAUACAAAAUUUGAAUAAAAAUUCUUUCAAUGAAAAAUCAAGGAAAGGAAAAAACAUUUUUGUCUCUAGAUUAUAAUACUUAAUCAUGUAAAAAAUCUCUUAACAUCAUUUAUAUUCAUAUUUCUUUUUGUAGAUUUGAAAAAUUCAACAAUUUGGAAUAAACUUAUUCAAUGAAGAAUAAUUUUUAGAUUUAAAGAUUAUUAUUUAAGAUCAUAAAUAUUACCAUCAUUGUUGAUGUCCAAGAAGAUCAUAUUCAACAAUUUUUUUAAUAUGUUGUUUUUUAUGGUAAUUAAUUGAUGUCUUGUAAUUUUUAAUAUUUAAUGAAAAACAUUAAUUUAAUUCAUCUAAAGCUCUUAAUUCAUGAAGACCUCGUUAAUGUAAUGGUGAGUAAUAGUUGGCUGUAAGUUUGGAGUCAAAGACAUGUUAAGGAGAUGAUUAGUUACAUGUCUUAUUCUCUUUUGUAGGUUUCUGCCAAUUGAAUAAGCUUCAAGAGUUAGAUCUUUCUUACAACUUAUUCCAAGGGAUCCUUCCUCCAUGUUUGAAUAAUUUCACAUCUCUGAGGUUAUUGGAUCUCUCUUCCAACCUCUUUUCCGGAAAUUUUUCUUCCCCUCUGUUACGUAAUCUCACAUCCCUAGAGUACAUAGAUCUCAGUUCCAAUCAGUUUGAGGGUUCAUUCUCUUUCAGCUCUUUUGCUAAUCAUUCCAAGCUUCAAGUGGUCAUACUUGGAAGGGAUAACAACAAAUUUGAGGUAGAAACUGAAUAUCCAGUUGGUUGGGUUCCCCUGUUUCAGUUGAAGAUUCUCUCUCUAUCCAGCUGUAAGCUCACCGGUGACCUUCCUGGUUUUCUUCAAUACCAAUUCAGGUUAGUGGGGGUUGAUAUCUCACAUAAUAACUUGACAGGAAGUUUCCCCUAUUGGUUGCUUGAAAACAAUACGAGACUAGAAUCUCUAGUCUUGAGGAAUAACUCUUUAAUGGGUCAACUACUUCCCUUGGGACCUAAUACUCGUAUCAAUUCAUUGGAUAUCUCACACAAUCAGUUGGAUGGACAACUUCAAGAAAAUGUGGCCCAUAUGAUUCCAAAUAUUAUGUUUCUAAAUUUAUCCAACAAUGGUUUUGAAGGUAUUCUCCCAUCCUCAAUAGCUGAACUAAGAGCCUUAUGGAUUUUGGAUUUGUCUACCAAUAAUUUCUCUGGAGAAGUACCAAAGCAAUUGCUUGCAACAAAAGAUUUGGGGAUUCUGAAAUUAUCAAAUAAUAAAUUUCAUGGUGAAAUAUUUUCAAGGGACUUUAACUUGACUGGGUUAUUGUGUUUGUAUUUGGGCAAUAAUCAGUUCACAGGAACUCUGUCAAAUGUAAUCUCCAGAAGCUCUUGGUUGGAGGUGUUGGAUGUGAGCAACAACUACAUGUCAGGUGAAAUUCCAAGCCAGAUAGGUAACAUGACCGAUUUGACUACACUGGUGUUGGGCAACAAUAAUUUUAAAGGCAAAUUACCACUUGAGAUUUCUCAAUUGCAACGGAUGGAGUUUCUUGACGUUUCUCAAAAUGCUUUUUCAGGAUCUCUUCCUUCUUUGAAGAGCAUGGAGUAUUUAGAGCAUCUACAUUUGCAAGGGAACAUGUUUACAGGAUUAAUACCCAGAGAUUUUCUCAAUUCCUCAAAUCUAUUGACUUUGGAUAUUAGAGAAAACAGGUUAUUUGGAAGUAUUCCCAACUCAAUCUCUGCACUUUUGAAGCUAAGGAUUCUUUUGCUAGGAGGAAACCUUUUAAGUGGUUUUAUUCCAAAUCAUCUUUGUCAUUUGACUGAAAUAAGCUUGAUGGAUCUUUCAAACAACUCUUUUUCAGGGCCAAUUCCCAAAUGCUUUGGCCAUAUCCGAUUUGGGGAAAUGAAAAAGGAGGACAACGUGUUUGGACAGUUCAUUGAAUUUGGGUUUGGAAUGGUUUCUCAUCUUGUAUAUGCAGGUUACUUGGUGAAAUAUUACGGUUCCCCAACUUUAGUAUAUAAUGAAAAAGAUGAAGUUGAGUUUGUCACCAAGAACAGGAGUGACUUCUACAAAGGUGGCAUCCUUGAAUUCAUGUCUGGAUUGGACUUAUCAUGUAACAACUUGACAGGCGAAAUACCUCAUGAACUUGGAAUGCUAAGUUGGAUUCGUGCAUUGAACUUGUCUCACAAUCAAUUGAAUGGCUCCAUUCCAAAGAGUUUCUCUAAUCUUUCUCAAAUAGAGAGCUUAGACCUUUCUUAUAAUAAACUGGGUGGAGAAAUUCCUCUAGAGCUAGUUGAACUCAAUUUUUUAGAGGUGUUUAGUGUGGCUUACAACAACUUCUCUGGUAGAGUUCCAGAUACCAAAGCACAAUUUGGGACAUUUGAUGAAAGGAGCUAUGAAGGUAAUCCUUUCCUUUGUGGGGAACUAUUAAAGAGGAAAUGCAACACAAGUAUUGAGUCACCAUGCACACCAUCACAGUCUUUUGAAAGUGAGGCAAAAUGGUAUGAUGUCAAUCAUGUUGUUUUCUUUGCAAGUUUUACUACUUCAUAUAUCAUGAUCUUGUUAGGAUUUGCUAUCAUCCUUUACAUCAAUCCUUAUUGGCGUCAUAGAUGGUUCAAUUUUAUCGAGGAAUGUAUAUAUUCCUGCUAUUAUUUUGUUUUUGAUAGUCUUUCCAAGUUAUCAGCAUAUUUGUAUAAUUAGAUACUUUUAAUUGGAUGAUAUUUGCAUAAUUAACUACUAUUUGUUUCCCUGGGAUAGAAAGAAAUGGGAUGUAUAAUGCUAUGAGCUGAAACUUACAUACUUUGCUCAAAUUCUAACAUCUUUUGAUUUUAUUUUCAAGUUCCGUUAUUUAUUAUGUAUUGCUUAAUUCAAGAUUUAACCAUAUUACGUUACUCUUAUAAAAGCAAAUUCAAAUUUUUAGGAACUUUUAGCAUUAAAAUAAUUUCAUAGUCAGAUUUUAAAAAAUAAAGAAGAAAGAAAAUAAUAAAUAAUUGGAAAAACAAUUCAAGGAAGUAUUAAAUUAUUAUCUUAGAAUUAUUUGGCGUAGUAUGGGAAUUCAAAAAUAAUCUUUCAAUUUGUUAGAAAUGUUUAUUUAUUUAUUAUAGCAAUGAUUGAAAUAUCAAUCACAAAGUAAUGUUUUCUUUUCUUUUGUAGGGCACUAACACUUUUUCUUUGAUAGUAAUAAUUGAUAAAUAUAUUACACAAUUAUUUGUUUUAAAAAAGGGAGGGAUGACAAACAUAAUAACAUGUGAAAUAUUUCUAAAACUGUAAUGGGAAAUAAGCCAUCUAAUUAGGGUGCAAUAUUAUUCAUUUUAAUUUACAUGAAUUUACUUAUUUUUAUUUGCAUCAUAUUUUGAACUAUUUUAUGAAAUUAAGGGAGAUUAAAACAUCACGAGUUUCUUAUUUUAGUUUAUAUUCUUAAUAAUAAAGCAUGAAAUAUUAUAAAAAAAAAAAUCAUGAAUUUCUUUAAUUCCUUAGGAAACCAAUAUAUAAAAAAUUGAACAUAUUAUUAUUUUAUAUCCUAAAUCUCUAAAUUUGUUCAUUACCUAUUUAUUUUUAUAUUAAAUUUAUUAUUAAUUAUUUAUUUAUAUUAUUAUUUUAUGUUUAAAAUGUUCAUAAAUAAUUAAAAUUAAUAAAUAUAAAAAUAAAAUAUUAAAAAAUUAAAUUAUAAAGAUUUCAUCAAACUGACAUAUUUAAAAAAAAAAAAAAGCUAAAAAAGAUGAGGAUAUUAUAGAGGAGGGGAAAAGGAUAAAAGAAAAUUCAUGUGGUAUGAUAAUAUCACGUGUCAAAGUUAUUUUCUUUAAAAAAUAAUAAUAGUAAUGAUGAACUCAUUUGUCUUAUCAAAGUAAGUUAAAAAAAAAAAAAAAAAAAAAAAAGAAAAGAAAAAGAUGGUAGUUGGCUUAUUUGUUCUUUGAAAAUAAAAAAUCAAAGUUUUAGAAAAAUACAAUUUUCUUUUAAAUGAUGAAUGGUUACAUCAUUUCCCCUUAGCUUAUCUGUUCCUUUAAACUUUAGUUUGAAUAAAAUUAGUUUUAAUUAUUUUCUUUUUGGAAUUAUAUUUAAUCGUAUUAUUAAAAAUAUAAAAAACAUCGUAAUAAUAUUGUCAAUAAGUUUUUUUAUAUAUAUUGAAAAAUAUUUAUAUUUAAAAAUAUUUAAAUUUUGUCAUGGGCUGCCCAUUUCAAAAUGAUAAGAAUAUAAUAACCUAAUUUUUCCAAAUUCCAGGUAAAUAUGCUAAUCUAAAAAAAAAAAAUUAUUAGGUUUUUAUGUGCUGAUUGGGUUUUUUUUAUACCCAGUAUGCUCUCCAAUCUACCACUUAAGCAUCCGACAUGGCUAAAAAUAAAUUUUUAAAAAAAAGAAUAAAAAAGGAAAAAAACGAAAGUGUGUGAUCUCUUUCUUGAGUCUUCACAAUCUGAGACACUGAACCCAAAUCAAAAUUAAUCCUCCAAAUUAAUUUUCACCUCCAACCCAAACCCUAACGACUGCCUCACUUUCUUCUCAAACAUAGCUAUACGAAAAACCCUAGCCUCUGCCUCGUCUUCCUCUUAUCCCGGAAACCCAAAUCCCGUGACCCUAACCCCUUCUCUUUCCGAAAACCCUCCAGAAUCGGAAGAUUCAAGUGAUCGAAUUAAUUCUUCAGAAUUAAUUUUCACCUCGAAGCCGAACCCUAACUGCCUCAUCUUCCUCUCAUUCAUAUCCCAAAAGUAGCUUCAACAGUCAGGCCUGCGGCCAUGAAAGCCGUAGUGAUCGCCACUUCCGGCGAUCCCCAAGUUCUCCAAGUGCAAGAAGUCGAAAACCCUGAAAUUGGAGAUGAUGAAGUUCUAAUUAGAGUGGACGCCGCUGCCAUUAAUCGAGCGGAUACGCUUCAGAGGAAGGGCUUGCACCCUCCCUCAAAGGCGGCAGUCCCUACCCCGCUGGAAUCAUCGAAGCUGUUGGAAAGGUCGUCGUUCGAUGGAAGGUUGGCGAUCAGGUAUUUCAAUUGCCUAAUAUUUUGAUUCCGUUUCUGUUCCUGUAUUUUUCUCGGCUAUCCUUUAUGUGAUUUUGCUUCCUCCUGAGUACAAGUUCAUAAUAUACAUGGUACAUGGUGAAUCUGUAUGACAUUUCAUGGUAUACAGGUGUGUGCUCUUCUUUCUGGUGGAGGGCAUGCUGAAAAAGUGGCUGUUCCAGCUGGGCAAGUUCUCCCUGUCCUAUCUGGUGUUUCUCUGAAGGAUGCUGCUGAGGUUGCAUGUACUGUUUGGUCAACUGUUUUAAUGAUGAGCCGACUGUCUGCAGGAGAAACAUUCCUGGUGAAUUUUUUGUCUUUUUUAUUUUCUGAUGCCUGAUAUAUUUACCAGCACAAAUUUUCCCUGUUGCUGUUUAAUGUGUGUGCAUCAAUAUUGGAUUAGGGAGGUAGAAGAGCCAUGGUUCUAUUACAUCAUCAUAUUCUUAUUUAGAUACAUUGUAUCCCACAAUUUCAUUGCAUCCAAGGCUAUGUUGUUUUUUAUUGCACGGUUUGUCAUGGUAAUUUCUCAACCCUUCUCUGGAAAAUUAUGUUGGAUGGCUGCUAUUAAUUACCCCAAAAGAAGAAAUUUUAUGUUGAAGUAAGAUGAGUAGCACAAAGAGUUACUUGUGGUUGAUCCUAUCAUCAAAUGGGCGAUUGAUGCACAAUCCAAAUGGUAAAUUUUUUUCCCCCUUUAUCCAGAUGGAAUUUUUAUGCAUGGUUGAAUAGUGAAAUGAGGACUGAUAAUAUUUCAGGUUCAUGGGGGUUCAAUUGGAAUUGGUACCAUCUAUUCAAAUAGUGAAAUAUUGAGGAGCAAGGGUAUUUGUUACAGCAGGUUUGCCAUCACUGUUCUACCUCAUCCCACAGAAUGCUUAUCUCAUGGCACCAAUUCCUUUUCUUCACAUGUUUUCAACCAUUUUUUCCACCCAGGAACGAGGAAAAAUUAGCUGUUUGUAAGGAUCAUUGAGCAGAUGUGUGCAUCAAUUACAAGACUGAAAACUUUGUUGCAUGGGUGAAGGAGGAAACAGGAGGGAAAGGUACAUUCUAUUGUAUCUUAACGAUAAUUUCAAUUGAAGGUGGAAUUGCUUUUUAUUUUUUAGUGCACCAAAUCCACUAGUCUGGAAUGUUUGAAAAGAUAAAUAGUCAUCUUCCACUUGAUUCCGAUUGUGAAGAUCUAACCCCAAAAAUGUUGAAUGACAGGUGUUGAUGUUAUACUGGAUAAUAUUGGAGGGGCCUACUUUUGGGGAGACAUCAAUGGUUUAAAUGUUGAUGGAAGGCUUUUUAUUAUUGGUUUUCAGGGUGGAACAGUGGUACAAGUAAAUCUUUCAGGUUUACUUGCAAGGCGCCUUACAGUGCAAGGUACCACUUUCUCUGUAGAAGAUUUUUCUGUAGUUUUGGAGUUGAAUCAAUUUGAUUAAUCUCAUCCAAGUUCAGAACUGAGGUGGAUUCUGGCAAGCCAAGGAAAAACCAAAUUACCAUAAAUUCUUUUUUUUUUUCUGGAUCGUUUUACUUCUUGGAAAUCCUGUUUCUCGAUCUGGUCAGGUAUAUGGAAAUUCCAAGGAAAAUAUGUUUUACAUUUUCCAUAAUUGGAAACACUCAGGAAUUUAAUAUUUUCCUCUGAAAUAGCAAUGGUUUUCUAAUUACGACAUUUGUUUUUCUUGUAUCAUCCCAAAAUAUUUUUUAGGUGUUUGUUCUCUCUUGACACAGCUUUUAAUUGGGUCUGUCUUGCUUUUUGAUAGAUCUCUUGACAAGUUGCUUGUAUAUCAUACUUUCUUUAUUGUUUUCGGAUCAUGAACCUUGCUUCUGUCAGCCCUGUUAUCACUACCCAAACUAGUAAAUUUAUGCACAAAACUCCAUGUGUCAGUAACAGUGGUUAUUUGAUUGUAUUAAAUAAUUUGUAAAUACAGUGGAUAAGUUUGUGCAUAGAUUGAAGGCGAAUGAAAAACGUGCAUAGAUUGAAGGUGUGCUGCUUGAGUUGAUUGUAGUUUGAGCAUGAAAAUUUGAAGAUCCAGAACAGCAAAUGAGGAAUGCCUAUCAAUUUGAAACCAGCAUGGGUGGAUGAAUGGAGAGGUUCUUCACUGAAUUUGUCCAUGAAGCUUUUUAGCACUCUAGGGCAAGGGUCUCCAAGCCUAGCUGUUGAUUGCACAUCCCUCCUGCGCAAUACUAAGAACAGAGUGAAAUGCAAAUGCAGGAAAGGGUGUUUCUUAGCUGUUCAACAACUGACAAUACAUUGGCAUGACAAUUCCCUGGAUCGAAUGCCACAAUGCCCUCUUGGAGUUCCAAAGCUUGUUCACAGGUCAAACGAACUUGAGGGUUUUGGGACAUGAACUCCAAGUUUGGUUGCCAAGAAUCUCCAGGUGGAGGAUCAGCUUCUGACACGUGCACACACCUCUUGGCCAGUUUGUGUUAUUGCAAUUUUUAUUAAAUUGCUAAAAAAUUUAUCGCGAACAAUUUUUUCUUUUUUCUUUUUUCUUUUUUUCUUUUUAAACAAACUGCAAAAAUCCCUUUUUUUUUUAUAUAAAAAAAAAAAAAAUUCUCCAACAAAGUGAUUUUUUUUUGUGGCAUGACUCGGUUUGACCACUAACUCGGUGAACUGGUCUAUCGGCUCAAGUUUGGAUCCCUUAAUUUUGUGGCAAAUUGGGCAUCAAGCCCAACAACCUAACUUCCAUGCGGGCUAUCUACUGGAUCUCACCCAUUGUAACUUGCUCUGGGUGAAUGGCCAUUAUAAACUUCAUUUUAUCCUCAUGUGAUUUUGAUGUGGGAAUGGGAGAGAUGAGGAUUUGACAUUUGGACCUAAGGCUCAAUGGGUUUUAACUCCACUCAGCUACUUUAUGUCUUGUAUUUAAUAUUGCAAACCAAAAUAAUAAUAGACAUGAUUCUUUUCAAAAAAUUUAUAAUGUAAUAUUUUUUAAAAUUAUAAAAUAAUAGGUUAUAUAAAUUUUAAUAUAUAGGUAAAAUUAAUUAAAUUUUAACAAAUAUCUUCACAUUUAGACAUUACAUAUUUUUUAUUUAAUAAAAUUUUAAAAUAUUAAUAUAUCUAAAUAUAAUAUUAAAAAUGAAAAAUAAAAUAGUAAUAAUUUUUAUUUUCUUUAUAUAUUUAAAAUUAUAUAAUUAUUUUUUAUUUUAAUAACAUAUAAAUUGUAUAUUUAUAAUAUUAUUGGUUCAACUGUGAUUCAACCAUCACUCCGAUUAUUCAAUUAUGAAUUAAUAAAUUUUUUAAUUCAAUGAUAGGUUUGAUUAUAAAAAUAUUAUGUUUUUUUUUAUGAAAAGUACUCAAGAAAUAUCAUUAAUCACUAAGAUCACGUGGUUGGAUUAGGUGUAUCCGAAACAUAGGUAUUACUCUCUUCCUUAGUUAGGGCUUAGCUUUUGAAAAUGUAGAUAGGUAAAGUGGAUGGAAAGUCUAUAACUACGUAGAGAUUGAGCUUGGAGGCCAAUCUAGCAAAUGUGGAGAUUAGAAAUAGUUUACCAUCUAGAUAGUCAAGCAUAGCAAUUUACCAAACCCUUACCAACCAUCCAUACUAACCAAUUGUGGUUAAAUGUUUACAAAAAUGUACAUUAAAUCAAAGAGAAAAAAGAUUAAAAACGAACAAGAGAGAAGAAGCACAUCACCUAAUUUUGGUAAUAAAUGAAAUUAAAAUAAAUUCAUAAAUUUUUUAAAUUAAAAUGAAUUUGAACUCUAGAGAUUUGUGUAGAUAUCUUAUUAAAAAACCAAAAAGUUUGUUGCAUAUAUAAUUUCAACAAUGCAUAAAUAAUUACAACAUACGCAAUACAAUAAUAUUACACAACUAUAUUUUCAAAUAUAAUAUAAGAUCAUUAAAGUGAUAAAUUGUAGUUGUAUAAAGUAUUUAUACAAGUAAAGAAGAAAUUAUGAGAUUAAAAUGCUUGUUGGAUUCUAAGUAAAAAAGAAAUGAGAUAUAGAGAUUGUCCCAUCAGACAUAUAGAAUUUCAUAUACAUAAUUUUCCCUUCAAGAAAAUUUAGGGUCAAAUUGAAAAAAUUUCAUUCAUAGAUUUUGGUAAAACCUCUAUCUAGUCCCCGAAGUCUUGUAUACAAAAGGAAAUAACAUUGGUAUGAGGGGUUUGAAUGCUUAAUUUUAGAUUGAAAAUGCUUGAGAUAAUUUUUGAUCGACUUCACAUGUGUUUUUAAUAAACUUGGAACAUUCAAACUUGUAUUUGAAGAAUCUUCAAUUUGAUCUUAAAUAAUGUUGAAACCUUCAAAAUUUGAAUAGAAGAAUCUUUAAGCAUUUGAAUUUUGGUUUAAAGAAUUUUGAAAUUUGAGACUGAAGAAUCUUCAAAUUUGGGCCUGAAGAUCAAAGGCUAAGCUUGAAGAGUUCUUGAAGCUUGAGUGGUAUGUCCGAUUUUGUUUUGUAUUUUAUAAAAACUUUUAGGCUAUGUUUGGUUCCCAGAAAAUUUGAGGGAAAAUGCGAGGGAAAGAAAAUACAAAGGAAAAGUAGAAGGAAAGAAAAAGUGAAGGAAAAUAAAAAAAUAGAUUAAAAGUUGAUAAAUUAUUUUUUUUGUUACUUCAAACUCAUUUUAUUUAUUUUAACUCAUCAAUAUAAAGAUUAAAUAAUUUAAAAAUAUAAAAGUUUUUAAUUAGUUUUAAUUAUAUUUAAUUUUCUUUGAUAUUUUUUAUAAGACAACCAAACAUGAGAAAAUCAUUUUCCUUAGCAUUUUUUUUCUUUCCUUUGUACUUUCCGGGAACCAAACAUAGCCUUAAGUAUACUAUAUUUAUAGGUUUGAAGAGACAUUGAGAUUUUGUAUACAUGUUUGGAGUUUUAAACCUUGAAAUAUUACUCUUUUAUGAAAUUAACAUUUAUAAAAUUUGGAAGAACAUAAUUAGAUAAUAUUCUAAGUUAUUUUUAAUGAAAAUUGAUAAUUACCUUUUAAUUAUCAAAUUCACUAUUUCUAUUUAUUUUUGUAAUAUAUAUUAAUUACUAAAAUCAUUUAUUUCCUUUAUUUAGUUUGAAAGCAAUUAUAUAUCUUUUGUUUGUGUAGAGCUCAUGUGACACGACAAAUUUUAUUUUGUAACUUGCUCUGGAUGAAUGGCCAUUAUAAACUUCAUUUUAUCCUCAUCUGAUUUUGACGUGGGAAUAGGAGAGAUGAGGAUUUGACAUUUGGACCUAAGCCUCAGAGGGUUUUAACUCCACUCAACUACUUUAUGCCUUGUAUUUAAUAUUGCAAACCAAAAUAAUAACAGACAUGAUCCUUUUCAAAAUUUUUAUAUUAAUAGAAGUGUAAAUAAUAUAAGUAAAAAUAAUGUAAUAUUUUUUAAAAUGAUAAAAUAAUAGGUUACAUAAAUUUUAAUAUAUAGGUAAAAUUAAUUAAAUUUUAACAAAUACCUUCACACUUAAACAUUACAUAUCUUUUAUUUAAUAAAAUGUUAAAAUAUUAAUAUAUUUAAAAUUGUAUAAUUAUUUUUAUUUUAAUACUAUAUAAAUUAUAUAUUUAUGAUAUUACUGGUUCAACUAUAAUUCAAUCACUGGUCCAACCAUUGAACCAUGAAUUAGUAAAUUUUUUUAUUCAAUGAUAGGUUUGAUUCUAAAAACAUUAUGGCUAUGUUUGGUCCCAGAAAUUUUUUUUUGAUGGAUAAUGACAAAGAUAUUACCAAUUUGAUAUCACCAAUUGAUAACACAAUUAAAAAAUAAUAUGAAUUUUAACAUAUUUGAAUUCAUUGUAAUCAUAUCCAUGACCUAAUUUUACACAUCCUUAAAUCAUGGUUGAUUUAUGAAACAAAUCUAUACCAUCAAUAGAAAAUAAAUAAAUAAAAUAAUACAAAAAAAAUAUAUAGAUAGUCAAGCAUAGCAAUUUACCAAACCCUUAGCCACCAUCCAUACUAACCUGUUGUUGUUAAAUGUUUACAAAAAUAUACAUUAAAUCAAAGAGUAAAAAGAUUAAAAACGAACAAGAGAGAAGAAAUACAUCACCUAAUUUUUGUAAUAAAUGAAAUUAUAAUAAAUUCAUAAUUUUUUUAAAUUAAAAUAGGAAUUCAAAUACAUGUAACUAUUGUUUUUGUCUUGUAAAUCAUCCAAUUUUUCAAUGAAUUUAAACUCCACAGAUUUGUGUAGAUAUCUUAUUAAAAAAAGCAAAAAGUUUUCACUAAAAUCAUAAAAUUUAGAUUAGAAAUGAUUUACUAUAUUAGUUCAAAAUUCACCUCCACAAAAAUUGAAAUAAAUUAAUUAUCUUCAAUUCAAAUAAAAUUUCUCCAAUUAAAUUUCCAAAUAUGUGCCUUAAUACCUAUAAUGGAAUUAGUAAUUUUAAUUAAAAUAAAAAUAAAAAUAAGGAUUUGAUCUUUUUCUUACCAUUUGAUGAAAAUUAUAAAAUAUAUUAAAAUGACAAGUGAUCAGACAUUUGAAAUUUGCAUCAUUUCUACCAUUGCAAACACCACCAACCCCAUAUUUCCCAUUUUUCUACCUACUGCCAAUUCACUCAUCUCUCUGGGAAGAUUUUUGAGGUUAUCGUCAUGCUUGAGAUAAUCCAGAAAGUUGAGCGGCAUCACUCUCUGAAAGGUGCCUUACAGCAUGGGUAAUGUAUGGGAUACAUCUGAUAACUUGCCAUAUCCAUAAACCACUAUAUUAAACCAUGGUUCAUAUCCCCAACGUUACACGAGAAUCUGUACUCAUCCCAAGCAGCUUGGAGAUCAUAAAAUUAGGUUUUGAGGGCCUCCCGAGACAUGCACAGCUUCACCCUUUGUGCAUUCCUUUGAUUUGGAAAAUUUCUUCUUUAGAAUUCCCCAUUAUCAUGCCCUGAACCAAGACAUAUCAUGAUUGGAUGGGCCCCUUCACCAAUUUCACAAUAUCCAAUAGCAUAUCAUUUACUUCCCUUUUGUCAAUGGGAAUUACCAUUUUGCAUGGGAAGCACCAACGGAGAUGGAGGUUUUCAAAUUGGAUCACUAGCAAAGAAACCCACCGCAACUAUCUGAAUAAUUGAGCACAACAUCGGCUUUAGAGAACUCCUCCUGAAGGCGAAAUCGUCAUCUUGGCUAAACGUAGUCAUAGUUGGGUUGUGAGAAAUGGAGAUGAAUCAUAGAAGGCUUUCAGUUUCAUAGCAACGAAAAGGUAAAUGUACUCUAGAGAAGUUUUGACCUUGGGAGAAGCGCUUUUGAAUCCAAGUCAAGGUCUGUUCUGGAUCCCUUUUCGACUCUCUCUAUUAAAGGAAGAUAAUCUGCCUAGGAUUUGGAUGCAAGCUUGCAAGGCCAUGUUUAGGAGACUUAUGCAAAAUAUUUAUCCAUAGCUCCCCGCCUGAAACAUCUACAUAAAGCGUCUUCCAAGUGUGAACCAUUGUCUUGGGUCCUUGAGAUGAACAAAAACUGAGACAUAUCGUGAGUUAGAUGCAUUGCCUGAAAAUGCCGAGCAGUAGUAUGGCCUUCUUUCUGAUCAACUGUUUUGUCAAAUUCUAGAGCUCUCAUUCCAAAUCCAUCAGUUUUCUCAAAUGAUUGGCUAGUGGAGAUCCAUGGAUAUAACAUAUGAAAUGUGCACAAUAAAAGUAAUCAAACGGUUGGUUGGUUUGGCUGAAUCCCACAAUCGCAAAGACUAAUCAUAUGAAACUGUUACCAGCUGAGUUGAAUUUGGCCUAAAAAGGAUAUCCGUUACUACAAACUAGCGUUCUUUCAUGGUGCUCUCUCUUUGCAGGCUAUCCAUGUUCCAAAGAAAAACUCUCUUGUCAUGUCUGGCACUAGGCACUGAUUAGAGUGUGGGACGUUCAUUCUCCAUUAUCACCAAACACAUGCAGGAUAUAUAUAUAUCAAUUCAUUCAAAAUAUGCCUUUAUUUUAUGGAACAUAACCGAAUCCAUUUUGUUUGUGUUGAAGAGGUAUAGAUCUUCUAAGGCUGUGGAGGGCACCACCUUUUCUCAGAAUUCUCUCUGACGAUGGGAAGCCGAAGAGAACGGGUUUUGUUUUUAUUUUGAAAACGUUGUUAUCAUUAAAGAACAAACACUAUUCUUUGGAUUUAUACCCUCUUGCCUUAGGGACCAUACUGUUUGGCUAUUGGGCCUCACGAGUCUUAGGCCCAUCAUCUAAGGCCCAUGAUGGCACUGGGCUCUACACAUAAGGUGACCCAUACUCUGGAACGAAUAGAAAUCAUAUGUAUAUAUAUGGAUAGCUAAAUCCUGAACAAUGGUUAAUAUGAUGUCGGUCCACAUUUAUUCUAUCAAUCUCCCACUUGGACCACAUAUAUUACAAAACAAUGUUCAUGAUAGUACUUUAUUGAGCUCAUCUUUGCUAUCCUAUCUUAAUAUCCUUAAACAAUCCGGUCUACUAGUUAUGCUAACAUAGGAUCAAAGUGGCCUUCAUUAAUCAUAAUUAUAACUAGACCCAUCAAUGAUCACAACAUUAACAAAAUUAGCAACAUAGAUCAAGUAUGGAUGUGUAGCAUGGAAAUUACAUAAAAUGUGAUCUUUAUUAUGUCUAUUUCCAAUUGGUCCUACUUUAUGACUAAAAAAUAGUCAAAUUCCACUUUCAACACUUGAUGCUAAACUGCUUUUAAAAGUCAUCAUUUCAAUUCAGAGAAUUCAAAUACAAUAGUCUUUAAAAUCAAGGUUUGUACAGAUAACACAAUAUAACAUCAUAUCAAGAAAACAAACACAAAAUCUAAAUACAAACUCCCACUAUACUGGAACAUCAUCAAUAUGUACAACACCCAUAUGUGUGACAUGAUCAUGAUAUACUUUGGGUGGCAAACCCUUAGUGAGCGGAUCCGCAAUCAUGAAGUUUGUGCUUGUAUGUUCAAUCGAUACUUGAAGACUCUAAACUCUUUCUUUCACAACCAAGAACUUGAUGUUAAUGUGUUUGGACUUUGACGAACUUCGGUUGUUCUUAGAAUUACAAUUCUGUGGCUUUAUUAUCACAAUUUAUUCUUAAUGGUUUCUCAAUCUCAUCAACGAUUCGCAACUGAGUGACAAAAUUCCGUAGCCAUAUCCCAUGGUUUGAUGCUUUGUAGUAGGCUAUGAAUUCUGCCUCCAUGGUGAAAGAAGCAAUAAGUAUUUGUUUAACACUUUUCCAUGAAACUGUUCAUCCAACCAACAUGAAGAUGUAGCUUGAAGUGGAUCUCUUGCUGUCAAGACAUCCCACGAAAUCGGAGUCCGAAUAUCCCAUGAUCUCUAAAUGACUGGAUCUACGGUAUGUGAGCAUAUAAUCUUUAGUUCUUUGUAAAUACUGCAUAACCUAUUUUGCCUUUUUCCAGUGAUCCAUACCUGGGUUACUCAAAUAUUUGCCUAACAUUCCAAUAAUGUACGUAAUAUCUGGAUGCGUACAAACUUGUGCAUACAUGAGACUUCCUAUUGUUGAGGCAUAGGGAAACCUCUUCAUAUCCUUCUUUUUAAGUUCAUUUUUCGGACAUUGGUGCAAACUAAAUUUAUCGCCUUUUGCUACAGGCAUGUCUCCUGGUGUACAAUUGCUCAUGCCAAAUCUACUUAACACCUUAUCGAUGUAGGCCUUUUGUGAUAACCCAAGUAUACCUCUUGAACGAUCCUUAUAGAUCUGUAUACCCAGCAAAAAAGAUGCAUUACCUAGAUCCUUCAUGUCAAAUUUACUAGACAAAAAUCGCUUUGUUUCAUGCAAAAGUCCCACAUCACUACUUGCAAGUAGAAUAUCAUCAACAUAUAGCACCAAGAUAAUGAAUUUGCUCUCACUAAACUUGAGAUAUAUGCAUUGAUCAAUGGUGUUUUCCUUAAAACCAAAUGAAGUAAUCACCUGAUCAAACUUUUGGUACCAUUGUCAAGAUGCUUGCUUUAAACCAUAUAUGGACCUUUUUAAUCUGCAUACAAGUUGCUUUGAAUCAUUAGACUCAAAGUUCUCCGGUUGCAUCAUGAAUAUUGUUUCAUCAAUGUUACUAUUAAGAAACGUAGUUUUAACGUCCAUUUGAUGCAGCUCUAAAUCAUAAUGAGCCACAAGUGCCAUGAUGAUUCUAAAGGAGUCAUUUGACGAAACCGGUGAAAAGGUCUCCUUAUAAUCAAUGCCUUCCUUUUGAGUGAAACCUUUUGCGACUAGACGUGCCUUAUACCUAACAAUGUUGCCUUUUGAAUCCCACUUGGUCUUAAAAAUCCAUUUACAACCAAUCGGUUUUACACUUUCAGGCAACUUUACUAGGUCCCAAACACCAUUGUCUUUCAUUGAUUUCAUCUCAUCCUUUAUGACUUCUAUCCACUUUUCAGAGUCAGAACUUUGUUUGAAUUGACUAACUGAAAUUGGAUCGUCUUCCAAACCCAUGUCAAACUCUUGUUCCUGGAGAUGUACAACAUAAUCAUCUGAAAUUGUACUUCUCAUUUCUCUAGUGGAUCUCCUUAGUGGCACUUGUAUUUGAGGUUCUUGAGGCUGUUGAGUUACCUCUUCAUAAACUUGAAUCGGUUCCAUAACUUGAGCAGGAGGAAUCUCAGGUGUGUUUUGAAUCUCUGUUAUUGACUGCACAUUCUGGAUAGUGUCAUCAAACAUAAUAUGACCAUGUCCAGUUGUAAUAAUAGGAACACUAACAGAUUACUCUUCAAAUACCACAUUUCUUAACGGUUCUCUCCCAUUUAACUCAACAUCCUCAAUAAAUUUAGCUUUGCCCGUUUCAAAAAAGGAUCUAGUUGAGGGGUCAUAAAACUUGAAACCUCUCAACCUUUUAGAAUAUCCUACAAAGUAGCAGCUCACUGUUCUGGAGUCCAAUUUCUUUUCAUUUGGUUUUUAAGGCCUAGCUUUAGUUGGACAACCCCAGACAUGCAAGUGCCUAAUACUAGGUUUCUUGCUAGUUCAUAACUCAUAUGAGGUUUUGGCUACUGCUUUGCUUGAGACUCUAUUCAAAAUAUAAAUUGUUGUUUUGAUGGCUUCGCCCCAAAGUGAUUCUGGUAAGGUGGAAUGACUGAUCAUACUUCUUACCAUAUCCUUAAGAGUACGGUUUCGCCUAUCUGCUACACCAUUUUGGCUUGGAGUCCCCAGCAUAGUGUAUUGAGGAACGAUACCACACUCCAUCAAAUAUUUGGCGAACGACCCUAGACGUUGUUCAUUGGAUCCGUCAUAUCUGCCAUAAUAUUCACCUCCACGGUCAGAUCUGACGACCUUUAUUUUCUUGCUUAGUUGGUUCUCAACUUUAGCUUUGAAAUUCUUGAACACAUCUAAUGAUUGAGACUUCUCAUGAAUCAAAUAAAGAUAGCCAUAGCGCGAGUAAUCGUCAAUGAAAGUGAUAAAAUAUUGUUGUCCAUUCCAAGAAGGGGUAGGAAAUGGACCACAAAUGUCCGUAUGUAUCAAUUCAAAGACGUCACUGCACUUGUUAGCAUCAUUUUUUUCUCAUAUUUGUUUGUUUACCCUUAAUACACUCUAUACAGACUCGAAAGUCUAUGAAAUUAAGUGGAUCAAGAAUUCAUUCUGACACAAGCCUUUGAAUACGUUGAUUUGAAAUAUGACCCAAACGCCUGUGCCAUAACAUCGAUGAAUUCUCAUUUGUUAAUUUCCGUUUAAUGUCAUAAUUACUUGAAUUCAAGGUUUCAUUUCCAUUAGUGGUCUUUAUAUUUAAUUUGUAUAAUUUGUCUAUUAGACUACCUGUACCAAUAACAUUUGAAUUUAGAUAAAGACUAACCAUUCCAUUUCUAAAUGAACAAUAAUAUCCAAAUUUGUCUAGACAUAAAACAGAAAUUAAAUUCCGUCUAAACGACGAUACUACAAAAGUCUCUUCCAAAUCCAAAGUACAUCCAGAGUCUAACUGUAAUCUAAAAAGACCAAUAGUCUUGACUGCAACCUUGUUGCCAUUUCCCACAUAGAUGUAUUUUUCACCAUCAGUUGGCAUUCGACUCCUUAGGCAACCCUACAUCGUGACACUUAUGUGAGUAGUUGCACCCGUAUCUAUCCACCAAGUGUCAGUAGGCACUACGACUAAAUUAAUUUAUGAACAAACAAAGUUGAGAAGUGUACCUUUCUUUUCACGCCAAGCGGCGUAUUUGGUACAUGUCUUCUUCAUAUGACCAACCUUCUUGCAAAAGAAACAAGUCAUCUCCUUAUCUUGUUUCUUCUGCACCUUUUGCAUUGAUGUCCUAAAAAUUGCAUUUUGUUUUUCUUUAUUGUCCUUCUUUCUUUUCUUUUUGGUACCAAAUCCCUGAGAUGUGGAAGCCAAGUGAGAACUUUCUAUCUUUUCUUGUUUCAAUCUCUCAUCCUCUUGUGCACAUUGAGCAAUAAGCUCAUUCAAAGUCCAUUUUUCCUUUUGUGUUGUAACUAAUUUUGAAUGGACUGAAUUGUGUAGGCAGAGAGAUUAAGACCAAGUGCACAAGUAUGUCUUCCGAAAACUCUAACUUUAGUGCCUUUAGUCUAGUCACAAGAUUAGACAUUUCCAUAAUAUACUCCCUUAUAUUCUCUUUCCCUUUGUAUCGCAUAGAGACAAGCUUACUAAGAAUAGUGCUUGUCUCAACCUUUUCAUUUGAAGCGAAUCGGUUUGCUAUCUGGUCUAAGAAUGCCUUGGCUUGAGUUUUCUCAGGUAUUGGACUCCUUAUAGCUUUUGGAAUUGAGUACUUCGUUAUCAUUAGACUCAUGCGAUUGGAUCGCUCCCAUUUUUCCAUAGUAGACCUUUGCUCAGUAGUGCUGGCACUAGUAAGAUCUGGAGGGCGAUCCUCUCUUAAUGCAUAGUCUAAAUCCAUGCACCCGAGCACAAUUAUAACGUGCUCCUUCCAUUUCUUGAAGUUUGUGUCAUUAAGCGCAGGAAUGUUAUUAACAUUUGUAGAUAUAGAAUAUGUUAAAUUCAUAAUAAUAAAGCUCACAAUCAAUCACAUAAACAUCAUACAUACAUGAAAAAUAACAUCAUACAAGAUACUUAGCACAAAUAUUAAUAUUUUGUCUUUGGACAAUAAAUAUUAACUUGUAAUUGGUAUCCUUAUACAAAAUUAAUUCAUAAAUAUUGACAAUAAAACCAAAAACAAUAUGUUUGUCUUUAGACUAAUAUGUCGAAUGCAAGAUAAACUUUAUAUGUCACAUAUUUAUGACUACUUUAUUUAUUAUUAUAUUAAAAUAAUCUUCCUUUGGGCCGAUUAUUUUAAAUAAUAAUAAUAACAUGUUUAGAUAUUAUAAAAUAAAUAAAUUAUAUAAUAUAAGUUACUUUGGCAACUAACAUACAUAAUUCAUUUAUUUUAAAAUAUUAAACACAAACAUAACAAGAAAUAAUAAAUUCAAUUAAAAUUAUUUAUUUAUUUAUGCAUAAUAUAUAUAUAUAUAUAUAUAUAUAUAUAUAUAUAUAUUAAUUGAAGCAUAAAAAACCAUCUACAUGUGUAUAUAUAUCAAUUGAAGCAUAUAUACAAGCAUUAGUCUAAUGGUUUAAGCAAAAAAUAGGCCAUGGUAAAGGGUUUAAGCCAACCCGCCCCUUUAGUUUGGUUUUUGUUUUUUUUUUUUUUUUUUUUAAUUUCUUUUGGGCUACUGACCAUGCAUUCUCUCAUGGCCCAACGAAUAUAUAUAUAUAUUUGUUUUAAAAAAAUUUUGUCCAUUGCAGCCCAAAGCGACCAUCCCUUGUAAUGGCAUCAUCAACGGUGCCAGAGCUGUCCUCGAACGACACCGACAGUGAAACGCCGCCACCAUCACCGGAACGGUGAUUUCCCAUCGCCAAACGACGGUGUCACUACCAGAAUGACGUUGUAACGGCAUCGCUGGGAAGCAGCCUAACCUGUGGCGUGACACCAUGACAAGCAAUGCCGCUAGCAGUGAAACGUUGUCGCCAUCACCAGAAUGGUGAUUUUCCAUCGCCAAACGAUGGCGCCACCAUCGAAACAACGCUGAAACGACGUCACUGGGAAGCAACCCUACCCGCGGCACCAAAAUGGCACUUGGAUGACAUUUGGAACUCUUGCAACAACGCUCAAAUCAGCGAUUCUCACUGGCAAAUGACGCUUGAACGACGUCUGGAAAUAAUGCCUACAACGCCUAAAAAUUGUGCUCUUUUGAACGCCUGAAACAACGUUGAAAUGACGUCUACCGGCGUCUGGAAUUGCACCGCUGUCUAGAACGAUGCCAUGAUGGUGUCUCACUCACCUUAAAUGGCACCAACCACCGUGACUUGCAUCCCCAAAAAUGGCACUUGAACAGCGCCUGAAGCGUGCCUGGAACGACGCUGCAAACGAUGCUUGAAAUGGUGCAUUUUGUAUGCUUGAAAAUGGCACAGGAAUGACGCCUACACUACGUCCAUUUUGAAUGCCUGAACGGUGUCCUAACGGCGCCUGAAUGACGCCUGGAAUUGGCCCAGAUUUAUUUUAUGUUGUUUCCUUCCUCUUGGAUCUUUUGUUUGUGUUUUAAAAAAAAAGUGUUUUGGUGAAAAUGGGAAAUGCAACCAGGCUCUGAUACCAUUUUGUGGGACGUUCAUUCUCCAUUAUCAUCGAACACAUGCAGGAUAUAUUUAUAUAUAUAUAUAUAUAUCAAUUCAUUCAAAAUAUGCCUUCAUUUUAUGGAACAUACCCGAAUCCAUUUUGUUUGUGUUGAAGAGGUAUAAAUCUUCUAAGGCUAUGGGGGGUACCACAUUUUCUUAGAAUUCUCUAUGACGAUGGGAAGCCAGAGAGAACAAGUUCUAUUUUUAUUUUGAAAACGUUGUUAUCCUUAAAUAACAAACACUAUUAUUUGGAUUUAUACUCUCCUACCUUAGGGACCAUACCCUUUGGCUAUUGGGCCUUACGAGUCUUAGGCCCAUCAUCUAAGGCUCGUGAUGGCACUAGGCUCUACACAUAAGGUGGCCCAUACUCUGGAACGAAUAGAAAUCAUAUGUGUAUAUAUGGAUAGCUAAAUCUUGAACAAUGGUUAAUAUGAUGUCAGUUCACAUUUAUUAUAUCAUAGAGACUUCCCAUAUGAAGAAAAUUGACAGUAGGUAGCUUUGCCAUUCUUGUCCGUAUACAACCAACCUUAGCAAGGGUUGAACCCUUUUAUGCUUAGUUGUGCCAUACAAAUCCUUACCACCGCCUACAACAUGUAAUCGAAAUGAUUCGAUAAUAUCAUCUAGUGAACCAAUACCUCCAAAUGAGAGACCAUUGCCUUGGUAACUAGGGCUCAUGACUGAGAAUUGCGUGAACCCCUUUGCUUGGGUUGGAGCUUAACUGAUGCACAAAAUAUUCAUAGGCCUCUUCCCAUAACUGGCACCUUGUGUUUGCAACAUAAUUGAACAUGUAUUGAAGUGAGUUUUUUUGCAUCUUUUUGUAAGAAAAUUCUAAACAACAGAGACUGCUUAGUGUGCCCGGCUCCUCGGGAAAUCAAGGUUCAUUCCUGUAGGGCCAGUUUUUUCACAGUCGAACUAGAUAACAUGGAGAGUAUGUUGCAAUGCUUCAACAGGGUAUUUCUUAGGAAAAUCCACCUGAAGUUGGUACAAUUCGUUGGCGUACUGAGUUCCUGGAGCUCUAUUGACUUCAAUCACCCAUCUCUGUAGAUUAUCGAUGACUUAUGCUCGGAUCCUGUAGGAGGAUUGACCUGACAUUCCACUAGCUCUUUCUGGAAGACGAUCUUGUUUAACACCUUGUGAGAAGAGGCAAGGGAACUGGUCAUUGUUUCUUCGAGAAGAUCAGUGGCCGAGGAUGGGUUUGGACCAUAAUUGCUAUAUGGGUUUUCUUUGGGUGAACCAAUUAGUGGAGUGGGUGGCUAUAUAGCAACUGAAGGGUGGUCAUACUAAUGAGGAGCUAUUAUUUCAUGCAUGUGGAGAGGAAAUGAGUAGCUUCUUCAAGGAUAUAUGAUUAUUCAUCUCUAGCUUACGUUGAAUAUCUCCUAACAAAUUUCUGCUUUGAAGCUCCCUUAGUUUCACUACAGCUAACUUGGCCAACUUGGUUUCAUCAUGUUUCCUACAACCUCUAAGCAAAGCACGCCAGAUCACUGAAUCAGGUUCUAUUUGCAUUUUGUCCAUAAACUCCUUUGCCUAUUGACAAUAAACUGCCCCUCAAAAUUUGAUGAGAUAACAUCAAUGCUGACAUGUUGGUCAUCCCCAUAAGCAUCUUUAUAGAGAUUGAUUCUAUGUUUAGAUAUUUCUCUCUCCUCAAGUGAGUUCAACUUUUUUGUAACAUCCUUCUCCUUCUCUACUAAUAGUCUUAGUUGAACAUCCAACCUAUGUUCCCAAAGUGCCAGCAUCUCAUAUCUGAUGACAAGCCAACAACCUUGCCCUUGCUGAGACCCAAAUAAGUAUCCAGAACCAUCAGCAUCAACCCUUUCAUAGGCCUUUGUAUUUGAAGGUCGGAUUGGGAUUGCUUUGAAUGCACUGGCACUACAAUACACAAUUGUAUCUUCUCCAAUAAAAACACCACACAGAGGUGAGGGGACUGGUAUUAGCAAAGAAGUGUUGUUAUCUAUAUUGUUCUGAGCCCGAGUACCCUCAACAAAAUCCUCAUCCUCAUCUGUACUCUUCCAUUACAUCCCUAGGCUUUUCAAUGUGAUCCACAUGGCUUACAGGAAUCCAGAAAUACCAGUCUGUAUAAAUGUUGCUCUUAUGGGGCUCUCCUAGAAAACAUCCCUAUCAAGAUGAUCAACCUAGCUUAGAUGCUCAGCACCCCAAACUUACUAGAAAUAGAGGAAUUAAAAGCAAGGAUAGGAGCCAAAGUAAAAAUUUAGGGAAGAGCAAAUAGGAAAUCAAGCAAAACAUGAAUGUACAGAGCCUCAUUUCAGGUGACAUCUUUGGGCUAAUAAUAGGUGGAAUUAACAAAGUAGACAAGCAUGAUUGUUAUAAAUAUCAAGUUCAAGGAUGAAGCCGUGCAUCAGCUACUUAUAGGGGGAGUCAAGGAAACCAAGAUAAGAUCAAAGAGAGCAUGUAUGCAAAUAAACAGAUUCGAAAAAAUAGACCAAACAACUCGUGAAUAUCCUCCUACAAAAAACUACUACACGUGGCAAAAAGUGAUGAAACAAAAAGAGUCGGGUCCGCAUAUACAUAUCCUAUUCUAUCCUAUUCCUUCAAAUCCAAAGCAACCUGUAUUUUCAAUGGGAUUUGUUGUGAUGAAUUUUACUGGAUUGUAACAUGUAAAUAUGUUAAAAGAGGCUUGGGACAUUCCUAUAUAGUAACGCAUAAAGGUACUUCCAUUGUGAAGUUGUCAAAAUUGCAAAUUUAAAUUACAAAAUUUGAAAACAUAGAGAUGAAAGAUGAUGAAACCUUCUUUGAAAUUUUAUAUUGAACUCAUUAAUAUUAUUAAUUUUCAUUUCAGUGUAGGGGAAAGAAUUCUUUACUCUAAAGUGGUCACAAAAAUAUUAAAAUUCCUUGUUGAGAGAUUUAGACCUAAAGUGAUCAAUAUAGAAGAAAGUAAAAAUAUUCUAAGUGUAGGUAAACUUGUAGACUCAAAUGACUCUACCUUCUCAUAAAAAAUCCUCAAUUUUAUAAAUUAUAUAGAUUUCUUCAUUUGAUACAAAAUUUGAAUAAAGAUUUUUCAAAUGACAACACAAGGAAAGGGAAAAAAAAAAUUCUCUCCAGUUCAUUUCAUUUAAUCACUUAAAUUAUUUAAAAAUAAAAAUGUUUACUGCUAACAUUAUUUAGAUUCAUCUUUCUUUUGAUGGAGGUUAAAAUUCAUAAUUUUGAGGAAAAAGAUGAGGAUUCUCAUUUUUUUUUCCAUGUAUGAAUGGGAUUCUCAUUGUGUAUAUGUGGGUUACUAAAUGGCAAAUUUAGGGGCCAAUAUGAGGAAAAAUAUGAAGUUGAGUUUGUCACCAAGAACAAACAUGACUCCUAUAAAGGUGGCAUCCUUAAUUUCAUGUCUGGAUUAGACUUCUCAUGUAACAACUUAACAGGUGAAAUCUCUCAUGAACUUGGAAUGUUAAGUUUGAUUCAUGCAUUGAACUUGUCUCGCAAUCAACUAAAGGGCUCCAUUUCAAACAGUUUUUGCAAUCUUUCUCAAACAGAGAGCUUAGAUCUUCUUAAUAAUAAACUAAGUGGAGAAAUUCCUCCAAAAUUGGUUAGACUAACUUUUUUAGUGGUGUUCAAUGUGACUCAUAGUAGCAUCUUUGGAAGAGUUUCAGAUAUGAAUGCAUAAUUUGCAAUAUUUGAUGAAAGUAACUAUGAAGAUAAUCCUUUCCUUUGUGGACCACCAUUAAAGAGAAAAUGUAGCAUAAAUGUUAAGCCACCUUACCCACCAUUAGAGUCUUCGGAAAAAAGUGAUGCAAAAUGGUAUAAUAUCGAUCUUGUGGUUUUCUUUGCAAGUUUUACUAUAUCAUAUAUCAUGAUAUCAUUAGGAAUUUCAACCAUUCUUUACAUUAACCCUUAUUGGUGUCAAAGAUGGUUCAAUUUUAUCGAGAAAUAUAUAUACUUUUGCUAUUAUUUUGUUUCCUAUACUCUUUCCAAGUUAUUAACAUAUUUUGAAUAAUUAGAGAUUUUUGUUUUCAAUAAUAUUUACAUAAUUAACUACUAUUGGCUUCCAUGACAUGGAAAGAAAUGCGGUGAAGGCAACAACCACUUUUUUUUCUCCUCUACUAGUGCAUGAUUGAUAUGAGUUAAAACUUGCACCCUUAUCUUUGCUUAAAUUUUCUCAGCUUUUGUUUCAAUUCUUAAUUAUCAUUUCUUUUAUGUGUUGUUUAAUACAAUAUCCUAAACACAUUGCUUUGAAGGUUACUUAUUUAUUAAGCAUGAUAUUUAUUUUUCAUAAAGACAAAUUCAAGUUUUUUAGGAAUUUUUAGAAUUAUUAUAAUUUGGAGUUCACAUUAGAGGAAAAAAGGAAAGAAAAGAAUAGAUGAUUAAAAAAACAAUUUUAGUAAGUAUAAUUUGUCAUCUUCGGUAUAACAAAUGGGAAUUCCAAAAUAAUAUUUCAAUUUGUUAGUCUAUUCCUUAUAGUAUUAAUUGAUAUAUCAAAUAGGAAGUCACGUUUUGAUUUUUUAUUAGCUUCAAUUGCAUGUCACAUAUAUUUUAAAAUCAAGCAUACCUCAGCCGGGAAGUUCUUGUAACAUGCAUGAACAUGAUAUGAUGAAUUGAAUAAUUUUCUUAAUUGUGUGAGACACAAACCCUCUUUGUUUAAUAAUAAUAAUAAUAUACUACACAUUAUUAAAUCAUAUAUGUAUAUUUAUAGUCGUAUAAUAUAUUCAAAAUAUUAAACACAUUACCCUCUUAAAUUUUUAUGAAUGGUGUUUACUUUACAUAACGACAGAUUCAAAUUUUUUUAGAAUUUUUUAAUGUUAAAAUAAUUUGGAGCUUAAUAGGGAAAAAAAAGAAUAAAUAAUUAGAAAAGCAAUUCAAAAAAAAUAAAAUUUAUCCUCUUAAAUUGGUUUUGUGUAAUACUAUAGAAGCCAUUUCUUGAGUUUGAUAUGGUAGAAUUCGGAUUCAUAUUUAUUUUAAAAUAAAGAAUUUCAAGGGUUGGUAGCAUCAAUAGAAUCUUAACAAAUUUGCAAAAAAGUAUUUGGGUAGAUCACAUUUAAAUAUAGCUAACAGAAUAAAAAAUUAAUAUUAUUAGGAAGACAUGAUCAAUUAAAUCUUUUUUCUUAUCUAUGACACCGAUUUUAUAUUUUUACAUAGUCAAUAUAAUUUAUUACAACUUAUAUGUCAUUAAAUUAUACAUGCUUAUAUUAAAUAUAAUAUAAGAUCAUUAAUGGAAUAAUUAUGCAAGUAAUAUAAAUUGUAUAUAAUAUAAAAAAUUUAAACUCCGUCAAACUAAUGGAAUCUAUUAUAAUAAGUAGACUAGACACCAUAUUGGCCCGAGUUGGAGGCCUGGGCCAGAUUUUAAAGGCUGGGCUUUGAGUUGCCCGUGGGCCUGAGCCAAGGCCUUCUCUUGGUAUCAUCAUUUUGAAGAAAUAAAUUGCUGAUACAGAGAAAAAAACUAUACUAAAUAGAAAAAUAAAUAAAAGCAUUGACUAAAAUGAAGGUCAAGGUCCUUGAAAAAUAAUCUUUAAAUUGUUGCAUAUAUAAUUUCAAUAAUGCAUAAAUAAUUGCAAUAUAUAUGAUAUGAUAAAGAAUUUGGAAUUAAAAGAAGAUUGAUCUAUUUUAAAUGUGGUUGGAAUAUUUUUAAAUUUGUGAUGGGAAGUUAGACAGCCAAUUAGGGAUCCAUAUUAUUUAUUUUCAAUUAUAUGAAUUUAUUUACUUUUAUUAAUAUUCUGAAUGCAACAAUAUAAAAUAUGUCAAUUUUCUAAAAUUAAAAAAGUAAUUGCAAAAGAAAAUUUUUAAUUAUUUUUCUGAAAUUGAGUUUAUCAUAACAUUUUUCUUUACAUAAAUUUCUUUUUUAUGUUUAUUUUUUUAAAAAUGAGAUAUGAAAAAAAAAGAUCAAUAUUAGUAAAAGUAAAACCCAAUAUAUAUAAAAAAAAUGAAUAAAUGUUUAUGAAAUAAGAUUUAAAAGUGAGAAGGUAAUAAAUUUUUUCUCUUUUAAUUCCUAUUCAAUACAUUACAAAAAAUAUUUUUGGUUUUUAUGCUAAAAUUUAUUGUUUAUUAAAAAAUUCUAGUAUAUCUAGCUAUCAUAGAAGAGCUCCAAAAUUUUAUUGUUUAAGAGAAUGUGUUGCCACUUUAAAAGAUUUAUAUGCAUACCUUUGGAUAUGUUUAGUUCCCGGUAAAUUUGAAGGAAAAUGUGAAGGAAGAAAAAUAGAGAAGAAAAGUAUAACAAAAUAAAAAGUGAAGGAAAAUGAAAAAUAGAUUUAAAAUUAAUAAAUUAUUUUCAUUGGUUUUUUCAAAUUUAUUUUACUUAUUUUAUUCUAUUAAAUAAAGAUUAACUAAUUUUAAUUAUAUUUGGUUUGAUUUUUAUUAUUUUUCAAAGCAAAACCAAAUAUGAAAAAAAAAACAUUUUUUUUGGUUAUUUUUUUCUUUCCUUAUUACUCUUCGGGACUCAAACAUAGCUUUUAGAUUUGGGGCAUGGAAAAAUAAGAGUAUUGAAUAAGGGUUCUAUAUAUGCCCAUGCCCAUGCCCAUGAUACCAUUGAAAAAAAUGGAGAGAGGGUGAAACCUUUACUAGAUGAUAAAUUAUUCUCUUCAAUGGAAAUCAAAUAUAAUUAUUUUUAUCUUGUAUUAAUUGAAUGUUAUACUCCAUAAACUCAAAAUUAAAAUAAAUAAAAAAUUUAAAAACUAGGACAAUCCCAUUUUUUUUCAAUUUCUUAAAAAGAAAUUAAAUUAUAUUUAUUUAUAUCUAUUUUCAUCCCUACCCAACAAAAUAAAAAAAAUUAACAUUGUGGAACAUGUAUGAGAAAUUCUCACAAUUUUUUUUAAGAAAAAUAAAUUUCUUAUUUUAUAUAUGUUAAAAAUAAAUAUAAUCUUUUAUUUUUUAUAUAUAUAAUCGGGUAAGGUAGAGUGGGACAAAGAAAUAAUCCCCUUCGAUUCCAAUCCGAAAUUUUAAAAUAUAAAAUAAAAAUCUUAAACUCAUCCCUAAUCCAUUUAUUUUUAAUCCUAAACUUGUCUUAUAAGGAAUAAGGCAAAGUAAGUACAUGAAAACACUUUUUUUUAUCAUCAUCUCUACAAGUUCUAAUGUUUAGAUUGCAAUCCAUAUCAAAGAUUUAUAAAGAAAGAACAACGAUGAAUUUCAUAAACAUUUGAAAGCAUAUACAAAGUUUUAAAUAAUAUUGCUUGAGGUGCAAAUAUUAUUUGGCGCACACGUUGAGGGACUUCAACUGGUGUUGUCUAGGUUUUUUACACUAGUAAGUAAUCUUGAAUAUCUAGAGUAACUUGAUCAAAAUCUCUUUAAUUUUAUUUUCUUUGAUGAAUUAGAAUGCUUAUAUAACAUGAUUAAAAAUUUUAAGAAAAAAAAACUAAGAAGAAAGAAAGAAGUACCGAUCUUCCAAAUAUUGCUUCCACUUUAAUAUUUAGAAGGCUCUAAGAAAAGAAUUUUAUUCAUGAAUCACAACCCAAGUCGAAAAUAAAUUGAACCCAUUUUCUAAGUUAAAUUUUGAAUUUUUUACUAGUGAAUGCAAAUUGGGAAAAUGUAUAUAAAUAUAAUUAAACUAGAAUAGUAGGUUAGGUUUGUGUGGUCCCACGAUGACUUGGAAGUUUCAACAAUUCAAGCAGACUCCACCUAUAAACCUAAUAUACUAUUUUAGUUUAAUUAUAUUUAUAUAUGUUUUCCCAAUUUGCAUUCACUAGUAAAAAAUUCAAAGUUGAACUUGAAAAAUGGGUUCAAUUUAUUUUCGAUUUGGGUUGUGAUUCAUGAAUGAAACAAUGAUCAAUGACUUGACUUUUAAGGCCAACUUAGUUAAGUCAUUCCUAACCCCUAUAUUAAUUUGGCCUUAAAAGUCCAGUAAUUGAUAGCUAAAUCCCAACCCAAGUCAAAAAUAAAUUGAACCCAUUUUCUAAGUUCAACUUUGAAAUUUUUUUUAAUUGGAAAAAUGUAUAUAAAUACAAUUAAACUAGAAUAGUAGAUUAGGUUUGUAGGUGGAGUCUGCUUGAAUUUGUGAAACUUCCAAGUCGUCGUGGGUCUAGUGGUCCCAUAGCUCUCUAUUAAUUUCCACCAUCAAUUUUCUGCAAUAAAGUCAAGUCAUUCCUAACCCCUAUAUUAAUUUGGCCUUCAAAGUCCAGUCAUUGAUAGCUACGUUCAUGAAUCCCAACCCAAGUCAAAAAUAAAUUGAAUCCAUUUUCUAAGUUCAACUUUGAAUUUUUUUUAAUUGGAAAAAUGUAUAUAAAUACAAUUAAACUAGAAUAGUAGAUUAGGUUUGUAGGUGGAGUCUGGUUGAAUUUGUGAAACUUCCAAGUCGUCGUGGGUCUGGUGGUCUUAUAGCUCUCUAUUAAUUUCCACCAUCAAUUUUCUGCAAUAAAGUCAAGUCAUUCCUAACCCCUAUAUUAAUUUGGCCUUAAAAGUCCAGUCAUUGAUAGCUACGUUCAUGAAUCCCAACCUAAGUCAAAAAUAAAUUGAACCCAUUUUCCAAGUUCAACUUUGAAUUUUUUUUAAUUGGAAAAAUGUAUAUAAAUACAAUUAAACUAGAAUAGUAGAUUAGGUUUAUAGGUGGAGUCUGCUUGAAUUUGUGAAACUUCCAAGUCGUCGUGGGUCUAGUGGUCCCAUAGCUCUCUAUUAAUUUUCACCAUCAAUUUUCUGCAAUAAAGUCAAGCCAUUCCUAAACCAUAUAUUAAUUUGGCCUUAAAAGUCAAGUCAUUGAUAGUUACGUUCAUGAAUCACAACCCAAGUCUAAAAUAAAUUGAACCCAUUUUCCAAGUUCAACUUUGAUUUUUUUUACUAGUGAAUGCAAAUUGGGAAAACGUAUAUAAAUAUAAUUAUACUAGAAUAGUAUAUUAGGUUUGUAGGUGGAGUAAGCUUGAAUUGUUGAAACUUCCAAGUCAUCAUGGGUCUAAGGGUCCCAUAGCUCUCUAUUAAUUUCCAUCAUCAAUUUUUAUGAAUUCAGAUUUAAAAGUGAGAAGGGAAUAAAUUUUUUCUUUUUCAAUUCAUUACAAAAAAUAUUUUUGGUUUUUAUGCUAAAAUUUAUUGUUUAUUCAAAAAAUUAAAGUAUAAAAAUAUAAAAUAUAUAUCUUGCUAUUAUAGAAGAGCUCCAAAAUUUUCGUGUUUAAGAGAAUAUGUGUUGCCACUUUAGAAGAUUUAUAUACAAAAAGGAUUGAUGUUUCUCCUUUGACUAUGUUUGGUUCCCAAAAAUUUGAGGGAAAGAAAAUAAAAAAAAGGUAGUAAAAAAGAAAAAAUGAAGGAAAAUAAAAAAUAGUUUUAAAGUUAAUAAAUUAUUUUUAUAUGCUAUUUCAAACUUAUUUUACUUAUUUUUUUUCAUUAUAUAAAGAUUAAAUAAUUUUAAAAUGCAUAACUAAUUUUAAUUAUAUUUAAUUUUUCUUUUAUAUUUUUUAGACGGGAUCCAACACAUGUAAAAAUCCUUUUUUUUAGCAUCUUUUUUUCUUUUCUUAUUACUUUCCAAUAACCAAAUAUAACCUUUAGAUUUAGCCUUUAGACUUGGAGUAUGGAAGGAUACUGAGUAUUGAAAGAAGGUUUUGUAUAUGGCCAUGAUACCAUAGAAAAAAUGGGCGACAGAGAAAAAACCUUUAUUAAAUGAUAAAUUAUUUUUUUCAAUGGAAAUCAAAUAUAAUUAUUUUUAAAAAUAAAAAUAAAAAAUAAUAAUUUGUUGUUGCAUUAAGUAUUCUUGCAUUUGGAGAAGCAUGUACUACUUACUACAUAAAUGGAUAUUCAUGGAGUGCAUUCUCUAGAAAGCUCCAGUCUCAUGAAAAUGGAAAGAUGGACCGGCCGGUGAACCGGUUCGAGUUUGGAUUUAUGGGCUGCCUCAGCCUAACACGCAUGAUAGGUUGUUGUAGGUGAAGAACUAACUAAUUAAUUUAAAGCCUUCUUCUAUCCUCUCCUAUUCCUCUAUCACUCCAAAUGUUCCACAUGAUAAUGACAAUUCUUUUGUUAAAUGGUAAAAAAAAAAUUUAACAAUUAAUUUAAAAAAUUUUUAAAAUCUAAAUCCAAUGGAAAUUUGACUGUAAGGUGCGUAGAAGGCCCUAGUGCCCAUGUUGCUAAUUUGAUGAUAGUUAAAUUACCAUUUCGAGAGAUUCCACUCACUAGUAUUCUCAUUUAUAAAAUCAUGAACUUUGGCAUCCUAAUUAAUGUAAUUUAACUUUUUUUUGUUUACAAAUGAAAUAAGAGGCAACAUAUAAACCCAAAAGUUAAUUUUCCUACCAUCUCUAUGCACCAUUUUAGCUUUACUCCAAUAUAUUUUCUAUGAUUAAUUAUUUUCAUUCAAACAAUAAUAUCAAAAUAUUUUAAAAUUAGACAUAUCCACUAAUAUAUCUUCGAUAUAUUAUAUAUAUCUGUAAAAUCGAAACACCAAUAUAUCCGUGAUUAUCGAUAUUUUUAUCGUUGAGGGAUAACAACUAAUCUAGUUUUUGUACCUAUUGAUAUUCCUCAACAUUUAGAUUGAUUUGACCAUUUUUUUUUUAAUUUUAUUUUCUUUGAUGGUUAUAUGAUGAAUUAGAAUAGUCAUAUAACAUUAACAGAUUUAAGCAAAAAUGAUAAAAAAGCUCGCAUUUUUCAAAUAUUGGUUUCAACUUUGAAUAUUUUUAUUGGUAAAUGAAAAUUGUGAAAAACCUACUAAUGCUAAUACUUUUCACCACAUAAUUAAAUAUAAUAAACUAGAAUAGUGAUUCAUUGAUGUCUUAUAAAGCUACAUGCCUUCUUUGACUUGUUAGUUGAUUUUUGUAGGUGGAGUCUGUAGGGACCCCUCCCCCUGAUGACACGUGGCACGCAUUUCUAUCCGGAUUAGCUCCAUCCGGAUUUCCUCCAAGGAGACACGUGGCGCGCUUCCCCUAUCCGGACUCCCUCAGGGAGAAGCACACGACACUCGCAAACAUCACAUCCGGACGACCGCCAUAUCGCAUCCGGACGAUCGACAUAUCCUAUCCGGAUAUGUUUGUCCGGAUCGUUGACUAAAGUAAGCAAGUCUUACUACGUCAUUCCGACAGCCUGCCAUGGCCCACGUUCCACCACCUGCAAAGUGAAAAGACAGGAAUGAUGGCAAGUCACUUCCUACGAUCUCUGACAGCUGUGGCGCCUCUCACGAUCUCUGUCAGCCGCCCGUAGGGUGAUGAUGGCCCUGUCACCACCUAGAGUCAUCAUGACAAGCCAAAAUAUCUCUCUAUCAUUAAAGAGGGAGACAGAGCUUCUGGUACUAUAUAUAUGGACCUUCACACAAAGAGGAAGGUAAGCUUGCUAUACCUAGUAAAAGGCCAACUGAUUUAUCUCUUUAACCAUGGCUGACAAAACCAUCGGAGGGUGUGUCCGGACACCCUGUCCGGACGCCUUUUGCAGGAACGAUUGAACCAGGAAUCUAUAUUGGUUGAGAUCGUGCGUCCAUCCAUUUGGCAACUACGUGGAUCACCAGGGACGCGAGGCCUCAACAUUGGCGCCGUCUGUGGGAAAAUCACUGAUUCAGUCACCGACAAAGAUAGCCACACCUUCCCAAAGCCGCUCGUCCGCUAGGGAAAAGGAAGAUAAUUCUGAAUGGCGCCGAGCCAUUGAAAGAAGACAGUUGGCAAGCUCGUGACAACUGCAAGCUCUCCUCCAGGAGACAGAAUGACUAAGAGAAGAAAACGCGGUACUACGCAUCCAAGCUUCAUCGACGGGGCCUCCCCGUCGUCAGCAUUCAAAAGGCCAGGUAGCAAACUCAAGGCCUGACCCAGAGUCAAUAUACCCUGGGGCAGCAGGAGCAAUACUUGAAACAUGCAACGUUAGGCCACAUGAGCCACACACGCCCAUGCACCGAGCUCCCCAUGAGGAAAGCUCAGACUCUACUCAUUUUUCAGCAAAAAGACAACGCGACAAAAAAUCCCAAUUGUCAAACUCAAUGCGUGCGAGACUAGGCCCACAGGAGCCUGGGAGGCCAAAGCCGCCAGUAGCCAUAACCUGGGCAGUGCACCUUGACCCUAUGGUCACCCCCAUGGUGCAGAGCGUUCUCCCGCACCGUGACCCUAUGGUCACCCCUAUGGUGCAGAACGUUCACCCGCACCUAGCGGUACGACAAGCUGGGAGAAACCUCCCAAAUGAGCCACCCAUUGGCUCCAUUAGCAAAAGGCUGGACGACAUGCUCUCCACGCCUUUUUGCUCUCAUAUCAUUCAUUACGAGCCCCCAAGGGGAUUCCUCGUGCCCAAAUUCUCCACAUACGAUGGGUCCAGCGACCCCUUCGACCAUAUCAUGCAUUAUCGACAGCUCAUGACUCUCGAUAUAGGCAAUGACGCGCAGCUAUGCAAAGUAUUCCCCGCCAACCUACAAGGGCAGGCCCUCUCAUGGUUUCACCGCCUACCUCCCAACUAUGUUGAUAAUUUCAGAGACCUAUCAGAGGCCUUCGUGGGACAAUACUUAUGCUCUGCUCGACAUAAGCAGAACAUCAGCACUCUGCAAAACAUAAAAAUGCAGGAUAACGAAUCCUUAAGGGAGUUCGUGAAGUGGUUUGGUCAUGCCGUACUACAGGUAAAGGCUUACAGCAUGGAUGCUGUCCUGCAGAUCUUCAAGCGAAGUAUUUGUCCAGGCACCCCAUUUUUUGAAUCACUCGCUAAAAAGCCUCCUACGACGAUGGACGACUUGUUCCAGCGUGCGAGCAAAUACUCAAUGCUCGAAGAUGACGUGCGAGCAGCCACCCAGCAAGUCUUGGUUGCCGGACAGGCAUCUAGAAGUGGCACGGAAAGAAGUGCCAAACUUCCGGACAGGCCAAGACAGUCCCAUCAAAGGCAGGAAGGGCCAAGUCGCCCGGAAAGGCCGCCCCUCACACCCCUUUCCAUAUCCUAUGAGAAGCUUCUCCCUAUGAUCUAAGACAUGUCCGACUUCAGGUGGCCUAGACCCAUCGGAACGGACCCAUCCAAAAGGGAUCAUAGUAAAAAAUGUGCCUUCCAUAAAGAGCAUGGUCACACAACGGAGACAUGCAGGUGCCUUCAUUAUUUGGUCGAAAGGCUCAUAAGGGCGGGACAUUUAAAGCAAUACCUCCACUCAGAUACCGGAGGUAGAGAUGCUUCCCGAAAUCACAACUCUGGAGCCCCUAGGGCCCUAGCCGUCCCCAAAGCCGUUAUAAACUAUAUUAACAGAGGCCCAUCUGACGAGGAGUACGACUCCAAACGAAAGAAACAAAAGUUGUUGCGGGCAGCAUCGGUGCGCGAACGUGUCAACUCCAUCCGGCCUGGGAUAACUGGGGGGGCCCUCGCCCCAUAGAUGGGAUAAUCAUUUUCCCACCAGUAGACCCCACCCGGAUAUUGAAGCCGCACCGCGACGCCCUCAUCCUGUCCUUAAAGAUAGGAGACUUCGACGUGAGACGCAUCCUGGUUGACCCAGGUAGCUCGGCCGAUCUUGUGCAAGCAUCGGUCAUUAGCCACAUGGGGCACAAUCUCACAGGCCUCGAAAACCCUGGGCGAAUCUUGUCCGGAUUCAACGGGGCGUCAACUACUUCAUUGGGAGACAUUGUACUGUCGGUCCAAGCUGGCCCAGUCACUCUCAACGUACAAUUUUCGGUGGUACAAGAUUUAUCACCCUUCAAUGUCAUCUUGGGGCGCACAUGGCUGCACUACAUGAAAGUCAUCCCCUCUACAUAUCAUCAAAUGGUAAGCUUCCUUACCAAGGAUGGGCAAAUUGACCUAUACGGCAGCCAGUUAGCCGCUCGCCAAUGCUACCAGAUAGCACGAGAAGCAGGGACCAACCAGGAGGAUGCAUCCCUCCCUGAGUCCAGCCAUGCACGUGACCAAUAGCAAUUAUUGAGUCCGGGGGACAAAGAUCCCCCGGCAGCGGAUCCCUUGCAAGCAAUCCAAAUUUCGGAAGAAGGUACUCACCUUACGAAUAUCAGUUAGAAGAGACCCGGAACAUGCAGAACGCCCUCAGACAAAACCAUGACGUCUUCGCAUGGACACAUUCUGAUAUGAAGGGAAUUCAUCCCUCCAUUACCUCUCAUAGGCUUAACGUCUUGCCAACAGCCAGACCCAUCCGGCAGAGGGUUAGACGUUUUCACCCGGACAGACAAAAAAUUAUCCGGAAUGAGAUUGACAAGUUGCUAGAAGUCGGAUUCAUCAGAGAAGUGCAUUACCCGGACUGGUUGGCAAAUGUAGUGGUGGUACCCAAAAAAGAAGGCAAAUGGCGGGUGUGAGUCGACUAUACCAACCUCAAUAAUGCAUGCCCAAAAGACAGUUUCCCUUUGCCACGGAUGGAUCAAAUUGUGGACUCCACUGCUGGGUAAGGGAUGCUCUCCUUCUUGGACGCCUUCUCUGGAUACCACCAAAUCCCCAUGUCCCCGGCUGAUGAAGAAAAGACAGCCUUCAUAACACCACAUGGUCUCUAUUGCUACAAAGUCAUGCCAUUCAGACUCAAAAACGCUGGUGCCACUUACUAGAGACUGAUGACGAAGAUCUUCAAACCUCUGGUCGGCCGCACAAUAGAGGUAUAUAUUGACGAUAUCGUGGUUAAAAGUAAAACCCGAGAGGAACAUGUCCUCCACUUGCAAGAAGUCUUCCACCUCUUGAGGAAGUAUGGCAUGAAGUUGAAUCCCUCUAAAUGUGCCUUUGGCAUAAGUGGUGACAAAUUCUUGGGAUUUAUGGUUAGCCAAAUGGGGAUAGAGGUCAGCCCGGACCAAGUCAAGGCAGUCAUGGAAACACCACCCCCUAGGAGCAAAAAGGAAUUACAACGCCUCACAGGCAAGCUCGUCGCGCUAGGGCGUUUUAUAGCCCGCUUCACUAAUGAACUGCGACCCUUCUUCUUGGCAAUACGAAAAGAAGGAGCAAACGGAUGGACGAACAACUGUCAAAGCGCUUUUGAAAAAAUUAAACAUUGCCUCAUGCAAUCGCCCAUCCUGAGCAGUCCCCUCCUUGAAGAAAAACUGUAUAUGUAUCUGGCUGUAUCGGAGUGGGCAAUUAGUGAUGUUCUAUUCCGCUGCCCCUUACCCAAGGAGCAGAAACCUAUCUACUACGUCAGCAGAGCAUUGGCAGACGUAGAAACCAGGUAUUCAAAGAUGGAGCUAAUGGCCUUAGCUCUUCGAAGUGCUGCCCAGAAGCUCUGCCCCUACUUCCAAGCCCACCCGGUGGUCAUGCUAACUGACCAGCCCCUUCGCAACAUUCUGCACAAGCCAGACUUAACCGGAAGAAUGCUUCAAUGGGCCAUAGAGUUAAGCGAAUAUGGAAUCGAGUUCCAACCCAGGCUGUCCAUGAAAGGCCAAGUUAUGGCUGACUUCGUGUUGGAAUACUCCCGAAGGCCUAUCCAGCGCAAGGAACCAAGUGAAAAAGAGUGGUGGACUUUGCGGGUCGAUGGAGCCUCACGAUCAUCAGGAUCCGGAGUAGGGCUCCUGCUGCAAUCACCAACAGGAGAACAUCUGGAGCAAGCCAUCUGGAUGGGGUUCCCCGCCUCUAACAAUGAAGCGGAAUAUGAGGCCAUCCUAUCCGGAUUGGACCUCGCCCUGGCUCAUCCGUCUCCAAGCUCCGGGUCUAUAGUGACUCCCAACUCAUGGUAAGACACGUUAAGAAGGAAUACGAAGCUAAGGAUGCGCGCAUGACGUGAUAUCUGACUAAAGUAAGGGACACCUUACAACGGUUCACCGAAUGGACGAUCGAAAAAAUCAAACGAUCUAAAAAUGGACGUGCCGACGCCUUAGCAGGCAUAGUUGCCUCCCUCCCCAUCAAAGAAGCCAUAUUGUUGCCUAUACAUGUGUAAGUCAACCAUUCCGUCGCGGAAACCUCCACUUGCAAUACCAUUGAGGCAAAUCAAGCAGACGACCAAGAGUGGACGGAAGACAUUAUAAGGUACCUCUAGACAGGCACUCUGCCUGAAGAGCCCAAGCAGGUACACAAGCUCCGGGUGCAAGCCGCCCGUUUCACCCUAAUUGGGGGGUACUUGUACAAGCGAUCCUUCACAGGUUCCUAUCUUCGGUGCCUAAACCACUCAGAGGCCCUGUAUGUAUUAGCUGAAUUGCACGAGGGAGUAUGUGGAAUUAUUCUGGAGGUCGAUUUCUGGCACACAGGGCCCAUUCGCAAGGAUAUUACUGGCCCACGAUGAAGAAGGAUGCGGCAGCCUAUGUCAAAAAAUGUGACAAAUGCCAAAGGCAUGCCCCCAUACCACAUGUGCCGUCGGAGACAUUGAAGCCAAUAUCAGGCCCCUGGCCCUUCACGCAGUGGGGCAUGGACAUAGUAGGACCCCUACCACCCCCACCCGCUCAAAAGAAAUUCCUGCUCGUCGCCACGAAUUACUUCAGUAAAUGGGUGGAAGCUGAGGCAUACGCUAGCAUCAAAGACAAAGAUGUCACCAAGUUCAUGUGGAAGAACAUCAUCUGCCGCUUCGGAAUCCCCCAAACCAUUAUAGCCGACAACGGUCCAUAGUUUGAUAGCAUCGCUUUCCAGAAUUUCUGUUCGAAACUAAACAUCCGGAAUUCAUACUCCACACCGCGUUAUCCUCAAAGUAAUGGGCAAGCAGAGGCCACAAACAAGACUCUAAUCACUACCUUAAAGAAAAGGCUCGAGCAAGCCAAAGGAAAGUGGGUGGAAGAGCUACCCGGCGUCUUGUGGGCUUAUCGAACCAUACCCAGAUGUCCGACAGGAAACACUCCCUUCGCCCUCGCAUACGGUAUGGACGCAAUCAUUUCUAUUGAAAUAGGGCUACCCACUAUCCCGGACCGAGGCAGGAAAGCAGGAUGAUGCAAAUGUGGAGUUAAGAAGAAACUUGGACUGGGCAAACGAAGUAAGGGAAACUGCAUCCAUUCGGAUGGCAGAUUAUCAACAAAGGGCAUCCGCUCACUACAAUCGCAAAGCAAGGCCCAGAAGCUUUAAAAAUGAUACGCUGGUCCUUAGAAAGGUUUUCGAAAAUACUGCUGAGAUAGGAGCGGGAAAAUUUCAAGCCAAUUGGGAAAACCCCUAUAUAGUAUCUAAGACAAGUGAAAGUGGAGCCUAUCAUCUGCAGAAGCUAGAUGGAACCCCAUUGCUCCGACCAUGGAAUGUAUCUAAUCUAAAGUAGUAUUACCAAUGAAAGAAAAAUAGAGGUACAAAUAUGAAUAAGUAUGUUUUAUUAAUACUUGUGAAAAAUUGUAUACAAAAGUUCUCCGGACUACAAAAUACAGAGAGAAGAUAGCAGUAAAAAUUACAAAAAGAAAAGCUCUCAUUGGGAAGGCUUGCCACGCAGCUUCUCCUCCUCACCCGGGGGAAUCGAAGGGACGUCCCGUUUGAUACCAAGUUUCUUCAUACAGCAACGGUAGCCGAAGAAGUACAUUUCGUCUACCUACUUCUGGUAGUCUGCUUCAAGUUCCUCCCUUUCCGCAGCAAACUCAGCCUCCAACUCUUCUUUUUGCGCUAAUAAACGCAACUGCAAAUCCUCUCUCUGCUUUUUCUCAAUUGACACCUCUGUUUGGAGUUGCCUCACUUCUCCCGCAGUUGGGCCAUUUCGUCCUCCGCCUCAUGUAGACGGGCGUCUGUAGAUUCCUCCCGACUCUUUGCCUCAGCUAGCUCUACCCGGAGAGCCUCGUUGUCAUCUCGAGCAGCGGAUAAACUGGCUUCGGCCUGCUCUAAUCUCAAGCGCAGUUCCUCUUCACUGUUUAUGCGUUGAGAGACGAAGGCCUUCAUAUAAUCAGCAGUUCGUAGUAGGUCAGAAAAAAGAUCACGUUGUUGAGCCAUGCCGCGGAUACCGCUCACCAGCUGCAGAAAAACCCACAAACAAGAAGUGCAAAAAUUACAACCCAUGUGACAAACACAUCAGAAUGGCAAGAAAAAUCAAGAAGUAAACUAUACCAUUUCCGCUGCUUCAAACAUUUUUGCUGAAGGCACAGCAACAUCUGAGCUGGAUGGAAUCCGUUUCAGCAUCUCUCCCAACUGCGCAUAGCUGAAAGGACUAGCGGAGAUGCAAGCUGCAUCAUCAACGGGACUUCCUCCUGACGAGGCAUUAGGGAGUGACUCCUUUCCCGAGUCCGGGGCCUCAUCAUUCUCGACCGGCUGGGUCUCUCCGAGUGAACCCCCAUCUGGGACCAGCACCGGGGCGGUUGGAUUCUCUUCUGCCAUCUCUGUCUCACUCCCCUCCGGAUGAUCCUCCUGGACGGACGAGCAGCUGACUUCGAUGGUUUCCAAAAAACGAUCUUGAAGCCGCCUGAUGAGGCUAGACUUUAAGUCACGGGCCGGACGAGACCUCCUUGCAGUUGGCCCCUUCACCGGUAUAAAGGCAAGGGAGCUUGGCUCGCAAGGAGGCACACCCUGACUUUCUGCCCUCGUUUCUUCCGUUGGGGGUGCCGUAGGAGGCAAUGCUUCAGUACAAGAGGCCUCGGCUGCAUCCGCGUCCGAAUGGGGAGAGCCGAGCUGAUUUACUGAAGUCGCUUCCUCAGCCAGAAGAGCCAGCCGUCCAGCCGCUGGCACUGAAGGCCCCGAAUGGUUUAGACCCGCGAGACGUCCGGAGCCUCUUGAAACAGAAGGCAAGACGGGGGAAGGGGGGAGAGGGGGGGGGGGGGGGGUGGUCUGGCUCUCUUAUUAUUAUUUCCUUUACGAAAGUUGGAGGUGGUAUUACCACUUCCUUUGGUGGAGUUGGAAGUUUUAUUUAUUUCCCCUUAUUGAGAGCCUUCUUCUUCUUUUUCUUCGCCGGGGCGCCAGCAGGAAGAGAGGGCGCGAAGCGUUUUAUAUCGGGGGCCCUCCGCAAAGUUCCCUCUUGCCUCAUUCCCUCCCGUUCGUCGAGACGUGCUCGGCGUGCCUGGGCAUCUGCCUUGCGCACCUCCUUGUAGAAAGGAAGGUCUUUUAGAACAAAAUGCUCCCCAGGCAUUACCUUCUUUGGCAACUUCCUGGGGAGAAUAUUGAUGACAUACGCCUGGGGCUCUUGGACAACGGCUAGCAAGUUUCGCGUAGUAAGCAGCGUCUCAUGAUGCCUCUCAGCGGCAGUAAUCUCAAAUAACUUGUUCAGUCGAACGAAAGACGUUUUUUCUACCCACUCGACUACGCGACCCCUCUUGUCCGGACCUGCAUUAUCAGCAACCAAAGAUAUUAAGCCAUCUGAUAACCCCAAAGCAAGAAAAGCAACAAGACGAAUGCCGAACAAACCCCGCAAGCUGUCUUACCCGGAAGCACCAACGAAAGGUUUGGGGAGAAUGGCCUCUCCGGAUGCUCCAGUAGCCCAGCCCAGAUACCCCGGACCAACACAUGUCCCUUGGCUCCUCCCUUCGUCGAAUCCGAAAGCUUAGUCACUAGUUGGAGAGAAGGCAGGUGGGAAACCAUGCUAAAAAUGUCAUUUUUCUCCUUCUUAAGGGAGUAGAUGAAAAGAACCUCCAGCAGCGAGAGGUCCAGGUUGAACAACAUGCUCAGAAUGCUGCAUCCCAUCAGCACCCGGACCAUGUUGGGAUGGAUGUAGGCCGGGGGGAUCUGGGUGAAGUGGAGAAAUUCUUUGAAAAGUGAUGGGAGAGGGAACCGGAGCCCAACAUUGAGUUGCUUCUUGGUAAAGCAGAUAGUGUUCUCCUCAGUUUUCUCAGUCGACAUGGCCUCUCCGUCCAUAAGUUCAACGGACACGCCAUUUGGGAUGCAGAAGCGUUCGCGAAACUCCCUCACAUUCAACUUAUCCACGGAUUUCUCAGCAUGAGCAUCUCCGGGUGAGCUGGAUGAAGUAGCUUCCUUGUUCGCAGACAUUUUGUAGGCUGGGGCUGAAAUGGAAUCUGCAUGGAGGAAUGCCAACAGUCAAACACAGCAAUCCGACCCCACAACCUUAACUCUACCCCAAAGAAGAAUCGGUGACCCACAAAAGGCACAAGGGUGCAACAGAAACCCUAAACACACCCAAAACACGAUCAAAACCCCCCGAAAAAAGCCCUAGAAACCAAUACCGAUUCCUAGUCGCAAAGCAACUUGCCCAGCAAGCCAGAAACAACCAACAAAACAAACACAACAAGGAGAAAAAAAAAAUAGAAAACGUACCGAGUGUAAAACUGGAAAAAUGGGAUGAAAUCCGCAGUGCAGUCACCGUCACGAUACGAGUAUUACCGGCAGAAAACCCUAGAGCUUCACUAGAAAGUGAAAAUACGCGGAAGGUAGAAGAGAAAGCACUACCAGAAAAAGCGCAGAAGGAAAAAUGCAAGAGAAAGGCACAGUUUGCUAUUUAUAGAGAGACAGCUCCUCGGUAUCCCAAAUGCUUAGCCGCACCAUCAUUGAAAGGACACGCUGCCUGGGAAAUCCCAGAAUCGGCGGCUCAUCAUAAAUGAUCUUCUUCCUUUUUCGCCCCCGCUCGCCACGUGGCCCAAUAAAGCGAAAAAAGUCAACCUCAGUUUCAAAAAACAAUCAUUUUUUAACCCACCCAUUUUGCCCUGGCAAAAUGGGCAGGUUAAAAGGGGGGCAUUGUAGGGACCUCUCCCCCUGAUGACAUGUGACACACAUUUCUAUCCGAAUUAGCUCCAUCCGGAUUUCCCCCAAGGAGACACGUGGCGCGCUUCCCCUAUCCGGACUCCCUCAGGGAGAAGCACACGACACUUGCAAACCUCACAUCCGGACGACCGCCAUAUCGCAUCCGGACGACCGACAUAUCCUAUCCGAAUAUGUUUGUCCAGAUCGUUGACUAAAGUAAGCAAGUCUUACUACGUCAUUCCGACAGCCUGCCACGGCUCACGUUCCGCCACCUGCAGAGUGAAAAGACAGGAAUGAUGGCAAGUCACUUCCUACGAUCUCUGACAGUUGCGACGCCUCCCACGAUCUCUGUCAGCCGCUCGUAUGGUGAUGAUGGCCCUGUCACCACCUAGAGUCAUCAUGACAAGCCAAAAUAUCUCCCUAUCAUUAAAGAGGGAGAUAGAGCUUCUGGUACUAUAUAUAUGGACCUUCACACAAAGAGGAAGGUAAGCUUGCUAUACCUAGUAAAAGGCCAACUGAUUUAUCUCUCUAACCAUGGUUGACAAAACCAUCGGAGGGUGUGUCCGGACGCCUUUUGCAGGAAUGACUAAACUAGGAAUCUAUAUUGGUUGAGAUUGUGCGUCCAUCUAUUUGGCAACUACGUGGAUCACCAGGGACGCGAGGCCUCAACAUAGUCCAUUUCCAUUUGAAUUGUUGAAACUUCCUAGUCCUUGUGGGUCUAGUGGUCUCUCUAAUAAUUCCCACCAUUAAUUUUUUGUGAUGAAGUGCAGUCAUUGAUAGCUACUAUAUCAAUUUGCUAUUAAAAGUCAAGUCAUUGAUAACUACUAUUCAAUCUUUUUCAAUAUGGAAAUUGGAAUCUCUAGCGCUACUCUUCUCAUCGUUCAUUUUUAGGUAAUGUGAGAAUGUGUGAACAUAAAUGUCUUCUAAUCAACCAAUUUUUUUUUGAAAAAAACAUGUACAAAAUUGCAAAACUUGCAAAAUCAAACUGACUGUAAUCAACCAUCAUAAUUUUGAUGGUUUUGAAGAAUCAAAGGAUGAAUCCUAAAAGGGUAUUUGAUAAAAAAUAAAAAUUAAAAAAAUUAAAAGACAACUACUCCCUUAAGUAUAAUAAGUGUAUUUGGUAGCACAAAUUUCCUACCACUUAUUAUUUUUUUUCUUAAAAAAUCAUUUACUCUAUUAAAUAAACUAACCUUGGCUUAUCACUUAUAGCAAAAUAGGUUAAGUAGUUUUUAAAAUUUUAUAAUAUUAGAUUUACAUUUUUAUCCUUCAAAAUUUCAUUAAUGCUAGAUUCUUCUAUAUGCUUAACUAAUAAAUAAUUUUUAGCAUUUUUCUUUUCUUAUAAACAUAAAAAAAUAAAAAUAUUAUUAACUUAUUGGUAUAUUUUAAAAUUUUAAUUAGAUUUAAGCUUUUAUUUUUUUGGAUUACCAAUUAUACAUAUAAAUCCUUUAUUAUUAUUGUUAUUAUUGAAAGAAAGGGGUUGAAUAGGUAGUCCCUCAAUCCCCAAAUUAAAUUCUUUAUUGCGUACUUUUGGUUUAUUCCUUUACAUGAAUUCCUUGGUGAGAGUAAACAUUUCAUUAAUGGAUAAAUAAAAUUGAUUCCAUAUCACAGGGUAUAAUGUGGAAAAAUCAUCGGUCUCAUGUGUUCCUUAGUGGAUCCUUUGGAGCCCUUAUCAAAGUUUCAUGAUGAAACCAUUGACUUUUGUUUAACCCAAAUGUGCUUUCAAGACAAAUCUUGAAAGAUUUGAGAGAUGGAGGUUCAAGUCUUUUAUGAACGACCAUGUUCUCUUAGGGUUCAUGAAAUUUCACACCUUUUGAUAAAUAAAACUUAUUUAUUUAUACGUCUAAAACCUAGUAUUUAUUUAUUUAAUUAUAGAAAGUUUCUUAGUUUUAAAAACAUUUCAAAAAUCAUUUUUAGAAUCAAAUAACAAUUUUAGAGAUAAACACAAUAUUAAAAUUUAACAAAAACAAAUUUUUGAAUUAAAAACACAAUAUAAACUAAAUUACAAAAUAUAAAGUAAUUUUUAUCCUAAUUUCUUCUUGCAAAACCAAAUAGAACACCUAGAAGGGGAGUGAAUAGGUGAUUUUAAAUUUUUUCAAUAAUGAUUUAUAAGUUAUACCCAAUUCUUUUACCCUGCGAGUUGUUAGGGACUAUCAAUUCUUUCCUUUUGGCAAUUCAAACAAUAUAUCAAAUAAUAAAAAGAUAUAAAUAAUGAGACAUAAAGAUUUUUACAUGGAAAACCCCCCACACUAACCAUGGAGAUAAAAAGCCAUGGAGUCUAAGACCUAUUAAUCUAAAUUCACUAUACGAAAUCAAGUUACACAAAUUUAUUUGGUAGCUUUACCUUAAAGACUUACUCUCCGGUACUGACAACUUGAUUCACGUCCAUGACGUAGCAACCCUCGAUUACUCCAAUGUAUCACUUCAAGCUUACUAAAAGGAUGAAGGCCUUCAAACCAAGAUUCAAAAAUCAAUUCCUUGAAUGAGAGAUUAGGAAUGGUGUGCCACUUUAGGCUUUCUCUCUAAGAUCUCUAAAAUGAUCUCCUCAAUGAAAACCUCUUAAACAAAAUGAGAUAUUUCUCCACAAUCUCUAACCCUUAAGGGGUUAUAAUGAGAUAUUUAUAGGCAACUAAGUUGAAAGUUUCAGUUUUGGAAGGUUUCUCAAUUGAAUUUGUGUGAAAAACUCGGCAGAAUCGACAUGAUCGCUCGAGCCAACACACUUCCCACUUGAGCGUUUUGGGCACUUGAGCGGUAAGGCUCGCUUGAGUUGUCUUAAGCACUUGAGCAUUCUAGGCUACUUGAGCAAUCUUGCUCUAUUUCAAAAGUUAAUUUUAAAUCAUUUUAAGUUCAAAACAAAAUUGAUUCCCUUUAUACCUCAAAGAAGCCUAACUUGCCACAAACCAAACCUUUUUAGAUAUACUUGUGACUUCCUGGUUGGACGAACAACAACUCUUAAUCUUCAAUGGAGAGCAAGUCACUAUCUAAAAAGAUUUAUAUGGUCAAACAUAAAAAAACAAAAAAAUUGCCAACAUAACAACAAGACUCAAUGUCCUAACAAUCUUCCCCUUUGGCAAUUUUGUGACAAAAACAACGUUACAUAAACCCACCUGAACUCUCAUAAUGGAGUUUAAUAAUACACAUUAACGUUCAAUUAAAAAUAAACUAAGGGAAUACUUUAUCUCACUUUGUAGUAUUUGUCUUCCAACCUUGUAACCUACACACAUAUAGAAAACUAUACCAAAGGUAAAACAAUGUGCAGGAUAAGAUAUGAUCAAGAAAGCAAAAUAGGAUAAUUGGAAAUUUUGCUUGAUGCCUUGUGAAAGCAUGAAAAAAGAACAAAUUCAUAUAGUAAUAUCAAGGGACAAAGCAAAACUCGAGAAGAAUAUAUAUGUAUGCAAAUCAACCAAACAUAAUAAAAGCUAAAUAAGAUGCAAUAGAUAAAAAAUAAUGCCUAGGGGUCUAUCUCCAACCAGAAAAUAGGGAGUGAAGAUCAUAGAAAGAACCUUCUGUGACUUAGAAAGAUUCUAGAGAGAUAGUAAAUUCAAACAUAAAUAUCUUGCUGGAAACAUCUAUGUUAUGUAUCUCUCUAAACCUUUUAAGUUAUGCUUUCAUCAGUUGAUUUGGUUUUUCUCCAAUGUCUCAGGUUUAAUUUCCUCUAUUAUUUCAAUUAGAGAAAUUAGUAGUCGAUUGACUUAGUGGGUGUUUGGUAAAACUUAAUACUUAUUAUUUAAUGAUUAACUUUAAGUUAAAUUGUUCUUAAGUUAUUAAUUUAAAAUUUAUUACUUAUUUUGUAUUUAAGUAUUAAGGUUAUUUGUAAAAAUCAACUUAAAAUUUAUUCUAAAUCAUCAAAUUAACACAUUUACCCUUAUUAAUUUUAACUUAUAUUUAUUUUCAUUAAUUUUAAACAAUAAAUUUAUUCAUAAAACAUCUAUAUUUUUGUAGAUACAUAAUAACCAUAAAAUAUUUACUAUAAAAAAUGAGUCAUGGAUGUAGAAUUAUAAUUCUAAAAUAUACACCUAUAAGUGUGGGUAAAUAAGACAAAAAUGAUUUGAGAUUAAGAGUAAAGUUAAUUAUUUUGACUUAAGACUUCAAGUUAAAAAUAACUUUAAGUUGCAAUAUUAAGUUAUUUUAUCAAACAUGCUUAAUUUACUUAACAACUUAAAUUAACUUAUUAAGUUGAUUUAUCAAACACCCCACUAGUAAUAUGUUGAAAAUGAAGAGCAUCCAUAGCAGAUAAUGUAUAUGUAUUUGUGUUUAGAGUAGAAGGGCACUACAACAAUGGACUUGCAUGUGAUUUGGUCGCGAUAUGAUUUUGAUGAGAAUAUUUUAUUGUCUUUAAAAUAUUGUUAUAUGAAAUGCCACACUAUGUUAGUAAAUGAUAGUUAUGUUAGUAGAAAUGAAAGUUUGUUUUAUAAUGCAUUGACCAUCCUAACACAUGCACUUAAUUAUCAUUAGUAGUUAGACAUGUAUUCCCUUUUUUCAAUUUUUUUUCUUCUUUUUAAAUACAUUCUAGUGGUACUUUGCCUUAUGACUUAAUUUUUGUUACACUUACUACUUUUGGUUUUAGUCAUAUUUCAUUUUAUUAGUAUUUUCAUUUUGUGUUACAAUUUUAUUUAGUUUCUCUAUAUUCUCUUUUGGAUGGUGAUUUCACUUCAAAUUUUAAUUCAAAUUAGGCUUAUUGUCCUCUUAGUAAGCCUUUUCUAGGCGAGUUGUUAUAGAAAAUUAAACAAACCUCUCCUAAGGUUGGCCUUGUUACAUAGACUUCUUUUCUAUUUUGAAAUAUUAUAUUGACCUCCCUUGUUAGAUAUUGGUUUUUACGAUUACUAAGAAUAAUGCUUCUUAAUCAUUAUUAACGAUAAUGCAAAAUGAUAUAACUACUCUUAGUUAAAUCAAAUCAUAAUGACAAUAUUUUCAUCUUCUUUUUCCAAUUUUCUUCUUCUUCCUCCAUACAUGCUAAUUUGCAAAAAUUUAUACCCAUUAUUUAAAUGAAAUCUUUUGAAAUAAAUUAAAAUCUUCCUUAUUUGAUAUUAUAGAAACCUAAUUUAAAUAAAAUAUUUUGAAAUAAAUUAGAUAAAAAAAAAACUUGUCAUCAUUCUAACCCAAAUCAAAUUUAAAAGAAUAACUAAAUAUUUCAAGUCUCAUUUUGUCUCAAUAUCACCUUUGCUAAUCAACCUAUCCAAUCUUAGAUCAAACUCAAAUUGCAAUCAAAUUUUGACAAGAAAAAAUCUACUUAAGACUGAAUAAGAAAACUUGUGGAAAGAGUCUUAUCAAGAAGGUGCAUGAAACCCUCAGUUCAAAAACUUCUUCUAAAAUAAAAUUAAAAAAAGAAAAGAAAAGAAAGAUAUUCAAUGUUAAAGGACUUUUAAGAUAAAUCAAAAUUUGAAAAUGAAUGUUAAUACUUGCGAUAGAUUCCACAUUCAUGAACAAAUUACCAUUGCACCACUUAUUUUCAAUUCACACUUUAAUUUACUAUCCAUAGAAACUUUCAUUAAAUUUUCCAUAAAACAAACAAAGAGCCUUAACCCCCAAAUAUUUUAAUUCUUAAAAAUACAUCAUUUCAUCAAUUUUUGAAACCCUCAUUUUAACACAAAUUAUUUUUUUUUACAAAUUAUUAAAAGAAUAAAAAGAAAAUUAAGAAGAGGUUGUCAUUAUUAUUCUUGCAAAGUCACCACAAAAUAAAUUAUAACAAAUAUAGAAAAUAAAAUAAUGUGACGAUGAAGAUGAUGCUUAGAAAGUUAGAAUGAAGAAGAUAGUAUCAUUUAGAUGAUUUAGGUUAAGAUGAGGACUAGAUAAGGAAAGUGACAUCAAUUGCCUAAUUAUUUGGGGUUUUAGACAUACAAAAUGAGGGAGAUGACUAAAAUUAUGGUUUAAUUAUUUUUGGUUAAGGAUUAUUAAGUUAUUUUAAGGAAUUAAUUAAUUAAUUUAUAAUAAAUUUAGAAUUAAUUAAAAGUUAAUUAAAAUAAUUAUUGAUUCAUAGUUUAAUUUAAAACUAAUUUGAAUAAAAGAUGAAAAACUGAAAGUCCAUUAGGGUUUCACCUAGAGAGGGGAGAGGAGGUGGAUGAUUUAAAAAAUUUCAAUAAAGAUCUAUAUGUUAUAUCCAAUUUUAUUUUACCCUGUGAGAUGUUAGGGAUAACCUUUUCUAUCAACCUUAGGCAAUUCAAACAAAAUAUCAAAUAUAAAAGAUAAGAACAAUAAGGCAUGCGAUUUUUAUAUGGAAAAUCCUCACACUAACUGUGACGAUAAAAACCACGAGAUCUAAGACCUAUUAAUCUAAAUGCACUAGAUGAAAUCAAGUUACACAGAUUUACUUGACUGCUUUACCUUAAAGAUUUACUCUCUGGUAAGUACAACUUGAUUCAUGUCCACAACAUAGCAACCCUUGAUUGCUCCAGUGGAUCACUUCAGCUUCCUGGAAGGGAUGAAGGUCUCCAAAAUAAUAUUUAAAGAACAAAUCCUUGAAUGAGAAAUUGAGAAUGGUGUGGCAAUCUAGGUUUUGUCUAUAGGAGACCCUUUUUAGAGAAUAAAGUCUCUCAACAAUCUAUCUCCAAUCUCUUCAAUAUCUCUAACCCUCAAGGGGUUAUAAGGGAGGUAUUUAUAGGCAAAAGUUUGAAAAGUUUUGAUUUUGGAAGGUUUCUCAAUUGAAAUUUUGUGAAAAACUUGGUAGAAUCAACAUGAUUGCUCGAGCCAACUCACCCAUCGCUUGAGCGCCUCAAGCACUUGAGUGGUAUGGCUCACUUGAGCGGUCUUAAGCGCUUGAGUAGUCUUUAGUGCUUGAGCGCUCUAGGCCACUUGAGCAGUCUUGCUCUCUUUCAAAAAUCAAUUUUAAAAUCUUUUUAAGUUCAAAACAAAAUUGAUGCUCUUUAAUACCUCAACAUAGCCUAAUUAACAUAAGUCAAGCCUCUUUAAACAUGUGACUUCUCAAUUGGACAAACAACAACCCUUGAUCUUCAAUGAAGAGUAAGUCACUAACUAGAAAGACUUCUAUGACCAAACAUUACAAAGAACAAAAUUGCCAACAUAUAGGAAGGACUUACUGUCUUAACAAUCUCUCCCUUUGACAAUUUUGUGACAAAAAAUUGUUACAUAAACCCACUUGAACUCUGAUAACGGAGUUUACAUAACACACUUUAAUGCUCAAUUAAAACUAAAUUAAGGGAAAGCUUUGUAUUAAUUUAUAGUACUUAUAUUUCAACCCCGUAACCUACACACAUACAAAAAACUAUACUAAAGGUAAAGUAGUGUGAGGAAUAAAGUAAUGUUGAGAAAACAAAACAGGAUAGUUGGAGGUUUUGCUUGAUGACUUAUGAAAACAUGAAAAUGGAACAGAUUUUUGUAGAGACACUGAGGCACAAAGCAAAGCUUGAGAGGAAUAUAGAUACACACAAAUCAGGAAAACACAAUAGAAGCUUGAUAAGACACAAUAGAUCAAUAAUAAUGCUUAGAAGUCUAUCUCCAACCAGAAAAUGGGUAGUGAAAACCAUGGAAAGAAACUGCUAUGACUUAGAAUAGUUCUAGAGUGAUAAUUAGUUUAAACAUAAAUAUCUUAUAAGAAACAUUUGUGUCAAGUAUCUCUUUAAACCAUCUAAGUUAUGUUUUCAUCGGUUGAUAUGGUUUUCUCCAAUUUCUCAAGUUUAAUUUCCUUUAAUAUUUCAAUAAUUUCCCUUAAUGGAUGAAUGAAUGAAUGAAUUGAAUUAAAGAAUUCAAAAUUUUUAACUCAUAGUAACUUCCCUUAAAUUACAAUCAAUACAAUAAUUCAAAUCAAGUAUACAAAAACAUAAAUAAUAGAACAUUUAUGCAUUAGGUGGCGGUAGAGGGAUAGAGCUUGAAGCAUCGUGAGAAUGGGUACAAGAAAAGAUGUAGUUAAGUUAUCCCUAAAUCUCUCGGAGUUGGAGAUCCUAAGAGUCCAUCUUCUGAUGAAGUCGGGCCAUGGAAUUUAGAGCCUCAUGGGCGUUGGGUCUACAAAAGUAAAAGCCUUGUGUGUAGCUCGGGAAGAACUAACACAACCUCAACUUUAGAGUGAGUCCUCGGAGCAGACUCUAAAUAGUCUGCCUCUAGAAUUCCACCAUGCUCCAUAGCUCGAAGCUCAUCCUCCUAGACAACUACCUUUGCAUGCUGGCCUACAUCAUGUGGUUCAUAAGUUGGAAGAGCCAUCAAACUAUAUACAUGAAUGUAGUGCUUGGGCUAGGAACUCCCAUCUAAAAAGGCAUGGGUAGCCUAGACCCCUAGUGUAGGAUCAAUCUUAAAUCCCACAUCCUCGAGUAUCCGCGUCAUGAGGAGGGUAAAAGGGAAAGUGCCUCCUCUAAAGGAUAAACCACGAAGGGGAAUGAUUGUAUCCAGGAUGACUUAGCCAAUGUCAAAUUGUUGGCUUGAGAGAAUGACGUGAAUAAAGUGAGCAGAUGGUCAAUGGAUUUGGGUGCAGUGUGUAAAUGGGUAGAAGGAGUAAGUGAAGAAUGUGGCAAACAACCAUGUUAGCUUGAAGAAGCCAACAAUCAAGAUAUAAGAAGGAAAGGGGCAAAGACCCCCAUAAAGAGAAGUCAGAAUGGUGUCAAGUUUCUCUCGGGUGAGAGCCUGAACCUCUAGGGAAAAUGAAGAAAUGAGAGCCUCAAUUUGCGACAUGCUAAGGACACAUUGAAUGUAAUGGGAGAAAAUAAGGAAAAAUUGACCAUGCAUGGUCAAUUGAAAGGUGACUCCGACCACAAUAUAAUGCAUGUUCUCAUAGAACAUGUGAACAAGAUGGGGAUAGGAAGUCCCCUAGAGAGAAAACAAAGUCUCCUAACUUUACUCUUGAAUGAUGAUAGGGAAGACAGUGUCCUGAAAAGCUUAGAGGUUAAUGGCAUGCUCAGGCUCGACACAUUGAUAUGUGAAAGAAGCGUAAUAAUGGUCUCGUGCCACCUGGCAGUGAAAACGCUCAACCGAAAGUGCAUCUAGGUUAAAAAGACCCUGGAGUGGGAUGCCCUAGACGGUUUCAGUGACCUAGGAAAGGUCACCUCCCUCUGACAUCUAUGACUAGCCAUAUCUAAGGUAUAUAAUAUGAAAAAACAAAAGCUAAAGAAGAACUAAAGAAAAUCCAAAGAAAAGCUAAACCACUAAAAAUGUUAAACUCAAUGCGUCGAACAAUACUAUACAAAUGGAAAUGAAAAAUAUGAAGUGAACUGACCUCAGAAGACAAAAGGACAGUAACCUAGAGGGCUCGAAGAUGAAUAGGAAAGUUUGAAAUGAAUAUGGCGUGCUGGAUGACCUUUAUAUAGCCUAUAGGAGUGCUUGAUGCAGAUUAGCACUCGAGCGUCAUGACUAACUUAAAUCAAAGUAUUUAUUACUAUCAAAAUAUUUUAAAAGUUUCAAAGGAAGUAUUCAAUUUAGAACCUUUUUAGAAAUUUUUUUGAAAGAAACAAAAAUAAAACGUGAAAUAUUAUGUGUUAAAGGUGUUAGAAGACAAUAUUGUCUAAUCCAAAGCCUUACACAUUCCACAAAAAAAAAAAAGGAAAAAGAGAGAUAUUAUAUAAGAUUUUGAUCACAUCUAAUAGAAACUAAUAUUUAGCAACAUAUCACCAAGCACUAUCUUAUCAGAAAGCUCUAACAUGUUGGAAAUUUAUGUAAGGUUCCAUAACAACUAACAACUUUUUCUGACGACUUGGCAAUGGACCAUUUGCACUUUAACUACAUUAUUGAAUUUAAAUCAUAUUAGAAUAGUAAUUGACUUCUCUUUUGUGAGGCUACAUAUCUUGUAGGAUGGGAUAGGUGAUUCAUUUCAUAUAUGAAAUUUACUUAAUUUAGUAAUGCAUCCAAGUUCAUUAUGAAUAUAAUGGUACCACAACUUUUUGAAUAUUUGUAAUCUGUAAUCUUUGUUUCAACUUCUCAAGUCUAGUCAUUUUAUCGGCAUAACUAGUUUGCUUCAAUUAUCUCUCAACUUUAUUAUAAAACUAAGGGAAAUGAUUAUCACGCAUUUUAUAUUAACUUAACCAAACAUCUUUAUAUAUCUUACAUAUAUAUAUAUAUUGUAAAUUUAGGAAAAUUUCAUCCAUUAGCCAUAGUAAGUAAGAAUCAAAUAUGGGAUAUGUAAGCCAAUGGUGAUAUUGAUGGCGUCAAAUCAAUGACAUAGUAGAAACGUGGAUUGUCUAUUUUCAAACCUUUAUAUUUUCAUCCAAUAGUAAAAAGGUUUAGGCAUCACUUGAAAAGUAGUUUGUUUUUUACCUUGGACUAUGAUUUAUGAAUAAAGUUCUUCUGUUGUAUACCUUUUGUGAUGCCCCAAACCUAAUUUAGGGGUAAAAAUAAUAAUUUAGAAACAAAUAAAUAAAAAUUUAAAUAAAUUUAAUUAAGGUAAAAAUGUAUUUUCGUAUUUAAAAUUCCUAGGGAUCAAUUAUAUAUUUCUUGUCUUCUCUAUUCAAAAAACCCUAUUACACAAAAAUCAAAGAUCAGAGAACAUAGGACAACGUAGGGUUGAAGAUUUGGAGGUUUAGGGUUGAAGAUUAGUUUUCCAGGUAAGAUUCUAACCCUUAAAUUAGUAUUUUAGAUUCGUUAAUUAGUUUGAACACUUUAGAUAUUCUUUGAAAAAUCUGAAUCCACGUUAGGGUUUGUUAAUUUAAUUUUUAAAUAAAAAAGAUUGAAAAUUUAUGAACAUAAGUAGAGUUAUUAUUAAAGAUUGAAAAUUUUUGAAUAUUUGAAUUAAAAAUCUAGAAAAAAAAAAAGAAAAUAAAUUAUAGAUUUGGAUGUGGAAAAAAAUUAAUAUUAAUAAAUAAAUAAAACCUAUGAGUAUGGAGGUAGAAAAAUAUGAAAGUUGAAAGCAAAGAAAAAAAAAAGGAAUAAGGUUUUGUGGUUGUAUAUGCCUCCUUAGUGGAAAAAAAAUACAAGGUUGCUUGCAAUAGGAUAUGAUAAAGAGAGAGAGAUAAAUGCUUCGAUAUUGAUUUUUGUGGGGAAAAAAAGAUUGGGUAAUGCAGGAGAGAAAUAGGUAGCAUUUGUAGAGUUGGUGGAGUUGUUGUAAAAGCUCGUAGGGGUAAUUGUUAGGAAACAUUAGGACUUGAAAUAAUAAUAAUUGCUUCUAGUAAAAGUUUUAAUUUAGUUUAAGUAUAUAAAAGAAAUAGAUGAUUAGAAAAAGAUUUGGAAGGAAUAUGAAUUCAUAAAAUUUCGAAAUUUACUAAUUUAGAUUAUUAUUGUUUUGGAAGUUGAAUAUAAUAUAGGUGAUAAUAUUAUUAAUAUAGGAAAUGAUUAAGAUUCUCAAACCUACAAUUUUAGAUAAAUAGUUAAUAGUAAUAGAUGAUUUUUUAUUUUUUUUAUUUUUUAUUUUUUAUGUUAUGUUAAGUGAAUAAUGGAUUCUUUGAUUAAUUCUCUAAGGUUUCUAAGUGCUUCUUUAAGGUAAGGGAUAUUAAUACUGAUUUUGUAAAUGAAAAUAUUUCUUUUUAUAAGUUAUUUUAAAUUAUGAAAAAUUUUAUUAUUAUUUAUGCAUGGAUCAAAUAUAUAUUUUUUCAUGAGAAACAUGUUUAGGCAAUUUCUUUGUUUAUAAAUAAAUAAAUAAAAAAUGAGAACCUUGGAAAUAUAAUGUUUUGUUUUGUAAGUUUAAAAUAAUGAAAUAAAGUUUUUGACUCUGGUUUAUAUGACCUUAGUUAAUGGGUUAUAAUUGUUGACAUUUUUAGCUCCAAUCAACAAUUAUAAUUGUUGACAUUUUCAGCUCCAAUCAACGAUUAUAAUUGUUGAGAUUUUCAACCCUAGCCAAUGGGUUAUAAUAGUUGACCUUAUAGCCCUAGUCAACAGAUAUAAUUGUCAACCUUUGGUUUUGCCCAUCUUAAAAAGAACAAAUUUAAGGCUAGCCAUUUAUUUGUAAAGUCCCACCUAACUAAGUACCAUUUGUUAUUUAAUAACCAGAGUAAAGAUAUUUUGAAUGUAUUUGAUAUGAAAUUGUUUUGAUAUAAAUAUGAAAAUGUUUGGUUGAAAGUUCAAAUGUUUAAUGCAUGUUGAACUCAAAAGUUUUAUUAAAAUGAUUAUAUGUUAUAUAUCCUAUUUGUAAGCUUGAUCCAUGAAACUGUAUUAAUAUUCCUUAUUGGACUUUGAGCUCAUUCCCCUUUGUUGAGAAUUUUUUUGGUAUUCUCAGUUUGGGCAAGGAGUGAUGACUGGGUUGGGGAAUUUUCUUUGCUAUGAUUUUGGUUCAAUCUUUAUUUUGGACAUUGUUUAGAUGUUAAAAUUUAAUUCCCAUUUAAAUUAUUUGAGUUUGGAGUUAUUUGGACGAUAACACUUUGAUUGAUGUGUUAGUUUUAAAGUUGAGAAUUGAAAAUUAUAGAAUUUAUUUAUCUUACUACUUUGAACAGAAAUUUAGUAAUUGGAGAUCAUCCAGUUACAAGAUGAAUAUUUGUGUCAUUUCCACUUUGAGAGUUCAGACUUGGGGUGUGAAAUGACCGUUAUGCCCUUGGAGUGGGUAUAUUGUUUAUUUGAAUUUAAUGGUCCCCGAACUCCUUAAUUACUCAUAACUUUAUAUCACCUUCUCAAAGUUAAGUUGUUUUACAACUAUUAUCUAGCUACUUUUCUCUACUAUGACAACUUUAUUACAUAGUGAUUAAUUGAAAGAAUCUACAUGUUUUAUUUCAUAGGAUAGUUGAUUUUUUUACUCAAUGAAUCUUGCUUUUAUUAUUGAAAUUUCAAAUCAUUGUAGUCCAACAAUUUCCUAUCCAUUGGUAAUUUCAUAUUACAUUUCCAAAGUCUAAUCAUUUAAAAACACUUGUAGUUAAUAUAUUGGCAAUUGCAUUGUGGGAAGUUGUUCACUUGAUUUUAAUGUUGAAACUUUCAAAUUAUUGUAGUCCAACAAUUCCCUAUCCAUUGGUAAUUUCAUAUCACAUUUUCAAAUUAUAAUCAUUUACAAAUACUUGUAUAUAGUAUAUUUGGUGAUUGUAGAGUGGAAAGUUGAUCGUUUUCAUGAAGACCUCUAAAAUAUAAAUUUUUUUCAUUCCAUUUAAUAAAGAAUUUCAUUAAUUGAACAUAUAUGUUUUUUUUAGCUGGAAAGUAGAGGCCACAUUAUACGAGGCCUUAGGUGACAAUACUAGGUGAGGGUUUUUUUUUUAAUUUAUUUAUUAUGAAAUAUAAAUAAUAUUAUUUAUUGUAUAAUAAAGAUUAUUAUAAUAUAUUUUUUAUAGAUGAAAAAAAUAUUAAUUGAGUUUUAUUUAUUUUUUAAUAAUUGUUUUCAAUAAAUAACUUAUUUGUAAAAAGAAAACUAUAAAAUAUAUGCAUUUGAAAAAUAUUUAAUUUUUAUUUGAUUUAGUAUCAAUUAAUAUUUGUAAUAUUUUUUAAUAUUAUAGAAGUUAACAUACUCAAUCAAGAUAUUCAAGAUCAAGAGAACAUUUGAGAUUGAAUUAAUUUCUUUAUUGUUUAUGUUUUAGAAAAUUUUUAUAUCCAUUACAAAUUUUCUAUUGUUUAUUUUUCAUUCAAUUUUUGCAUUUUGUAAUAGAUAUUAAAACGAAUUUUUUUUCCUAUAUGUUAAAAAAAUAUUUCAAUGUCUUUAAAAAUAAAAUAUUGCAGUAAAAUCAAAAUUACAUUGUGAAACUUUAAGCGAAUGUUUUAUACUUAAGAAGUGCCAAUUAAAGUAAGCAUGCAUCUACAAUUGUAAUUUAGAUGUCAUACUGAAACAAUAGUUCUCUUCGACUAUAUCAUAAAAUUUGGUUCGAAUUACUUUAAGUCAUCUUGUAGAUUUUCAAGUUCUAAUGAUAUGCAUCAAGUAUGUGCAACAUACUUGAUAUAACUAAUAUUUUCUUAAGUAAUUGGACACUUUUUUUCUAUAAAUUUACUUGAUUAUCAAUGAAUACUUUUAUGUAGGGUAUUGAUAUAAUUCGAUAAAUAUUUUAAAAUAGUAUUAGAAUAGCUUUGCUCUUUCCCAAUUAACAAAUUUACCAAAUUAACUUAUAUAUAUUUGUUUAUUUGAAUUUACUGGUAUUUGACUCAAAUUGUUAUUAUUUUUAAAAUUAUAGGAAAACCAUUAUUUAUAGAGUUUAAUUAUAUUUUGGUAAAUUAUCUUUUUAAGUUUGACUAGGAUUAGGAAACUAUUAAUUUAAGAUUAAUCCAUAAGGCUCUAUAAAUUUGCAGUUUUAUAUAGGAUUUAAAAAAAGAAAGAAAAAGUAAGAAAAAGUGAAGAGAGAUAGGCAAAGAGUGCAUUGGGUUUUAGAUAGAGAAAGAUUGAGAGAGUUUUGAUUACUACUAAAAAAGAACAUAUUUUAGAUAGUAAUUCUCAUGAGUUUCGCAUCUUUUGAGCAUUAAUUAUGCCUAAAAAUGCUCAAUUAACAUGUUGUUGCCCUUGCAAAAGUUACUAACAAGUUUUAUAAAGUUUUGGAGUCAUUUCAAGUUAUGAUUUUAAUAAAUUGGUGACGAAAGAAAUGAAUUGAUUUGAAGAAGGCAAAUAAUAUUGAUGAUGAUCAAAUGCAUAAUGAAAUAAGAAAUAUAAUUAGUUUGAUCGGGAUUUGCUGCUAAUUUGGAGGUAGUUAAGGUGGAGUCAAAAGAAGAAAAUGGAAGAAAUGACAAAAAGGAGCUUAAAAACCAAAUGUUGCAGAUUUGUAUGAUCAUGCAAAAAUUUUACAUGACUAUGCGAAAUGGAUUAGAGAAGGAAAAUUGACUAUAGUAUAAGGAGGAUGCUUAAGUUGAUUUCGCAUGAACAUGAGAAAAUUUCGCAUGAACAUGCGAAAAUUUUGAACAAUCAUGCGAAAUGGUCCAGAAAGCUCUCUAAUGUUGUUGUUGCUCCACUAAUUUCGCACCACCAUGCGAAAUCGAUAUUUUCAUGCAAAAUGGCUGAAGCUCAUGUGAAAUCAUGAUUUUGAGGCUAAACUCCAGAUUUGUGAAUUUGGAAGGCUUUAUAAGACCAAUGAGAGGUUGCCAAGUGUUCACUUGACCUUGGCCUAUAAAUAGAAACUUGAAUUUCCCAUGUAAAGAGCUUUGUGAUACUUUUAAUUUUAGAUUUUUCUAGAAACUCUUUUUCUAAAUAGAAUUCUAUAUUUUCUUUAAUUUUCCCUCAUUUUCUCAUUAGCCAAACAUGCCUAGUGAGACCAAAUCUCCAAGUAUGAGUGGCUAAAUUUCGUUUUUCUCAAAGGAAGGAGGAUCUAGAGGCAAGAUCUAUGGUGAAUUAUAGAAAUGAGUUUUAAUUGCAAAUGUAAUUUGAUCCAAUUGAUUGAUUAAUUGAAAUUUGAGGAUUUCUCUCUUCAAAUUGUCUUGAAUGACUAUUACAUUGCAAACUAGGUAGAUUCAUUAAAUUCUUAAAGCUAGAUUUAAUGAGACUGAAUAGUUGCAUUGUAUGAAUCAUUGGAAGAUGAUUUAAGAUGAAUUGAAUAUAUAAUUUAAAUUGAUCUCUUGGAUUAAAUAACCUAAUUUGAAGAGAAAUUAGGUUUAGACUUAAAGGUAAAUCCAAAAUCGGUUUAGAUAAGAAUUUAGGUUUUCAAUAUAACUUGAUGAAAAAUAAAUCUCAACAUCUAUUCACUAUGGAAAUUGUUUUCUAAAAAAUAUUAACUCCGAGAAUUCCUUUUCCUUAUCAAUUUUCUUAUAUUCUACAUUAUAUUGUUCUUUUCAAUUAGAAAUCAUUGUUAUUUUGAUUUUUCAUGAAUUGUCAAAUCAAUUUCACUUGACCACAAUCAUUUCUUUUCCUUCCAUUUAAACCUUAAUUAUCGAGAAUAAUCCAUCCCAAUGGAAGACACCUAAGACCACUAUACUACCGUAGCUUUUGCUAAAAAACCUUUUUGAUCGGGCAAGAGUUACCUUAGCAUAGUUGAAUUAUGUUAUAAUUUUUUUUAUCCAAUAAACAACAAAAAAAUCAAUCGAUCAAGUUUGCAUUGUGUAUUCUUGAAUUUUAUUAAUAAAUUUAAUCCCCCUUUUUGAAGCGAUUACACCAAACCAAGUAAAUAUUUUAUAUACUUCAUUUGCUUUAUUUUUUCUAUUAAGUUUAGGUGUUGCAAUUUUCAAGAGUCAUGGUGAGAAGAUUGUGGGAAAAAUUAUUUUAAGGAUGGAGUCGAACAUAAAAUAUGAAAUUGAGUCCUUUGAUGGAAAUAAUAAUUUUAAUAUUUGAUAAAGUAUUAUUAAAGAUGUUUUGAUACAACAAAGACUUCUCAAAGCAUUACAAGGCAAAAAAACUAGAGAGCAUGACAAAUAAAGAAAUGAAAGAAUUAGAAGCAAGAGUUGUAAGUACUAUUUGUUUAAGUCUUAAAAAUGAAAUACAUUGUUUUGAAUGAAAAAUAUUCUUUCAGGGGUGUCAAUUGCUCUUUUAGAGACCAAAAAUAUUAAGCAAUCAAGUAGUUCAUCUCAUAUUGGACAAACUGUUAUGAUGAAUUCUAAACCACAUCAUCAUAGGAGUAAAUCGAAAGAAAAGUAUCUGAUAGGAGGAUGAUCAUUCCAUUCACAUUUAUGGAGGAAUAUGAAGUAUUAUUACUAUGAAAAAAAAAACAUAUCAGGAGAUAUUGUAAAGAAUUGAUGAAGUACCUAGAAGAAAUGAAAAUUUUUAAAUCCCAAGAGACUUCAAAUUCUACUAAUAUUGUUGAUGAAAAUUUUGAAAUAUUGUAGUAAAUUAAAAGUUACAUUAUGGGACUUUUAGUGAGUGUUUUGUGUUGAAGAAAGGCUAAUUAAAGUAAACAUGCAUCUAAAAUUAUAAUUUAGAUGUUGUACUCAAAUAGUUGCUCUCCUCGAUUAUAUCAUAAAAUUUGGUUUGAAGUAGUCUAAGUCAUCUAAUAAUUUUCUAGUUCCAAUUACAUGCAUCAAACAUGUGUGUUAGGAAGUGUUGCAAAUUACUAAUUAGUAUAGAUCCCUUUUUUUUUUUAAAGAAUAUUGUAUUGAAUAUUUCUAGGUUGAUAUAUUAUUGUAAUAUUAGACUUCCUUAUAGAAUAAGGAAUGUUGUUGAAAAUAUCCCUAUAAAUAUUCUAGUUCAUAAGGGGAAAAAGUUAUGAGAUGAAGAUGGACCCAUAAAGACUAUACAAGGUGGAUAGAGAUGUGAGGAAGAACAGGAGGUACCCGGUGGAGCGAGAGGGCUCGUGGUAAGGUAUAGGUACGAAGAGUGAGGAAACAUGGGAUGUUUUGGGAACCCAAUAGUUAUAUCUAGUUAUAUCAUCUAUAAGUUCUAGUUCUGUCCUUUGCAUUGUUCUCUAUUUUAUAGUGGAAUGAUUCUCUCUUAUCUGUGGAUGUAGGCAUGGUUUUCGAACCACGUUAAAACCUUAUGUACCGUUUGUGUCGAAUUUUUUUAUCUUUAUUUUCUUGAUUAAUGAAGUUUGCAUCAAAGCUUCCGUCAACGGAACAAACUUGUAUCAAAGCUUGGGUUAAAGAUUUCUGGAAGAGUAAAAGAUCACAAAGCACACAAGAUGAAACCAAAAGGAUUUUUUAGUGAAAAUGGAGUCGAUUGCUCUCUUGUGGUGAUAUGAUAUAAAAAGUUUGUCUCAUGGAAAGUUUGAAGAUUGACUUCAUGGAAUUUGGUCCAAAAUGGAGAUUGUUAAUAAGUGUCCCAAAUUCCUAAUUAGUAUAGAUUUUUUUUUUUUUUGUAAAGAAUAUUGUAUAGAAUAUUUCUAGGUUGAUAUAUUAUUGUAAUAUUAGACUUUCUUAUAGAAUAAGGAAGGUUGUUGAAAAUAUCUUUAUAAAUAUUCUAGGUCAUGAGGAAAAAAAGUUAUGAGAUGAAGAUGGGCCUGUAAAAACUAUAUGAGGUGGAUAGAGAUGUGAGGAAGAACGGGAGGUACUCAAUGGAAUGAGAGGGCUCGUGGUAGGGUAUGGAUACAAAGAGUGGGGAAAUAUGGGAUGUUUUGGGAACCUAAUAGUUGUAUCUGGUUCUGUCAUCUAUAAUGUUCUAGUUACGUCCUCUAUAAUGCUCUCUAUUGUAUAGUGGAAUGAUUCUCUUUCAUCCAUGGACGUAAGCAUGGUUGUCGAACCACGUUAAAACCUCAUGUACUGUUUGUGUUAUUAUUCUUUAAAUUUUUUAAUAUUUGUUUCUUGAUUAAUGAUGUGUGCAUCAAAGCUUCCACCUACAUAACAAACUGGUAUCAGAGCUUGGGUUGAAGAUUUUUGGAAUAGUAAAAGAUCACAAAGCACACAAGAUGAAAACAAAAGGAAUUUUUAGUGAAUGUGGAGUCAAUUGUUUUCUCGUGGUGAUAUGAUACAAAAAGUUUGUGUCAUGGAGGGUUUAAUGAUUGACUCCGUGAAAUUUGGUCCAAGGUAGAGAUUGUUAGGAAGUGUCCCAAAUUCCUAAUUAAUAUAAAUUCCUCUUUGUAAAGAAUAUUGUAUAGAAUAUUUCUAGGUUGAUAUAUUAUUGUAAUAUUAGACUUCCUUAUAGAAUAAAGAAGGUUGUUGGAAAUAUUUUCAUAAAUAUUUUAAGUCAUGAGGGAAAAAAGUUAUGAGAUGAAGAUGGGCCUAUAAAGACCAUACGAGAUGGAUAGAGAUGUGAGGAAGAAUCGAAGGUACCCAGUGGAGCGAGAGGGCUCAUGGUAGGACAUGAAUAUGAAGAGUGGGGAAACAUGGGAUGUUUUGGGAACCCAAUAGUUGUAUCUAGUUCUGUCAUCUAUAAUGUUCUAAUUCUGUCAUCUAUAAUGUUCUGGUUUUGUCCUCUGUAAUGUUCUUUAUUGUAUAGUGGAAUUAUUCUCCCUCAUCUGUGUAGGCAAGUUGUUAAACCACGUUAAAACCUCGAAUACCAUUUGUGUUGAUUUUUUUUUAGUUUUGUGUUCUUGAUUAACAAUGCUUGCAUCAAAGCUUCUACCAACGUAACAAUGUGCAACAUAUUUGAUAUAACUUAUAUUUUCUUAAGUAAUUGAACACUUUUUUUCUAUAAAUUUACUUGAUUAUCAAUGAAUACCUACAUAUGCGGUAUUGACAUAGUUUGAUAAAUAUUUUAAAAUAGUAUUAGAAUGGCUUUUCUUUUUCCCAAUUAAAAAAUUUAUCAAAUAUAUACAUACACACACACACACACAAUACUCAUUAGUAUGUCUUUUAUGAAAAAACUAUAUUUGUUUAUUUGAAUUUAGUAGCCAUUUAACUCCUUAGUUACUCAUAAACUUUAUAUCACCUUCUUAAAGUCAAGUCAUUUACAAUUAUUUCUAUCUAGCCUUCUCCAUUAUGACAACUUUAUAAGAUAGUGAUUGACUGGAAAAAUCUACAUGCCUUUGUUGAUAGGAUAAUUGUUUUUCUUUUUUUCGUAUUCAAAGAAUCUUGCUUUUGUUAUUGAGACUUUCAAAUCCUUUAUGUCUAGUGGUCUUAUAAUUCCCUAUUCAUUGGUCUUUCAUAUUACCAAUCAUUUUGCAAAUGAGUUAAUUUCAUUCACAUCCUCUGAGAUUUGAUGUAAAUUCGCUUAGUUACCAAUGAUUUCAAAUUUCAUUAAUUAGUACCCCUAUAGAUGUAAUUUGUGUACAAAAUUUAUUUUUUAAAAGAAUUUAGGUAAAAAUAUUUUAGGUUUAUGUCUUUAACAAUUCUCUAAAAUAAAUUUUACUUGCUAAAAAAUAACUUAUAUAGAUAGAAUACAUCUACAGGAGUUCUAACUGACGAAAUUUAAAACUAAUGGUGGUUUAGUGUAUUUAAACUAAACAUUAAGAAGGGUGACUGAAAUUAACCCUCUAGGUAUAUAUGUUUAACAAAAUUUUUAUUGUUUAUUUUUCAUUUAAUGUUUGCAUUUUUCAAUAAACAUUGAAAAGGAAUUGUUUUUCCAUAUGUUAACAAAAAGAAAUUUGAGCACCUAUAAAAAUGAAAUCUUGUAGUAAAAUUGAAGUUACAUUAUCAAACUUUUAACGAGUGUUUAUGUUUAGAAAGGCCAAUUAAAGCAAGCAUGCAUCUAGAAAUUAUAACUUAGAUGCAUCAAACAUGAGCAACAUAUUUGAUAUAACUAAUAGUUUCUUAAGUAACUAAACACUUCUUUUUCUAUAAAUUUACUUGAUUAUCGAUGAAUACUUACAUAUAUUUACAUAGUUUGAUAAAUAUUUUAAAAUAAUAUUAGAAUAACUUUUUUUUUCUCAAUUAUAUUAGAAAAUAAUAUAAAGUUACUUAUAAACUUUAUAUCAUUUUCUCAAAGUCAAGUCAUUUACAAUUAUUUCUAUUUAGCCUUCUCCAUUAGGACAACUUUUAUAUGAUAGUCGUUGAUUGGAAGAAUCUACAUGUCUUUUUUGAUAGGAUAGUUGUUUUUAUUUUUUUUAUUUUUUUUAUUCCAAAAAUUUGCUUCUAUCAUUGAAACUUUCAAAUCUUUUAUGUAUAUUACCAAUCAUUUUACAAGUGAGUUAAUUUCACUUAGGGUAGAUAUACUUAGCCACACCCCUAUAGAUGUAAUUUGUGUUUAAAUUUUAUUUUUUAUUCAGGUAAAAAUAUCUUAGGUAUAUGUGUUCAACAAUUCUCUAAAAAAUAAAUUUUCUUAUCUAAAAGUUUAUAUAGACAAAAUACAUCUGUAGAAGUCCUAACUAAUGAAAUUUAAAAUCAAUGGUUGUUUAGUGUAUUUACAUUAAACCUUAUGGGGUAUGAUUGAAAUUAACUCUCUUACAAGCACUUGUAGCUAAUAUGUUUGUAGUUGUAGUGUUGGAAAUUGAUCAUUUUCUUGAAGGCCUCUAAGAUAUUGGAAAUAUUGCCAUAGUUUUAGACUUUUUUUUAUUACACCUAAUAAAAAAUAUUAUUAAUUUAACAUAUAUAUUCUUGACUUAAAAGUAAAGUCUCUCCAUAUUGUAUAAGCCCUUAGGUGACAAUAUUAGGUGAAGUUUUUCUUUCGUUUAUUAAAAAAUAUAAAUAAUUUAUUAUUGUAUGAUAAAAUUUUAUGUAAUAUAUUUUUAUAGAUGUAAAAUUAUUAAUUGGGUUUUAUUUUAUUUUUUUACUAAAUUGUCAUUUCAAUAUAUAAAACUUAUUUGUAAAAAGACAAUUAUAAACUAUAUGAAAUUGAAAAACAUUUAGUUUUUUUAUUUAAUUUAUAAUUUUGUUUGGAUUAAUAAUUGAUAUUUGUAAGAUUUUUUAAUAUUAAAAAAAGUUAGCAUACUUAAGAAAGAUAUUCAAGAUCGGGAGUGUUUGAUAUUGGAUUAAUUUCCUUAUUUUCUCUAUUUUAAUAAAUUUUCAUGUCCAUUACAAAAUUUUUGUUGUUUAUAUUUUACUUCAAUAUUUUUAUUUUGUAAUAGACAUUUGAAAAGAUUUUUUCCUACAUGUUAAAAAAAAAAAAUGAACACUCCUAAAAAAGAAAUAUUGCAAUAAAAUUAAAGUUUACACUGUAGGACUAUUAGCAAGUGCUAUAUACUUAAAAUAGACCAAUUAAAGUAGAAAUACUUCUAAAAUUUUAAUUUAGGUAACAAUAAUAUAAAAAGAUAAUAUUUUUGAAACAAUAGUUCUCUUGGAGUUUUGGGUACGAUGGACUAGACUUUAUGUAACAAUAGAUAUAUGAACUUUCCAUUAACAUCUUGAGAGACAUGAUGAGGAGCAAAGUCAUCCUAGAAGGUACCAUAGAGGUACCUUAGCUCCAUUCAUCUAGACUACAUAAUGUUUAAAGAUCAAAUUCAAUGACUAGAUUUCAAAAAUCAAUAUAAGCUUUCUCAUAUUCUACUCUAUAUAAGACAAUGGUAUGAUACAUCUCUUGUGUCGUAGAAUGCACCAUGAAAACCUUAUCAUUUUAACAUCAGUUUGAAACUUAAAAGUCACUUAGCACAUUCUAGUUAUUAAUGUAAGAACAUUAAAAGAAAAUAUAAAAAAAGUUACUUUAUUCUUGUGAUUUUGAUCUAGGACUUUUAAUGAUAUUAAAAAAAAAAAAAAAAAACAGAAAAAUAAAUGGAAAUAAAAUCAACAAAUUAAACAAUUGAAUUAAGUUAGUUUAAUUUUUGCAUCGUUAAAUGGGUAAAUAAAGACUCUUAGAUUUGAUAUUAAUAUGAACAUCAUGACUUUAGUGAAUCUUACAAGAAAAUUUUAGUUUGAAAGACUUCAUUCAUUAAACGUGUGGCACAUAUUAAAGUAAAACUAAGUCUUCUCUAUAAUUUGUACCUAUCAUAGUUUCUUUCCUCAUAAAUAGCCUUUUUUGAAUAUAAUAUAGACUUCAACAUGUAUGGUGGGGCCGAUCAAACUACUAGUCAAGACAACUCAUGGGCAACAACGAUGUACCAACUAUAUUAAAUACUCUUCAUCUAUUUGCAUAUCAAGAGUAAUUUAGUAGUGUCUUUCUUAUGUACCUCGUAUCUAGACUUUCAAUGGAGAGUUCUUCAUCUAAAAAUUUGACUUGGGUUUUCAUAUUAGUUUUGGUUUAGACAUAUGGAUGCAAAGGUUGCAUCAAAGAAGAGAAGUAGGCUAAAUCAUCUUACAAAUUUUCAAGUUCAAAUUAGAUGCACCAAACAUAUGCAAUAUAUUUGAUAUAACUAAUAUUUUCUUAAGUAAUUGAAUACAAUUUUUUUUAUUUUAUAAAUUUACUUGAUUAUUAAUGAAUAACUACUUGUAUGAUAUUGACACAACUUGAUAAAACUUUUAAAAUAAUAUUAGAAUAACUUUGCUAAAAAAAAGUAAAAAUAAAAAUAAAAAUAUGUCUAUAUAUAUAAAAUUAAAUAAAAUUAAAAAUUAAAAAAGAAUAUAUAUAUAUAUAUAUAUAUUGUGUGUGUGUGUGUGUGUGCAUGGUCCCACAACUCAUUAGCUACUCAUAAGCUUUAUAUCACUUUCUCAAAGUCAAGUCAUUUUGUAAUUAUUUCUAUCUAGCCUUCUCCAUUACGACAACUGUAUAAGAUAUUGAUGGGUUGGAAAAAUCUUCAUGUCUUUUUUAAUAAGAUAGUUUUAUUAUUAUUAUUAUUAUUAUUAUUAUUAUUAUUAUUCAAAGAAUUUGAUUUUAUUAUUGAAACUUUCAAAUCCUUUAUGCCUAGUGGUCCUACAAUUCCCUAUUCAUUGGUAUUUCAUAUUACCAAUCAUUUUACAAAUAAGUUUAUUUCACCCGGUAAAUAUACUUAACUACUAAUGGUUUCAAAUUUAAUUGAUUAACACACUUAUAGAUGUAAUUUGUUUUUAAAUUUUAUUUUUUUAGAAGAAUUGUAGGUAAAAAUAUUUUAGGAAUAUGCGUUCAAUAAUUCUCUAAAAACAAUUUAUAUAGAUGGAAUACAUUCAUGGAAGUUCCAACUAAUGAAAUUUAAAACCAACGACGAUUUAAUGUAUUCUCACUAAAUCUUAGGGGAGGUGUACUAAAACUAGCCUUUUUACAAAUAUUUGUAGCUAGUAUAUUUGUAGUUAUGGUGUUGGAAGUUGAUCAUUUUCUUAAAGGCCUCUAUGAUAUUGGAAAUAUCGCCAAAGUUUUGAACUUUUUGUUUCAUCUAAAAAAAAUAUCAUUAAUUUAAUAUAUAUACUCUUUGCUUGAAAGUAUAGUUUCUUCAUAUAGUAUGAAGUUGUAGCUAGGUGACAAUAUUAGGUGAAAUUUUUUUGGUUUACUACAAAAUAUAAAUAAUAUAUUUAUUAUAUGAUAAAAUUUUGUAAAAUAUAUUAUUAUAGAUGCAAAAUUAUUAAUGGAGUUUUAUUUUUUACUAAAUUAUCAUUUCAAUAAUAAGAACUUAUUUGUUAAAAGAAAAUUAUAAAAUAUAUGCAGUUGAAAAAAUUUUAAUUUUUUUAUUUAAUUUGGUAUUUUAUUUGAAUUAAUAAUUGAUAUUUGUAAGAUAUUUUAAUAUUAAAAGAAGUUAACAUACUUAAAAAAGACAUUCAAAAUCAAGAGAGUAUUUGAUAUGAAAUUAAUUUAUUUAUUUUUUCUAUUUAAAUAAAUUUUUACAUCCAUUAAAAAAAUUUUAUUGUUUAUUUUUCACUUCAAUAUUUUUAUUUUGUAAAAGAAAUAGAAAUAAAAUCAACAAAUUAAACAAUUGAAUUAAGUUAGUUUAAUUUUGCCACCGUUAAAUUGGUAAAUGAAGACUCUUAUAUUUGAUAUUAACAUGAACAUCAUGACUUCAUUGAAUCUCACAAGAAAAUUUUAGUUUGAAAGAUUUUAUUCUUUAAUCAUGUGGCACAUAUUAAAGUGAGACCAAGUCUUCCCUAUAAUUUGUAUCUAUCACAAUUUCUUUCCUAAUGAAUAGCCUUUUUGAAUAGAAAAUAGACUUUAGCAUGCAUGGUGGGGCCUAGCUAUCAAACUACUAGUCAAAGCAACUCAUGGGCAAGAAUGAUGUACCAACUAGAUUAAGUAUUCUCCAUCUAGUUGCAUAUCAAGAGUAAUUUAGUAGUAUCUUUCUUGUGUACCUCAUUUCUAGACUUUCAAUGGAGAGUUUUUUAUCUUAAAAUUUGAUGUGGGUUUUCAUACUAGUCUUGGUUCAGAUAUGUGAAUGCAAAGGUUGCAUCGAAGAAGAGAAGUAGGCUAAGUCAUCUUACAAAUUUUCAAGUUCAAAUUAGAUGCAUCAAACAUGUGCAACAUAUUUGAUAUAACUAAUAUUUUACCAAGCAACUAAAUACUUUAUAUAUAUAUAUAUAUAUAUAUAUAAAUUUAUUGAUGAUCAAUGAAUACACAUGUAUGGUAUUGACACGGUUUGAUAAAUCUUUUAAAAUAGUAUUAGAAUAACUUUGCUAAAAAAAGUAAAAAUAAAAAUAAAAAUACAUAUAUAUAUAUAUAUAUAAAAUAAAAAAUUUUAAAAGAAUAUAUAUAUAUUAGUGGUCCCACAACUCAUUAGCUACUCAUAAGCUUUAUAUCAUUUUCUUAAAGUCAAGUCAUUUACAAUUAUUUCUAUCUAGCCUUCUCCGUUGCGACAACUGUACAAGAUAUUAAUUGAUUGAAAAAAUCAUCAUGUCUUUUUUGAUAGGAUAGUUUUUUUUUUUAUUCAAAGAACUUUCAAAUCCUUUAUGUCUAGUGGUCCUACAAUUCCUUAUUCAUUGGUAUUUCAUAUUACCAAUCAUUUUACAAAUAAGUUAAUUUCACUCGGUAAAUAUACUUAACCACCAAUGGUUUCCAAUUUGUAACACUCUUAUAGAUGUAGUUUGUUUUUAAAUUUGAUUUUUUAGAAGAAUUGUAGGUAAAAAUAUUUUAGCUAUAUAUGUUCAACAAUUCUCUAAAAACAAUUUAUAUAGAUGGAAUACAUUCAUGGAAGUUCCAACUAAUGAAAUUUAAAACCAAUGAUGAUUUAAUGUAUUUGUACUAAAUCUUAGGGAGUGUGGACUAAAAUUAGCCCUUUUACAAAUAUUUAUAACUAGUAUAUUUGUAGUUGUGGUAUUGGAAGUUGAUCAUUUUCUUAAAAGGUUUACCAUUGAAGUUAGUUGAAUAUAAAGUUAGGUGAACUUUACCAUUGUUAAAUUGGUAAAUGAAGACUCUUAGAUUUGAUACUAACAUGUACAUCAUGACUUCAUGGAAUCUCUCACAAGGAAAUUUUAGUUUGAAAGACUUCAUCUUUUAAACAUGUGGCACAUAUUAAAGUGAGACCAAGUCUUCCCUAUAAUUUGUAUCUAUCACAAUUUCUUUCCUCAUAAAUAGCCUUUUUGAAUAGAAUUAAUAUAGACUUUAGCAUGCAUGAUGGGCCCCGUCAAACUAUUAGUCAAGAUAAUUUGUAGGUAAGAACGAUGGACCAACUAUAUUAAAUACUCUUCAUCUAUUUGCAUAUCAAGAGCAACUUAAUAUUGUCUUUCUUUUGUACUUCAUGUUUGAACUUUCAAUGGAGAGUUUGUCAUCUAAAUAUUUGAUGUGGGUUUUUAUACUACUCUUGGUUCAAAUAUGUGGAUGCAAAGGUUGCAUCAAAGAAGAGAAGAUGGGUUUGCUUGAAUUCAAGGCUUUUCUUAAAUUGAAUAAUGAGCAUGCAGAUUUUCUUCUCCCUUCAUGGAUAGAUAACAACACUAGUGAAUGUUGUAAUUGGGAGCGGGUUAUUUGCAAUCCCACCACAGGUCGAGUUAAGAAGCUUUUCCUCAACGAUAUAACGCGACAACAAAAUUUCUUGGAAGACGAUUGGUACCAUUAUGAAAAUGUCAAAUUCUGGUUACUAAAUGUCUCCCUAUUCCUUCCUUUUGAAGAACUUCACCAUCUAAACUUGUCUGCAAACUCAUUUGAUGGGUUUAUUGAGAAUGAAGGUAUGUUACCUCUCACCUUUAAAAUUUCUUUUCACUUAUACUCCAAACAUUCUAAAGGAACUACUAGCAUAUGUUCUUAAAAGUGUUCAGGUGGAGACCAAAUGGUCACUAGUAACUAUUGAAUUUAAUAUAAGAACAAUUACUAAUUAUUAAAAUUUAUAAUGUAAAUUAACAUUUAAACAAAACAAUAAAAAAAUUAUUAUUUUAGAAAACUAUAGAUUACAUUAGCCUUAUAUAUAUAAGCAUACUUGUAAUUUAUGCCAUCAUUUCACACUCAACCCAAUUAGUGGGAUUCAACUAAGAGUGAGCAAUUUCACAAUUAUUAAUUAACAAAAACACUUAGGCUCCCAUAUCCUUAUCCUUUUUGCUGAAUUGUCUUUCCUUAUCUUCCAUUCCUAAAAAGCUUGAUUUCUAUAUUCCAAAUUGAUAGAGAUUGGUUAAAGAAAGGUGAUCACAAAAUUUGACUAUUGCUUUCAAAUGAGGAAUCACCAUCUUCAAAAUUUCACAUUUAAAAAAAAAAAAAAAAAAAAAACUAGCCUCGGGUAAGGUCCAAGCCUUAUUGUUUUAAGCUGAUGUCGGGUUGGUUUAAUAAUGAACAGAGUAAAUCCCAACCCAUGACCAUCUACGCAUUUCCAAAUUCCACCCAUCCACAACCCAUUAAUAUGACAUUUUCAGGGACAAAAUUUAAUCAAUUAAACCUAUUAGAUGGAUUCUCCAUACAAUGUUAAAAUGAAUAUAAAAACUUUAAUUCAAAAAAUAAUUUCCUUUAUUUAGUUAGGAUUCAAAUUAUAGGGGCACAAAACAUGAAAAUUUUCAUGUUUAAAAUUCACAAAGAUCACAAAAGCUCUUUGAAGCUCUAUGGACUUUUUUAUUUCUAACAUUUAAACACAAAAAUCACCAAAUUGAAUUAGAAACUUGGAUGCAUAUUCUUAUAUUAAAGACAUGUAAGCUUACAUAUUUAAAUAUGAAGAUCUCAACUUGUAAUUACAUGCUUCUAAUUAAAGUUAUAUUACUCUAUUUUACAGGAUUUAAAGGGUUAUCAAGUUUAAAGAAAUUGGAGAUCUUGGACAUAAGUGGUAAUGAGUUUGACAAAAGUGCCUUAAAAUCUUUGGGCACAAUAACAUCACUCAAGACAUUGGCUAUUUGCAGCAUGGGACUGAAUGGAUCUUUUUCCAUUCGAGGCAUGUUAUAUGUCCACAUUGUUUCUUUGAAAUUAAGUAAAAUGUAUUUCUAACUUUUAAUGUUCCUUAGUUAAUCUCUCUUUUGAUUCAUGUUUGUUGCAGAAUUAGCUAGUUUGAGAAAUUUGGAAGUGUUGGAUCUAAGCUAUAAUGAUUUGGAAAGCUUUCAACUAUUGCAAGGUACUUCAUUAACUUGCUAAAAAAACUUAUGAUAUUUUGUUAUUAAAUUAAAGGUAAGAUUAACAAACAAUUUCUUCCCAUUAGUUACUUUUCUUUGUAAUAUCAUUAAAUUUGAUAUAAAAUAGUCUAAAUCAUCCUUUCAAUUUAUAAGUUUUAAUUAAAACGCAUCAAGCAUGCACAAGGUGUUUAAUAUAACUAAUAUUUUCAUAAGUAAUUGAAUUUUUUUUAUGAAUUAAUUAACUUGAUUAUCAAUAAAUACUUACAUGUAUAAGAUUAAUAUAGUUUCAUAAGUAUUUUAAAAUUGUCUUACAACACACACACACACACACAGAGGGAAAAUGAAAGGUAUGUGAUACAUUUAUGCUAUGUUUGGUUCCCAAAAAAAUUGAGGGAAAAUGAAAGGAGAAAAAAGUGGAGAGGAAAAGUAAAAGAAAAGAAAAAAAGUGAAGAAAAAUAUAAAAUUGAUUAAAGUAAAUACAUGUUACUUUAAACUUUUUUACUUAUUUUAAUUCUUCAAUGUAAGGAUGAAAGAUUUGAAAAUGCAUAAGUUUCUAAUUUUUUUAUUUUAUUUUAUAGUUUUUACAAUACAACCAAACAUACUAAAAUCAUUUUCUUUAAUUUUUUUUUCUUUUCUUAAUACUUUUCACGAACCCUUAAGUUAUGUUUGGUUUGCAGAAAAUAUGAGGAAUAGCAAAUAGAAAAGAAAAUUAGAAGGAAAGAAAAAAUGAAGUAAAAUAAAAAUAAAUUUAAAUUUAAUAAAUUAUUUUUAUAUGCUACUUUAAGCUUAUUUCACUUAUUUUAAAUUAUUUAAACUCAUUUCUAAUAAAUAAUAAUGGAAAUUGUAGAGAAGUUUGUGUUAUUCAAGCUUUGCAAUGACUUUUCAAGGUGAAGGAAAAUAUUCUUGCUGAAAUUGAAAAAGGAAAUACCUUCUUAAAUAGCCUAUUGACCGAAAACACAUUACCCUAACAUAUACACACACCUUUAUUAUUUAUACAAUCAUGUAAUACUUAAUCCAGUUAGUGGGAUUCUAGUGGUUGUUUCUAUCUUGGUUUCCAAUAUUUCUGAUUGAUAGUGUUCGAUUAAUGAAAUAUCAUAAAUUUUGACCCCAAUAAGGACCAAUCCCUAUUAAAUGUAAUUGGGUUAACCUAAGACUAAAUGCUAGACCCAACUAAUAAAAACCCAUCUGUUUGUUGGAGUCUAAAUAACCUGGCCUUAGGUAGAGCCCAUGCCUUAUUAUUUUAAGAUGUAGUCCAACUGGUUUAACACUAGAUUGAGUAAAGCCCAACUUAUGAGCAUCUGUGCAUUUCCAUCCAUCCACAACCUACUGGCAUGGAUAAACUUUGGUCAAUUAAACCUAUUAUAACUGUAUACAAAAUUUUAAGUUCAAAAGAUAAUUUUCCUUAUUUAGUUAGGAUUCAUAUUAAAAAGGCACAAAACAUGAAUUUUCAUGUUUAAAUUCACAAAUACCACGAAAGCUCCUUCAAGCUCUAUGGACCAUUUUAUUUGUAACAUUAUAUUACUCUUAAUUAUCAAAUUAACCAACAAAUUCUUCUCAUUACUUAUCUUUCUUUUGUAAUGUCAUAAAAUUUGAUGUAAAGUAGUAUUGGUCAUCAUUUCAACUUUCAGGUUCCAAUUAGAUGCAUCAAGCAUGUGCAACAUAUUUGAUAUAACUAAUAUUUUUAUAAGUAAUUGAAUUUUUUUUUUCUAUAAAUCAAUUAACUUGAUUAUCAAUGAAUACUUUCAUACAUGAUAUUGAUGUAGUUUCAUAAAUAUUUUAAAAUAGUCAUAGAAGUCUUUUAUCUGAUUCACUAGAAAGAAAAAUAAACUAUUCUAAUGAAAAUACUUGAUGAUUUGAAGUGAUUGCUUUUGAUUUUAUUUGAUUGCUACCAUUAUUAAUUGUUAGAAAUUGGCAACAAAUACCCAUUUUGCAUCACUUCUAUAUGCAUCGGGGGAAUGAAUUAUAUUUCAUAGAGCUAACAGGGCAAAACUCAAACUUUUGGAAUUAUGGAAAAUGUUGCUAGAAAGCUAAUUAACCAUUUAUAUUAUGAUUAAGACUAGUUGGGUUAGAAAUAAUUCAUAUGGAGAUUAAAAAAAACUAUGUAAUUUAGUUUAGUAGCUUGGGUGCUAUUGUAAUGAUUAAUGAUCUGCAACUUGAACACAUCUACUAGUGCUUUCUACUUGUAUAGCUAAAUUUAUGUUACCACUUUGAACUAGAGUACUUACAUGAGAAGAAAGCUUUUCCCUAGUGAUAAUGCAAAAGAAAUUAAGUAUCAAUUUUUGUUAAAAAUAACAAGUGAUAGUUUAGAUAUGGUUUGAAUACACUUUCUUUCUUCUAUUUUUUUAUUUUGAAAAAAAAAACUCUUUAAUGAAAUAUAAGAAAUCUUAUAUGUAUAAAAAUUAAAGACUUAAACAAAAAAAUUUGAAAUUUUGAAAAUUUUCGAGAAGUAUUUUUAAGAAUUUGUAUUUUUAGUAUAAUAAUUCCUAUAUUUUGUAUAAAAGUUUUUGUUUAAAAAAAUAGAAGUGUAUCCAAAUUACAAAUUAAUUGUUAAAUUAAGAAUGUUUCUCAGAUCAAGAGAUAAUGAAAGUUGUAGAGAGUUUGCAUUACUCAACCUUUGCAAUUACUUUUUGAAGGUAAAAAAAAAAUACCUUCCUACAUAACAUACAAUGGUAGGUUCUGGUUUGUAAGAAACUAAUAAAUGAUUAAGAAUAUGAAUAAGACUUCCUUUAUAAUAGAUAUGUAGAGAAGAAUAGUGGAUGAUAGGUGGUGAAAAUCUUGUAAUAAAAUAUCAAUAUCGGUUAUAAGAUAAUCAACAUUUUCUCUAUUUCUUGUACCUAUGUGAUUAAGAAUCUUGUAGCUCCCUUAUUGAAAUAUAAUAUAAAAAUAUAAAUAAACUAUUUAGAAGUGCAUGUAGUUUUCAACAUGAGGAAGUUCAAAAGCAAGUUAAUUAUGAUAAUUUUCCAUAGUCUAUAUUGAACACAAAUUAUUUUUACUAAAGGUUCAAUCGUUCUAUGAAGGUUAAAAGUUUGAAUUGUUUACAUAUGCAAAUGUGAAAUUUGAAAGUUUAUAAUUUUUUAUAAUUUUCUUGUAGAUUCAAAAAGCUUGUCCAUAUUCAAAAAGCUCGAGACCUUGAACCUCAAUUACAACAAGUUCAAAAACACUAGCCUACAACAAUUGGAUAUAUUUACAUCCCUUAAAAAUCUUUCUCUAAGAUGGAACAAUGUUGGAGGAUUUUUUCCUAUCCAAGGUAUGUGUAAUUAUUAUUAUUAUUAUUUUUAAUGAUGAAAUAUUAGAAUUGUCAACAUCUUUUAUCUUUUUUUCCCCUCAAUGGUGUUGCAGAAUUAUGCACUCUGGAAAACUUGGUGAUGUUAGACCUAAGUGGGAAUUUCUUUUUUGGCAUGCAAGGUAAAUACAAAGUGAAGUUUUGGUUAUAUAUAUAUAUAUAUAUAUAUAUAUAUAUAUCAUGUAAGAACAUAACUAAAAUCAACAUUAUUUGCCUAUCAAUUUGUGCAUGACUAUUAUUUAGUUAUUCUUCGUAACAUAAUUGAAAGAAUGUCUAGGUGUACAACAUUUAAGAAUUUUACAUGGCACAAUGAAAAACAUGGUAAUCAAUGUGUGCAAUAAAAUUCUAAUAGUUGAAAAAGAAUUUUCUUGUAAUUUUAUGUUCAUGUAUAGUAAUCAAAGAGAAAAUCAUGAAAAUGUAUAUUAGUUAGACUUUAUAUAUCAAUAGACAAAAAAGAAAGAAAAAAAAAGAUUAGUUCCUUAACUUAUCCUAAAAUUUUCUAGAUAACAAGGAGUUUUUUUAUUUUGGGCUAUAAGGUUUACAACCUGAAAAGUGAAGAUGAUUAAUAUUAGUAAUAAAAUUUUAAAAUAUAAAAAUUAGUGAAAUAAUGUUCUCUAUAACUAUAACUCCAACUGCAACUAUUAAUAAAAGAUAAUAAAGGUACUUUAGACUUUGAAUCCAUGGUUAGGUUUGCAAUUUUUUGAUGAUCAAUAAAGCUACAACUUAUGCUGCAAAAGGCUAUACAAAAUGUAUUAGGAGCAUUGCUAAGCUCAUUUAUCAAUAAAGGAAAUCCAGUAAUACUUUGAUUGGAAAAAACCUAGAAUCAUGUUUGAUAUAUAAUAGGUGAAGAAACAAAAUAACAAUUCCAUGGUAUUAGUUAGUUUGAUAUCUCUUUUGUUAUAUGGAAUAACUAUUCCAUUUUAAAAUAAUUAUUUCAUCUUAUCGCUAGAACAAAAAAUUUCAGGCGAUUAUAUGGGCUUUUGGGUUUCUUAAGAAUUUAAGCAUUUAUGGGUCACCCAUAUAUAUAUAGGAAGAAUAAAAAAAAAAAUAUUCUAUGGAGACAAGGGUAGACACCCAUAAAUGUACAUAUAAUUAUUUAAAUAAAAAUAUCAAUAAGAAACAAUAUACAACAAAAUAGAAAAUUUUAAUCUUCCUAAAUUUUAAAAAUAGAAAAUAAAUGAAAAAAAAUUAAAAAGUAAAAAAAAAAAAAAAAAAAGGUCAAGAAUACAAAUAGAUAAGUAAACAAAAUAUAAAAAAAAUACAUAAAUUAAAAUUAAAAUUUUUUUAAAAAAAAUACAUAGAUUAAUAUGAACACUAAAUGAGGUUUUUUGAGAUAGACUUAGUUAGACUUGAACUAGAUGGAUAUUAAAAAAAAUAAAAAUAAAAAUUCAAAGAAAUAAAAACUAAUUAGAUGCUAAAUAUUGGAUUAAAAUAACCAAAUGAAUAAAGAGUAAUUAUUAAUUUUUAACAUUUUUUAUUCCUUAGAAUUAUUAUUUUGUGUAUUAAAUGUAUUAUGAGUGUAGUGGUAUAAAAAAUGUAGUUAAGAAUACUAUGAAGAAUAAUAAUGGUGAUGAUAAUGGUGACGACACUUAAUACCUUUUAUUGUACAUUUAGAAAAAAUGAGGUUCUUGAUCUUUAUGAAGAUUAUCAUUACUCAUCCGCAAGCAUGUUGAUAGUUGAAACUACUCAAUUAUCAAAAAUUGAAUUUCUAACCUUCAAUUUUUCUCUCUCAAAUGUAUAUGUGGGUGAGAAAGCACUAGGUAGGUUAUAAGGUCUCACAUGUAUAUGAGUCAUAGGAUAAAAAAUAUAGAGACAAUACUAGCAUUUAUUUGAUCCAGUGGCAAAUAGAGAAAUAUAACAUAACCAUAACCAUAAUGUUCUAACCUUAUAUAUACCAGAACCAUGUUUCCUUCAUUCAAUUUUGCAACUUUUUCUUUUCAAAUUAGAAUGUAACUCGUAGGAUCCAUUGUCCAUCAAAAUUUUGAAUCGAAUAUUAUAAGAUAUUUCACAUUUCUACCUACUAAAGCAUGAGCUUCAAUGUUCUCAUGCACUUUUGGCUACUAAGUUAAAGAACUCUUUGAGGGUUAAUGGAGUUUCUAUGAGUAGCAAAGCAUUAUAAUCACAAAGUCUUAUCAGUGAUAUGCAAUUUAACCAAGAACUUAUUCCCAACUAUUUUAUGACUUUUCUUGGCUACUUGUAGGCAAGCUAAAGAAAUUUUCUGGUUUGUUCAAGUCUAAAAAGUGGUUUCAAGUUUAGGGCCAAGCUUGGGCUGCACCUAGGUCCUUGGGCCUUAUUCAGCUCCACGUUUAAACCAACCUUGAGUCCAUCUUUGUAAUUUUUCUCCCAAUUCAUUGAUUUAUAUUAGGAUUUUAUAAAGCCUAUAAAUUGACCAACUAAAUAAAGUAGGUUCAUAAACUUUUAGGUGAAAAUUUUCUCUCUAAUAAAUGUUAAUUCAAGAGUCUCCGUAAUCUUUUUAUAUUCAUAUUAAUUGGUAUUUAAACUGACCUUACUAUAUUAAAGUCAAAUACCAAAUAGUGAACACUAUAUCUGCUACUACCACUAUGAUGGUCACAAACAUAGAAUGCUCCUUUUUUUAGAGUCAAUUGAUGCUUAUAAACAACAACUUUGUUUGAAAAUAAAAUACAUCGAGUGAUUGCAUCAAGAGAUUGAUGUAAUAAUUGCAUACUUGAUCUUGAUAAUGCUGAGUUGACUAAAUAAAUGAGUAUUUACUUAUAAGGUAGCCCAUAGAACAUUAUUUGUGGAAAUAUUCAUGCACCUCUACAUAUGUUCAUGAUAACUUAGGUUGAUAAAUUUAAGAAGAACAAAUUCAUAACCUUGGGCAUAGUUAGUAAGAAAUUUCACCAAUAGAGUUUGGUAUCAUGAUUCUAAUUGUUCAAAUUGUUUUAAAGGAGUAUUUUAAAUUGCAUGUUAAUUUGCUUCUAAUAAAUGGAGAGAAACCAAUUCAAGAAGAGAAUUGUACUCAAGCUAUGUAUAACAUUCAUGAAGAUGUAGAAAAUAUUGAUGAACUUACUUUUGAGCAAGUUGAAAUCAUAAUUAAAUAAAAGAACAAACCCAAGGGUUAAGAUUGUCAAGUAAAACUUUAACUAAAAUUUAUUGAUUUUUUAAAUGCCUAUUAGAGGGACAAUAGAAGUUCUAGAUAAAAAGUAAGAACUUUUCUAAGGAAUCACUUGUUAGAUUUUAAGUGAUCAAUAAAUAUAAUGUCCAAUUUAAAACUUUUAUAAAAGCAAUGCUUCUAAAGAAUAACUUGAUUUGAAUUUAAAGUUAUUAUUGAUAUUUGUUUAUAAUGGAUGUAGUUAAUCAACUGAACAUAGUAAAAAACACAUAAAUUUUUCAAAAUACCUUCUAGUUGUUGGGUAUAUUUAAAUAGUCAUCCAUAUCUCAUUAUCUUUUCACUCACAUACUAAUCUCCUUAUUGAGUAUUUACCAAUUACAAGUAGGUUGAAAGUUACUUGAAUUUAAGUCACUAAUCAAUGUUAACUUGAUAACAAAUAAGUCUCUCUUUGAAACUUGUUUUACAAGAUAGCGAAAUGUAGUCGAUCAAUCAUCAAAACAAUGUUCAAGCAUUAGGAUUUAGUUGUUAAUUUUUAUUUUUAUUUUUUGUGCUUAAACAAAGACAAAAAUGAUAAAAACUCCUUAAAAGUACAUAGUAAUUGAAUUUAAUUUAUACAUCAAACAAGAACAAACUAGUCUUGGAUUUAAAAUUCAUCAGGUUUUGUAAUUAUAAUUCCUAAAAAUUUGUAAGACAACAAAAUUAUUGGGCACUAGGUUAUUGGGUGUGUAUGACUAAGAGGUGAAGGAGGGUUCAUCUUAUACAAAGGAUGAUUUGAUUAAUUUUAAAGAUUGGAUAAACAAUAAUUGCAUAUUCAAGUAAAAAUAACAUUGCUAAAAAGGAAAAUAAGUAUUUUAGUCCUCAAACCUAAAAUGGCUAAAAAUUUUAAUUAAUACAAUACAACUUCACCUACAAAAGAAAAAAAAAACCCAAAACUUUUCAAUAGCACAACUAAGUCCAUUUAUCAAAAAAAAGAAAUAUAAGGAAGUUGGACUCAUUUACUAGCAAUUUAACAUAUGACUAAAACCUAUUGAAGAAUUUGCAAUAGCACUUACUUUGGUCAUGUCCAAACUUAUUGCACAUGGUGCAAAAAGGGGUAGUGCUCGAGGAUGCUUCCACAUAAGAAAGACCCUACUUAACUGUUACAAAGGUUAUUUUCCCACUUGUGGGAAUGCUAACCUUGCUAAUAUAUUAUAUGCCAUGUUUAUCAUAUACAAAUUUUUCUUUACUAAAUAUUUCUUUAAUGAUCUUGGACCUAAAAUUAAAUAUUUCAUUAGUAUUGGUCAUGUCGUUCCUCAACUUUUCAACUUUUAGAGUUAAAUCUUUAUCUUUAUCAUUGAUAGUUUUAUGUUUAGUCCCUAGAAACUUCACCUUAUUAACAAUAUGUUCAUUUAAUAUUUUGAUAUUUUUAAUUUUCAAAGAAUCAUAGAGCUCAUUAAUUUUAAUGUCUUUUUAUUCACUUUUAUGCUUUCAACCUUUGUUUUUAGUUUUCCUAUAAUAAUGCAUCAUAGACCCCAUGUAUAUCAUUAAAAUAAAACUCAUUUUUUUCAUUAGGAUUCAAUUAACCCAAUGGAUCAUAAUCAAAAUUAGUUGCAUAUGAACAAAAGCAAUAAGAUUAUCAUUUUGUACAUCUUUACUUUCAUUUGAGUUCUUAGCCCUACAAUCAUCAAACAUGGAAUUACUCCAAGUUACCUACAUAGCCUUCAUACCUAAUGUUUUUAAGGCAAGGACAAUCAACAACCAUGUGUCCCAUUCCCCCAAUGGUUCACUACGAAAUCAAGGUACAUAUGUUAUGCUUUCUUUGUUUCAUAGUGAUUAGAGAGGAUAAACAUUGUAAAAAAAAAAGUUGUCAUAGUUAAUGUAAGCUAAAACUAAAAAACUUGCUUUUUCAAUUGUGUAAGCAUGUUUUGUUCUUGAUGAAUAUUUACAACAUUCAGAGUUACUAAUGUUUAUAAUUCACAGAGACCUCAUUAACAACAAGUAACAACUAAUUGUAAGUAACCAUGAAAAAAAAAUAAGGAGAAAAAUAAAGGAAAAUCAAGGAAAGUGUCAAAUUUUUUCAUCCCCAUAAAAAAUGCUAAGGAAGAAAAAUGUGAAGAAAGUUUAAAGAAAGUAUAUUUUUCAAAAAUUGAAUUUUCUUUCCCUUAAAGUUGGUAUGGACAACCAAACAAGAAAAUGAUUUUUAAAUUCUUUUUUGACCUUUUUCUAUCAUUCUUUUUUUUUUCCCCCUACUCUAUUUCCUUUCCCUCAAACUUUCUAGGUAGUAAACAUUACCUAAGAUAAAUAGGGAAGAAAAUAUUUUAUCAUUUAUUUAUUUAGUAUUUUUCUUACCUUUUUUUGUAUUUUAUCCAAAUAUAAGAAAACUACUUUUCUUUAUUUUUUCUUUUCCUUGUUGCUUUUCAAGAAUCAAGCAUACUUUAAACUCUAAUUAAGAGUUACAUAGAUUUACAGAGAAACAAUGCAACUAGUAACAAAAAAUUAAGGAAAUUUAAUUUUUUAAUUUUUGAGAGUAAGUAUAAUAAGAUUGGUUUGUUUGAUACAAAAUUUGAAUAAAAAUUAUUUUAAUGAAAAUUCAAGGAAAGGAAAAAAAAAAAAAAAAACUUGAUCUCUAGACUAUAAUACUAAAUCAAUUAAAAAAUCUCCUAACAUCGUUUAUGUUCAUCUUUUUUUUUUUAUGGAUUUGAAAAACCCAAUAAUUUGGAGAAAACUGAUUCAAGGAAGAAUAAUUUUUAGAAUAAAAUAUUAUUAUUUAAGAAGAUCAUAAAUUUUAUAGUCAUUGUUGAAAAUGAUAAAUGAUUAAAAAAAAAAAGGUAGUUGGAAAUUUAGAUACUUUUAUAAGACAAAUGCAUUUUUCUAGUCUGGUAUGAAAAAAGGUAAAAUGAUAGGCUUUGAUCAUUUUUCAAGUUAGUUUGUUUAAAUCAUUUUAAUUUAUUUUGAUUUAAGAACAAUAACUUUUAUUACACUAGUUAUUUUGAUUUUCUUUUGAUAGAUUUUGCAAGCUUAAGCAAUUUGGAGCUAUUGGAUUUGAGUUAUAAUUUAUUUAGUGGGAGCAUUCCAUCAUCUAUAAGAUUGAUGUCUUCUAUCAAGUCUUUAUCCUUGGCUGAAAAUUACCUCAAUGGUUUCUUAGCAAAUCAAGGUACAUAUAUUGUGAUUACAGGUUUUUCUAUUUUCUUUUUUAAUAUCUUGUUUGUUCUUUAUGCCAAUUAAGUCAUGCAUGUCUAUUAAUUUUUGGUAUUUAAUGAAAAACUUUAUUCUUAAUUCAUAAAGACCUCAUCAACUAUAAGUAACAGUUAGUUCUAAGUUUGGGGGCAUUGACAAGACGAGGAGAUGAUUGGUUACAUGUCUUAUUCUCUUUUGUUGGCUUUUGCCAAUUGAAUAAGUUUCAAGAAUUAGAUUUUUCUUACAACUUAUUCCAAGGAAUCCUUCCUCCAUGUUUGAAUAAUUUGACAUCUUUGAGGUUAUUGGAUCUCUCUUCCAACCUAUUCUCCGGAAAUCUUUCUUCCCCUCUGUUACCUAAUCUCACAUCCCUGGAGUACAUCGAUCUCAGUUACAAUCAUUUUGAGGGUUCAUUCUCUUUCAGCUCUUUUGCUAAUCACUCCAACUUUCAAGUGGUCAAACUUGGAAGGAAUAACAACAAAUUUGAGGUAGAAACUGAAUAUCCAGUUGAUUGGGUUCCCCUAUUUCAGUUGAAAGCUCUUAUGCUAUCCAACUGUAAGCUCAUCGAUGACCUUCCUGGUUUUCUUCGACACCAAUUAAGAUUAACCGUGGUUGAUCUCUCCCAUAAUAACUUGACUGGAAGUUUCCCCAUUCAGCAGCUUGAAAACAAUACAAGACUAGGAUCUCUAGUUUUGAGGAAUAACUCUUUAAUGGGUCAACUACUUCCCCUGAGACCUAAUAGUCGUAUCACUUUAUUGGAUAUCUCAGACAACCGACUUCAUGGGGAACUUCAACAAAAUGUGGCCAAUAUGAUUCCAAAUAUUGAGUUUCUAAAUUUAUCCAACAAUCUUCCCCUUCAUUUCAUCCAUAUUUGGAUCUACCUUUAAAUCUCUAUUGCAUACAACCCAUAUAUGAUUCCCUCUAAAUUUAGCCUUCAUUUCUUGUUAAGAGGUUUUAAAAGCCAGCAAUUUAAUUUACUUUCAUCCUCUAUAUAGAUGAGAACUCUUAUAUUUAUCCAAUGAUAGGUAACAUUUUUGCAAAUGCUUUUAUUUGAUUUUUUUAAUUGGUCUUAAAAAUAAGUGUUAAUAAAGAUCCACAAUAUAAAAUAAUAAAUUAUAUCUCAAUUGACCUCAAGAUACUAUUUACUUCUACUAACUCAUUUUACAUCUCAAUUGUUCUUAAAAAGUCUAUAAUGGUAAUUAACUAUAGAAUUCAAGUUUUAAUUAUGCAAAAAAUAUAUAAAGGUUUUUAAAAUUAAUAGAAAAAAAGAUUCUAAUAAAUAAUAAGUAGAUUGAAACAUUUAUUUCUAGAAGUAGAGAAAGAUGGAGGAUCAUAAAAGUUGAAAAAAGAAUAAUUUGGAAGUCAUAAAAUUUUGGAAAAAGAAUAAUUCAUAGAGACCUCAUUAACAACAAGUAACAACUAAUUGUAAGUAACCAUGAAAAAAGUAAGGAGAAAAAUAAGGGAAAAGCAAGGAAAGUAGCAAAUUUUUUCAUCCCCAUAAAAAAAUGAUAAGGAAGAAAAAAGUGAAGAAAGUUUAAAGAAAGCAUAUUCUUCAAAAAUUGAAUUUUCUUUCCCUUAAAAUUGGUAUGGACAACCAAACAAGAAAAUGAUUUUUAAAUUCUUUUUUGACCUUUUUCUAUCAUUCUUUUUUUUCCCCCUACUCUAUUUCCUUUCCCUCAAACUUUCUAGGUAGUAAACAUUACCUAAGAUAAAUAGGGAAGAAAAUAUUUUAUCAUUUAUUUAUUUAGUAUUUUUCUUACCUUUUUUGUAUUUUAUCCAAAUAUAAGAAAACUAUUUUUCUUUAUUUUUUCUUUUCCUUGUUGCUUUUCAAGAAUCAAGCAUGCUUUAAACUCUAAUUAAGAGUUACAUGGAUUUACGGAGAAACAAUGCAACUGGUAACAAAAAAUUAAGGAAAUUUAAUUUUUGAGAGUAAGUAUAAUGAGAUUGGUUUGUUUGAUACAAAAUUUAAAUAAAAAUUCUUUCAAUGAAAAUUCAAGGAAAGGAAAAAAAAACAAAUUUAUCUCUAGACUAUAAUACUAAAUCACUUAAAAAAAACUCCUAACAUCGUUUAUGUUCAUCUUUCUUUUUAUGGAUUUGAAAAACCCAAUAAUUUGGAGAAAACUGAUUCAAGGAAGAAUAAUUUUUAGAAUAAAAGAUUAUUAUUUAAGAAGAUCAUAAAUAUUAUAGUCAUUGUUGAAUAUGAUAAAUGAUUAAAAAAAAAAAAGGUAGUUGGAAAUUUAGAUACUUUUAUAAGACAAAUGCAUUUUUCUAGUAUGGUAUGAAAAAAAGGUAAAAUGAUAGGCUUUGAUCAUUUUUUAAGGUAGUUUGUUUAAAUCAUUUUAAUUUAUUUUGAUUUAAUAACAAUAACUUUUAUUACACUAGUUAUUUUGAUUUUCUUUUGAUAGAUUUUGCAAGCUUAAGAAAUUUGGAGGUAUUGGAUUUGAGUUAUAAUUCAUUUAGUGGGAUCGUUCCAUCGUCUAUAAGAUUGUUGUCUUCUCUCAAGUCUUUAUCUCUGGCUGGAAAUCACCUCAAUGGUUCCUUAGCAAAUCAAGGUACAUAUAUUGUGAUUACAGGUUUUUCUAUUUUCUUUUUUAAUAUCUUGUUUGUUCUUUAUGCCAAUGAAGUCAUGCAUGUCUAUUAAUUUUUGGUAUUUAAUAAAAAACUUUAUUCUUAAUUCAUGAAGACCUCAUCAACUGUAAGUAACAACUAGUUGUAAAUUUGGGGGCAUUGAUAAGACGAGGAGAUGAUUGGUUACAUGUCUUAUUCUCUUUUGUAAGCUUCUGCCAAUUGAAUAAGCUUCAAGAGUUAGAUUUUUCUUACAACUUAUUCCAAGGGAUCCUUCCUCCAUGUUUGAAUAAUUUGACAUCUUUGAGGUUAUUGGAUCUCUCUUCCAACCUAUUCUCCGAAAAUCUUUUUUCCCCUCUGUUACCUAAUCUCACAUCCCUGGAGUACAUCGAUCUCAGUUACAAUCAUUUUGAGGGUUCAUUCUCUUUCAGCUCUUUUACUAAUCACUCCAACCUUCAAGUGGUCAAACUUGGAAGGAAUAACAACAAAUUUGAGGUAGAAACUGAAUAUCCAGUUGGUUGGGUUCCCCUGUUUCUGUUGAAAGCUCUUGUCCUAUCCAACUGUAAGCUCAUCGGUGAUCCUGGUUUCCUUCGACACCAAUUAAGAUUAACCGUGGUUGAUCUCUCCCAUAAUAAUUAGACUGGAAGUUUCCCCAUUUGGCUGCUUGAUAACAAUACAAGACUAGGAUCUCUAGUUCUGAGGAAUAACUCUUUAAUGGGUCAACUACUUCCCCUGAGACCUAAUAGUCGUAUCACUUUAUUGGAUAUCUCAGACAACCGACUUCAUGGGGAACUUCAACAAAAUGUGGCCAAUAUGAUUCCAAAUAUUGAGUUUCUAAAUUUAUCCAACAAUCAUCCCCUUCAUUUCAUCCAUAUUUGGAUCUACCUUUAAAUCUCUAUUGCAUACAACCCAUAUAUGAUUCCCUCUAAAUUUAGCCUUCAUUUCUUGCUAAGAGGUUUUAAAAGCCAGCAAUUUAAUUUACUUUCAUCCUCUAGAUUGAUGAGAACUCUUAUAUUUAUCCAAUGAUAGGUAACAUUUUUGCAAAUGCUUUUAUUUGAUUUUUUUAAUUGGUCUUAAAAAUAAGUGUUAAUAAAGAUCCACAAUAUAAAAUAAUAAAUUACAUCUCAAUUGACCUCAAGAUACUAUUUACUUCUACUAACUCAUUUUACAUCUUAAUUGUUCUUAAAAAGUCUAUAAUGGUAAUUAACUAUAGAAUUCAAGUUUUAAUUAUGCAAAAAAUAUAUAAAGGUUUUUAAAGUUAAUAGAAAAAGAGAUUCUGAUAAAUAAUAAGUAGAUUGAAACAUUUAUUUCUAGAAGUAGAGAAAGAUGGAGGAUCAUAAAAGUUGAAAAAAGAAUAAUUUGGAAGUCAUAAAAUUUUGGAAAAAGAAUAAUUCAUAGAGACCUCAUUAACAACAAGUAACAACUAAUUGUAAGUAACCAUGAAAAAAGUAAGGAGAAAAAUAAAGGAAAAUCAAGGAAAGUGACAAAUUUUUUCAUCCCCAUAAAAAAUGAUAAGGAAGAAAAAGGUGAAGAAAGUUUAAAGAAAGUAUAUUUUUCAAAAAUUGAAUUUUCUUUCCCUUAAAGUUGGUAUGGACAACCAAACAAGAAAAUGAUUUUUAAAUUCUUUUUUGACCUUUUUCUAUCAUUCUUUUUUUUUUCCUUACUCUAUUUCCUUUCCCUCAAACUUUCUAGGUAGUAAACAUUACCUAAGAUAAAUAGAGAAGAAAAUAUUUUAUCAUUUAUUUAUUUAGUAUUUUUUUUACCUUUUUUUGUAUUUUAUCCAAAUAUAAGAAAACUAUUUUUCUUUAUUUUUUCUUUUCCUUGUUGCUUUUCAAGAAUCAAGCAUACUUUAAACUUUAAUUAAGAGUUACAUAGAUUUACGGAGAAACAAUGCAACUGGUAACAAAAAAUUAAGGAAAUUUAAUUUUUGAGAGUAAGUAUAAUGAGAUUGGUUUGUUUGAUACAAAAUUUGAAUAAAAAUUCUUUCAAUGAAAAUUCAAGGAAAGGAAAAAAAACAAAUUUAUCUCUAGACUAUAAUACUAAAUCACUUAAAAAAAACUCCUAACAUCGUUUAUGUUCAUCUUUCUUUUUAUGGAUUUGAAAAACCCAAUAAUUUGGAGAAAACUGAUUCAAGGAAGAAUAAUUUUUAGAAUAAAAGAUUAUUAUUUAAGAAGAUCAUAAAUAUUAUAGUCAUUGUUGAAUAUGAUAAAUGAUUAAAAAAAAAAAAGGUAGUAGGAAAUUUGGAUACUUUUAUAAGACAAAUGCAUUUUUCUAGUAUGGUAUGAAAAAAAGGUAAAAUGAUAGGCUUUGAUCAUUUUUUAAGGUAGUUUGUUUAAAUCAUUUUAAUUUAUUUUGAUUUAAUAACAAUAACUUUUAUUACACUAGUUAUUUUGAUUUUCUUUUGAUAGAUUUUGCAAGCUUAAGCAAUUUGGAGGUAUUGGAUUUGAGUGGUAAUUCAUUUAGUGGGAUCGUUCCAUCGUCUAUAAGAUUGUUGUCUUCUCUCAAGUCUUUAUCUCUGGCUGGAAAUCACCUCAAUGGUUCCUUAGCAAAUCAAGGUACAUAUAUUGUGAUUACAGGUUUUUCUAUUUUCUUUUUUAAUAUCUUGUUUGUUCUUUAUGCCAAUGAAGUCAUGCAUGUCUAUUAAUUUUUGGUAUUUAAUAAAAAACUUUAUUCUUAAUUCAUGAAGACCUCAUCAACUGUAAGUAACAACUAGUUGUAAAUUUGGGGGCAUUGAUAAGACGAGGAGAUGAUUGGUUACAUGUCUUAUCACUACUACAAAAAUUGAAAUUAAUGACGCUUUAUUUUAUGACGCUUUCUAAAAGCGUCAUUAUUGAGGGUAUACAAUGACGCUUAUAAGAAGUGUCAUAGUUGUAUUAUUUAUCUUGAUACUGAUUAUAAGUGUCAUUAUUUGAUGUCAUCUUUUUCCUUGUAACUGUGUAUAUAAUGACGCUUAUAAGAAGCGUCAUAGUUUUAUUAUUUACCUUGACACUUAUUAUAAGCAUCAUUAUUUGAUGGGUAUGUAAUGACGUUCUUGAGAAGUGUCAUAGUUGUAUUGACUUUUAAAAUUUUUGUUUUUAAGUUAACUUAUACAAAUUUUGAUAUUAGAAUAUUAUUCUAUAAAUUAAUUAUGGUAAAUUGACAUUAAUAUUAAUGACAUAAAGUUGCUACAUUAAGGUUUUUUUAAAAAAAUUUGGAUAUAAAUAAAAUAAAAUCCUAAUAAAUUAUUUUUUUAUUGUUUGAUAUUAAUUUUUUUAUAGUUUGUAUCAAUACAAUCUAUUUUCAUAAACUAUUUUUCAUUUUUAUUAAAUUAGAAAUUAUCUUAUAUUUCAUUUAAAAAUAAUUUGUUAAUUUAUUUGUGGACCACAAAAAAGUGGCCUAUUUUGAGCACUUGUUCGAGCCUUGGGCCACAUUUAUUGGGUUUAACCCUUUUAUUUGAGAAGGUUUUAUAGUUAAUGAAUAUAAAUUUGAAAUUAUUUAACUAAAAUGAAAUAAAUUAAUAUUUAAAUUAAUUUAAUGAUGAUUAGACUCACAAUAAAACUAAAUGCAAUAAGAAUAUUUAUAAAAACUUUCUAAUAUUUAUGGGAAUUAAGCUCAUUCUAUUAAAUUAGUUUUUUUUUUAAAUAUCAAUAUUCAAAUUAAACCAAUAUCAACCUAAAAUAUCAAAUAAUUAAACAAUAUAAAUUUAUUAUGAGUUCAAUAUAUAAAAAUUAUUAUUGGAAGAUGAAAUAAAGAAUACUAUUUUAAUUUAUUGAAAAAGGACAUGCAUGAUAUUUUAGAAUUUGUUAUAAAGUCUCCAUUGAAAACCCUAACUUUUGGAAGACAAGAAAGAAGGGAGAGAGCCACCGUUUUUAGUGAGAAAGAAGAGAAGAGAGAAAAAUGCAAGUUUUUCUCAUCAGGCCCAGAUUUCAUCAAAGGUCUGAUCCCACUUUGUCCGUGGUCCGAUCGAGCUGAAAUUUGGAGGAGAGUUUCGUGACUCAUUUAUCUUCAAUCUGAACGGUGAAGAUCGGAUUUGGAGUUUCGGAAAGUCAUUAGAAAGAAAGAGGAGAAGAGAGAAAAACGUAGGUUUUUCUCAUCAUGCCCAGAUUUUAUCAAAUGUCCGAUCCCGCUUCGUCCGUGGUCCGAUCGAGUUGAAAUUUGAAGGAGAGGUUUGUGGCUCAUGUAUCUUCAAUAUGAACGGUGGAGAUCUGAUUUGGAGUUUCGGACAGUCAUUAGAGAGAAAGAGGAGAAGAGAGAAAAACUUAGGUUUUUCUCAUCGUGCCCAGAUUUCAUCAAAUGUCUGAUCCCGCUUCGUCCGUGGUCCGAUCGAGUUGAAAUUUGAAGGAGAGGUUCGUGGCUCAUGUAUAUUCAAUAUGAACGGUGGAGAUCGGAUUUGGAGUUUUGGACAGUCAUUAGAGAGAAAGAGGAGAAGAGAGAAAAACAGUGGUUUUUUUAUAUCAUGCCCAGAUUUCAUCAAAGGUUCAAUGCCGCUUUUUUCAUGGUCUGAUUGAGCUGAAAUUUGGAGGAGAGGUUCAUAAGUCAUUAAUCUUAAAUUUGAACGGUGAAGAUCGGAUUUAGAGUUUUGGAAAGUCAUCUUUCAGCCAAAAACAAAACCUUUAUUUUAUCAAAGAUGGCGCUUCCUGAAAGUGUCAUUGUUGCCUAAGACAUACAAUGACAGAGGCGAAGAGGACGCUUUAGAGAAGCGUCAUCUGUUACCUUUCUUGACGCUUAAAAAACGUCAUAGUUUCCCAUUUUUCUUGUAGUGUAUUCUCUUUUGUAAGCUUCUGCCAAUUGAAUAAGCUUCAAGAGUUAGAUCUUUCUUACAACUUAUUCCAAGGGAUCCUUCCUCCAUGUUUGAAUAAUUUGACAUCUUUGAGGUUAUUGGAUCUCUCUUCCAACCUAUUCUCCGAAAAUCUUUCUUCCCCUCUGUUACCUAAUCUCACAUCCCUGGAGUACAUCGAUCUCAGUUACAAUCAUUUUGAGGGUUCAUUCUCUUUCAGCUCUUUUACUAAUCACUCCAACCUUCAAGUGGUCAAACUUGGAAGGAAUAACAACAAGUUUGAGGUAGAAACUGAAUAUCCAGUUGGUUGGGUUCCCCUGUUUCUGUUGAAAGCUCUUAUCCUAUCCAACUGUAAGCUCAUCGGUGAUCCUGGUUUCCUUCGACACCAAUUAAGAUUAACCGUGGUUGAUCUCUCCCAUAAUAAUUAGACUGGAAGUUUCCCCAUUUGGCUGCUUGAUAACAAUACAAGACUAGGAUCUCUAGUUCUGAGGAAUAACUCUUUAAUGGGUCAACUACUUCCCCUGAGACCUAAUAGUCGUAUCACUUUAUUGGAUAUCUCAGACAACCGACUUCAUGGGGAACUUCAACAAAAUGUGGCCAAUAUGAUUCCAAAUAUUGAGUUUCUAAAUUUAUCCAACAAUGGUUUUGAAGGUAUUCUCCCAUCCUCAAUAGCCGAAAUGAGUUCCUUACAGUCAUUAUAUUUGUCUGCUAAUAGUUUCUCAGGGGAAGUACCAAAACAAUUGCUUGCGGCAAAAUAUUUGUGGCUUCUGAAAUUAUCAAAUUAUAAAUUUCAUGGCGAAAUAUUUUCAAGGGACUUUAACUUGACUCAGUUAGGGUUUUUGCAUUUGGACAAUAAUCAGUUCAAGGGAACACUGUCAAAUGUAAUCUCCAGAAUCUCUAGGUUAUGGGUGUUGGAUAGGUAACAUGACCGAUUUGACUACACUGGUGUUGGGCAACAAUAGUUUUAAAGGCAAAUUACCACCUGAGAUUUCUCAAUUGUUGGGGAUGAUAUUUCUUGACGUUUCUCAAAACGCUCUUUUAGGAUCUCUUCCUUCUUUGAAGAGCCUGGAGUAUUUAGAUACCCAGAGAUUGAUACCCAGAGAUUUUCUCAAUUCCUCAUAUCUAUUGACUUUGGAUAUCAGAGACAACAGGUUAUUUGGAAGUAUUCCCUAUUCAAUCUCUAGACUUUUAGAGCUAAGAGGAAACCUUUUAAGUGAUUUCAUUCCAUAUCAGCUUUGUCAUUUGACUAAAAUAAGCUUGAUGGAUAUUUCAAACAACAAUUUUUCUGGGUCAAUUCCCGGAUGCUUUGGUCAUAUCGGAUUUGGAGAUUUCAAAACUGAGCACAAUGUGUAUAUACCGAUGUUGGAUUCGUAUUCAGAAAGCAAUCCUUCUAUAUAUACGGGUUACUUAAUAAAAUAUUUAUUUUUCUCUAGUGAACUCCCUGAUGAAGUAGAUGAAGUUGAGUUUGUUACCAAGAAUAGGUAUAGCUCCUACAGAGUAGAUAAAAAUAUUUGUUGGGAAUUUAGAUAUUUUUAUAGGAAAGUAGACAAGUAUUCUAAUUUAUAAAAACAAUGCAUUUCUUUAGUUUGGUAUAAAAAAAAAUGAAACGAUAGGUAUUGGUAUUUUUUUUAAAGCAACAAACGUUUUAUUUUAUUUGUAUUUAAGAACAAUGUCUUUUCUUAUACUAGUUAUUUUAAUUUUCUUUUGACAGAUUUUGCAAGCUUAAGCAAUUUGGAGAUACUAGAUUUGAGUUCUAAUUCCUUAAGUGGGAUUAUUCCAUCAUCUAUAAGAUUGAUGUCUCAUCUCAAGUCUUUAUCCUUGGCCGGAAAUCAGCUCAAUGGUUCUUUACAAAAUCAAGGUACAUAUGUUAUGAUUUGUUUGUUUCAUAUGGAUUAGAGAAGAUGAAUAUUGUAAAAAAAAAGUUGUAGUUAAUGUAAGCUAGAAAUAAGUAUCUUGCCUUAUAAAUUAUAUGAGCAUGUGUUUGUUCUUAAUGAAUCUUUACAACAUUUAGAGUUACCAAUGUUUAUAAUUCAUAAAGACCUCAUUAACCGUGAGUAACAACUAAUUGUAAGUAAUUGUGGAAAAAGUAAGGAAAACAAAAUGAGGGAAAAGCAAGGAAUUAGGAAAUUAUUUUGUUCCCAUUAAAAAAUGCUAAGGAAGAAAAAGGUAAAAGAAAGUUUAAAAAAAGUGUAUUUUUCAAAAAUUUAUUUCUCUUUCCUUUAAUUUUGCUAUGGACAACCAAACAAGAAAAUUAUUUUAUAAUUCCUUUUUUAUUUUUUUCAUUCUCUCUCUCUUUUUUCCCCUACUCUAUUUCUUUUCCCUCAAACUUUCUUGGUAGUAAACACAACCUAAGAUAAAAUGGGGAAGAAAAUUUUCAGUUUUUUUUUUAUUUUUUUAGAAUGUUUUCUUACUUUUUAGUAUUUUAUGCAAAUAUAGGAAAAUUAUUUUUUUUUCUUUUUUUUUCUUGCUCCUUUUCGGACAUGAAUCACACUUUAAAAGAAAAUUAAUUUUUAAUUAGGAGUUAAGAUAAAUUUAAGGAGAAACAGUGAAUCACGAAUAACAAAAAAAUAAGGAAAUUGAAUUUUUGAAAGUAAGUAUAAUCAAAUUGCUUCAUUUGAUACAAAAUUUGAAUAAAAAUUCUUUCAAGGAAAGGAAAAAACAUUUUUGUCUCUAGAUUAUAAUACUAAAUCAUGUAAAAAAUCUCUUAACAUCAUUUAUAUUCAUAUUUAUUUUUGUAGAUUUGAAAAAUUCAACAAUUUGGAAUAAACUUAUUCAAUGAAUAAUAAUUUUUAGAUUUAAAGAUUAUUAUUUAAGAUCAUAAAUAUUACCAUGAUUGUUGAUGUCUAAGAAGAUCAUAUUCAACAAUUUUUUUAAUAUGUUGUUUUUUUAUGGUAAUUAAUUGAUGUCUUGUAAUUUUUAAUAUUUAAUGAAAAACAUUAUUUUAAUUCAUCUAGAGCUCUUAAUUCAUGAAGACCUCAUUAAUGGUGAGUAAUAGUUGGCUGUAAGUUUGGAGUCAAAGACAUGUCAAGGAGAUGAUUAGUUACAUGUCUUAUUCUCUUUUGUAGGUUUCUGUCAAUUGAAUAAGCUUCAAGAGUUAGAUCUUUCUUACAACUUAUUCCAAGGGAUCCUUCCUCCAUGUUUGAAUAAUUUGACAUCUCUAAGGUUAUUGGAUCUCUCUGUCAACCUAUUCUCCGGAAAUCUUUCUUCUCCUUUAUUACCUAAUCUCACAUCCCUGGAGUACAUCGAUCUCAGUUACAAUCAGUUUGAGGGUUCAUUCUCUUUCAGCUCUUUUGCUAAUCACUCAAAGCUUCAAAUGGUCAAACUUGGAAUGAAUAACAACAAAUUUGAGGUAGAAACUGAAUAUCCAAUUGGUUGGGUUCCCUUGUUUCAAUUGAAGGCUCUUUCGCUAGACAGCUGUAAGCUCACCGGCGACCUUCCUAGUUUUCUUCAAUACCAAUUCAGGUUAGUGGGGGUUGAUCUCUCACAUAAUAACUUGACAGGAAGUUUUCCCAAUUGGCUGCUUGAAAACAAUACGAGACUAAAAUCUCUAGUUCUGAGGAAUAACUCUUUAAUGGGUCAAUUACUUCCCUUGGAACGUAAUACCCGUAUCCAUUCAUUGGAUAUCUCACACAAUCAGUUGGAUGGACAACUUCAAGAAAAUGUGGCCCAUAUGAUUCCAAAUAUGAAAUAUCUAAAUUUAUCCGACAAUGGUUUUGAGGGUAUUCUCCCAUCCUCAAUAGUUGAACUAAGAGCCUUAUGGUAUUUGGAUUUGUCUACCAAUAAUUUCUCUGGAGAAGUACCAAAGCAAUUGCUUGCAGCAAAAGAUUUGGGGGUUUUGAAAUUAUCAAAUAAUAAAUUUCAUGGUGAAAUAUUUUCAAGGGACUUUAACUUGAUUAGGUUGGAAGUUUUGUAUUUGGGCAAUAAUCAGUUGACGGGAACUCUGUCAAAUGUAAUCUCUAAAAGCUCUUGGUUGGGGGUGUUGGAUGUGAGCAACAACUACAUGUCAGGUGAAAUUCCAAGCCAGAUAGGUAACAUGACCUAUUUGACUACACUGGUGUUGGGCAACAAUAGUUUUAAAGGCAAAUUACCACCCGAGAUUUCUCAAUUGUGGGGUUUGGAGUUUCUUGACGUUUCUCAAAAUGCUCUUUCAGGAUCUCUUCCUUGUUUGAAGACCAUGGAGAGUUUAAAGCAUCUACAUUUGCAAGGGAACAUGUUUACAGGAUUAAUACCCAGAGAUUUUCUCAAUUCCUCACAUUUAUUGACUUUGGAUAUGCGAGAUAACAGGUUAUUUGGAAGUAUUCCCAAUUCAAUCUCUGCACUUUUGAAGCAGCUAAGGAUUUUUUUGCUGGGAGGAAACCUUUUAAGUGGUUUUAUUCCAAAUCAUCUUUGUCAUUUGACUGAAAUAAGCUUGAUGGAUCUUUCAAACAACUCUUUUUCAGGGCCAAUUCCCAAAUGCUUUGGCCAUAUCCGAUUUGGGGAGAUGAAAAAGGAAGACAACGUGUUUGGACAGUUCAUUGAAAUUAGGUAUGGAAUGGAUUCUCAUCUUGUAUAUGCAGGUUACUUGGUGAAAUAUUGGGAGGACUUAAGUUCAGUAUAUAAGGGAAAAGAUGAAGUUGAGUUUGUGACCAAGAACAGGCGUGACUUCUACAGAGGUGGCAUCCUUGAAUUCAUGUCUGGAUUGGACUUAUCAUGUAACAACUUGACAGGCGAAAUACCUCAUGAACUUGGAAUGCUAAGUUGGAUUCGUGCAUUGAACUUGUCUCACAAUCAAUUGAAUGGCUCCAUUCCAAAGAGUUUCUCCGAUCUUUCUCAAAUAGAGAGCUUAGACCUUUCUUAUAAUAAAUUGGGUGGAGAAAUUCCUCUAGAGCUAGUUGAACUCAAUUUUUUAGCGGUGUUUAGUGUGGCUUACAACAACAUCUCUGGUAGAGUUCCAAAUGCCAAAGCACAAUUUGCAACAUUUGAUGAAAGCAGCUAUGAAGGUAAUCCUUUCCUUUGUGGGGAACUAUUAAAGAGGAAAUGCAACACAAGUAUUGAGUCACCAUGCGCACCAUCACAGUCUUUUGAAAGUGAGACAAAAUGGUAUGAUAUCAAUCAUGUUGUUUUCUUUGCAAGUUUUACUACUUCAUAUAUCAUGAUCUUGUUAGGAUUUGUUACCAUCCUUUACAUCAAUCCUUAUUGGCGUCAUAGAUGGUUCAAUUUUAUUGAGGAAUGUGUAUAUUCCUGCUAUUAUUUUGUUUUUGAUAGUCUU
RNAcentral lists this long non-coding RNA (156927 nucleotides) under Vitis vinifera (wine grape). RNAcentral's name for it is "long non-coding RNA (VVIN_LNC002832)". The record is from RNAcentral. Lineage: Eukaryota; Viridiplantae; Streptophyta; Magnoliopsida; Vitales; Vitaceae.